This 114273-nucleotide long non-coding RNA is filed under the name Ananas comosus (pineapple). RNAcentral describes it as "long non-coding RNA (ACOM_LNC017023)". The stretch from base 23772 to 23997 matches the Rfam family "MIR159 microRNA precursor family". Lineage: Eukaryota; Viridiplantae; Streptophyta; Magnoliopsida; Poales; Bromeliaceae. The record is from RNAcentral.
UUAUUAAUAUCUCUAUCCUUCACAUAUGAACCUUUGCUACUUAAAGAUGUUCUUGUACAUCUAACCAAAACAAGCCCAAUAAAUACUAACUCUUAUGCAAGGUUUAAUUAUCAAAUUUUAGCAAGGAUUUAAUGGAGGAGAACCUUCCUCCGGGGUUCAGGUUCCACCCUACAGAUGAAGAGCUCAUCACUUACUAUCUCACCCGCAAGGUCACGGAGUUUGGAUUCGUCGCACGUGCUAUUGCCGAUGUCGAUCUCAACAAAUGCGAGCCUUGGGACCUCCCUGGUAUGCGCUUCUAUUCGUUGUUCGUUCGCGUCAACCGAUUCCCUCUAUAAAUGUGAAAACUUCUUCAAAAAGCAACUAACAAAUUUUUUUUUUCUAUCUUCAAUUGUAAAAAUUGCAUUAUUUAUCUAUCAAUAUGUGAUUAUGUUCUUAUGUGUGCAAGAGUAGUUACAAUGUUUGCAUUGCUUUUGCGAUAUUGUAUUGUAGGGAAGGCGAGCAUGGGGGAGAAAGAGUGGUACUUCUUCAGCAUGAGGGAUCGAAAGUACCCGACGGGGCUGCGCACGAAUCGCGCGACCGACGCCGGGUAUUGGAAGACCACAGGCAAGGACAAGGAGAUCUUCCACUGUGGUGUUUUGGUUGGCAUGAAGAAAACCCUAGUUUUCUACAAAGGGAGAGCACCCAAAGGUGAAAAGACCAACUGGGUCAUGCAUGAGUACAGGCUCCAAUCCAAGUUUCCCUUUAGAACUACAAAGGUAAUUAAAAAGCUAAAAACAUAUGGGAGCCAACUACCUAACUAGCCAACUAACCACUAUAUAUCUCACUUUUAAACCACCAAUAACUAAUAUUCACCUUUAUAUUUGCCCUUUUAGGAGGAGUGGGUUGUUUGUAGGGUCUUCAAAAAGAGCUCCAUACUAAAGAAACCGCAAGCAGGUUCUCCACCACUGCCGUCGUUGCUCGAGUCUCCAUGCAACACCAACUCGCUGAGCGAGCUCGGAGAAAUCGACGUAUCGGUGUUGAACAAUCUCAUGAACGCCUCGAGCUCGACGAGCGAUAUACAAGCUAAUGAGAAUAUCAGUAACAAGGUUGAUAUGAGCACGUACAUGCACUGGGUUCUGGCUAGAGAAGCUGCUGCUAGCCAGAAUACGCUGCCUUGGCCGCCGAACUUGUUAGGCUCGGUCUUGGCGAGCAAUCCUGGGAUUCUGAAGGCGCUGCCGCUGAUCAAUUGCUACAAUCAACCCAGAGAAGGUACAAAUCUUGCAAAUUUAAGCUCUUUUGUAGCACAUGGAGAUGGGAUCUUUGCGAAUGAAUCGAAAUUAAGCUUCAAUGGCUCUUCAUCUAAAGGAGCGGAGUGUGCACAGCAACAGCAGCAGCAGCAGCAGCAGCAGCAGCAAGAAGCAUUUGAUCAGGAAGCAAUUUGGAGAGGCUAUUAAUAGUGUGAACAUGACUAACAAGCAAUUUGUUAUAUGUACCUCUUUAUAUUAUUUAUAUAUCUUAUAGGUGAUUCUCUAGCCAAAAAAUAUAUAUAUAUAUAUGUAGCGUAAAUGGGAACAAACCCACAAAGCCUUUACUAUUAUAUUGUCGGUUAAAAACUGCGAGUUAUACUGUUGUUCUAAUUACAUGUUCAAGCAUUAGGCAUUGCCAGAAUUAAAAAUGACAAUGUAUAACAGUGCCAUUGUCAUUUAUACAAUAUAUACAAAUGAUGCAUGCAUAGAAAGUUGUUGAUUUAAAACUUUUAAAUAGUAUUUUUGAAAGCUAUGUGUUUAGUUUCUUAAAUUUUAAAUAGUAUUUUGGACCUUAUUGAGCCCAUUGGGCUUUUGAAUAGGCCCAAAGGUUUGGGCCCGCAUGGGAAGGUGUUGAGACCUAUCUUGUGCUUGAUUUUUAGUCCUACAUUGAGAUAAGAAAGCUCUAUAGAGGAAUUCAUAUACACCCCCACACUCAUUACUCUCUGUUAGAAGCUUAGCCCGUUCACCAUCUAGUCCUACCAUGAAGUUGUGAUCAUGAAGUAGAGGGGCUUGGCCCCUGGUUCGUUGUAUCGCUAGAGGCGUCGUCAAGUUCUAUAGGUGAGUGGAGCUACUUUCUAAAUUUAAGGUCUAUAGGUGAGGGGCUAAGCCCGUAUUUCGUAGUAUCACCUCUUGUGCUGAUGGAAGCAGACGGGGCUUGGCCCCUAGUUCAUUGUAUCACUAGAGGUGGUCGUCGACUCUACGUUAAAAGCUCAGUCAGUACACUAUCUGGUCCUACUACGAUGUUGUGCUGAUGAAGUAGACGGGGCUUUGGCCUCUUGUUCGUUGUAUCACUAGAGGUGGUCGUCAAACUCUACGGAUGAGGGGGGAUAAUGUUGGAUUAUGUAAAGUAAUGUUUCGAGUCGAUAUCACGGUAAAAACAGCGAAGGUUUGAGGUUUUUGGAUGUUGGGUAUUGGUACUUGAAGUUUUCGUACCGGUACUAUUGAGUACCUCAGCAGUUUCUCAAAAUCCAAAAGCUGAAAAAAUAAUUUUUUGUACUGAGUACCGGCCGGUACACGACUUUGUACCAGUACGCAGUUCUCCAUUUUUUGUACUGAGUACUGGUACAAGACUUUGAGUACCGGCGAUAGGUUAGAUAUGUAGAGUUUGACUCUAAUUGGAUCUAAUUUUGUUCCAAAAUAUUAGGGAUAGUCCAAGAUUACUUAAAGAGGAUUUCUAAGAGAUAUUGACGGUUAGAUAUGAAUCGGAGACUUGGAUGGAAGGCAGAGAUCGUUUCCUAUUAGAAUUGGGGUUUUAAGAUUAUAUAAACUCUUGUAAUUAAUCUUUUAAGUAGAUUAUGAGUUUCAUUAUAGACACCCUAAUUGAGAGAAAAACGUGAAGAGCUCCUGAGGAAGUUUCUUGUAAUCCAAUCUAAUUCUUUGUACUUUUGAGCCGUGGAUUAAUCGAAGAAAGUAUUGAUGUGGUCUUGUCCGUGGACGUAGGUCGACUCAUGAUUGGCCGAACCACGUAAAUCUUGUAUUCUUGUGAUUUCUUGUUUUCUUUAUUACUUUGCUAUCCUUGUGUUUGUUUUUCUACGAUUGUUCUCGUCUCUUACGUCUACAAAAGAUCCUAUUUUCGCUGCGCUCAUAUGCUUUGUGGGUUUGAGCUGUGCUCGGCAACCUCACGUCCGGUCCCUUCAGCUAAGUUUCUAAAUUUAAGCUCUGUAGGUGAGGGGCCACACCCCUAGUUCAUUGUAUCACUAGAAAUGGUCGUCAAGCUCUAUAGAUGAGGGGGCUGCUUUUCUAAAUUUAAUUUCUACACAUGUUGAAGUACUAUAAUUUAGCAAUUACAUUACAAAACAUUAAUACUUCUAUCAAAACAUUGAUGCAUAGUUGUUUUUACGGUAGUUAAUAUGUCGUUGCAAACACACAUGACAUAUGCUAGAUAACCACUAUUCUGCCAAACUAGCCAACUCUAAUGGUCAAAAUUUUAAGUGGUGGCAAAAUCAAAUGAGAUUCUAGCUCACCAUCCUUGGCCUCAUAUCAGGUAUAUCCACCCUUUAAUUGGACCAUAGUAAUGGGUCCCCUGCACCUAGACCCUUACAACAUACUCCACAUUAUUGUGCUUCUCAUGAUAGAGGCCGGAGUAGUGCCAUUCCUUCCGAAAGUAAUGCCCCGAUCAUCUCUAUAGUUAGUCAUCAGCAGUUAGACUAUUAUUGUCUUAAUACAAUACUCGAUACCUUAUCUAAUAAACUAUUAGAUCUGUAGUAUCAUAUUAAAACUGCUAGAAAACUAUGGACACUACAACAAAAAUGGUGUAUAGCGACACUUUUAAAUGUUGGUAUAGGUAAAAAAAAGUGCUGCUGGCUAAAUUAUCUACACUUUUUAAAAGUGUUGCUAUAUGUGGGUCGCUAUAGGUAGAGCUGCCUUGAUAUUUGGCACACACUUCUCCAGCGACCUGUGACCGAGGGAUACGUGACGACCAUAGUCCCCUACGGUUCCUACGAGAUUCUCGCAGUCGAACUCUAGCCGCCGGAACCAUAUCUCGUCGGCUAUAGCAGCGGAGGAGGAGAAAGGGAGAUAGUAAUCAAUUUUUCUUUUUUUUCUUCGGUUGGUUGAGUAGAAGAACUUUUUAUUUUGGAUUGGAUUGGAUUUUAUUUUUAGGCCUUAAUAAAUUUUUAAAAAAAGUUUAAGCAUAAAUAGGACACUUAUAUAAAAGUGUCCUAAAAAUGUGUUUCUAUAGUCUAAUUCUAUUAUAGUGACUAUUCUAGAACAAAAAUUUGGUCAACCCGAUCCUCCCCAAAAGAGAUAGAAAUCUAGCGACCCGAUCAACUUCAAACUUGUAGACAACAAAUUGAUGAAAGAUGAGCUUAUAGAAUUUGAGUACAUAUAUAGUAAAACAACUCAAAACUAACCGCGUGAUUUUAGAUGAGGUUUAUCUAGUAGCUCUCUUGAUAGAGAAGCCUUAGAAGCCAAUAGGGAUGAUACUUUUUUAUUUCUUUGGGACACAUUUUUCUACUUGAUCUUGAUUAUUUAUAUAUAUUUAGAGUGCCAUCUAUUCUAUUCAACUUUAAUGUGUUCAUGAAUUGUCUAUGAAUUAAUAAGAUUGUGAAGUCUAAUCUCAAGAUACAUACUAUAAGUGAUUAAUUAAUUUUUAAAUGCUCUCUGUCUGUGGAUUGUCAUAGAGAACGGUGAUUGUCAGGUUAGAUUGGUGUACAUUAUAAUAGAUAUAUGUUGGUUGCAGUGGGUUUAUAUUAGGAAUGAGUGUGUGAUCACUCUUAGUAGAGAGAUAAUUAAUUUUAUGCUUUAUUUGUAAGGCACGACUCAUAAACUCUCAAGCGAGAUAAUUAAUAUAGUGAAUGGAAAGGAGUUUUCGAAGAUAAUAUAAGAGCUUUUGUUCUAUCAAAUUUGUCAUAGAUAGAUGAUGUGAUUUGACAAGUAUUUUAUAACCUCCACUUAGUCGAGACUAUGCGAUAGAAAGAUUAUAUCGUAUAGUAAUUGCACCAAAAGCUUUAGCCCAAUAUUCUCUUUUGACUGGUUUGCAACUAUAUGCUACUUGGCGUCGUUAGUAGAUUGUGAGACCUGUGAGAAAAAUUAUAAAUGAUUAAUUAAUUAUUCCAUGAGGCCAGGGUGGAAUCAAAAGGAAUUUUGUUUCAUUGAAGGGAGUUUCGAUGAUGACUAUCGGGUAAUUUAAUUGCAAUAAUAGUGUUGAAAAAAAGUAUUUAGUUUACCAAGUCAUUAGUAAAGAGACUAAUUUGGACGAGUUAAAAAUUAGGGGUCUUAAAAUGCAAAAGUUGCAUGGUAUAUUUACCAAACCUUAGUGGAUAGUACAAAGACUUAUAUGUAAAUAUUACAUGUGGAAUUAUAGUUUCAGUUUAAAUUAUGUGAGAACCAAUUCAAAGGCUUAGAGAAUAUCCAAUAGGAUUAGGAUUAGGAUUAGGAUUAGGAUUUUUGCACUGUAAAUACAUAUCGUAAGAUAUAUUGGAUAUGACUUAUGAUAGAAAGAGAAAGCCCUAGCCAUAUAAUAUAACCACCAAAGGUUUUAAUGAUAAUAAUAAUAACUAAGAUUAGGACCAAAUAUCGGAGCGGCCUCGAGCGGGCCCAGCCCGGCACUGCUAGAGGCCGUGAUGGGCCGCCAUCAGAGGUCCCGCGGCCCAGCAUGGGCCGUGCCUACUGGCCCGGUGUGGCCGGGUAACUUUUUAAAAUUAAUAAGUACAACAUUUAUUAUAUUAAUAGAAUAAAAAUUUAAACAUGAAAUCAGAAAAAAUAAAAGAUUAAAAAAGUUUAAUUAAAAAGGGUAAUGGGCCUUGGGCGGUCCGGUCCCAAGGAGGCAGGGGGCAGGCCACCAAAGGAGAAGGGGAAAAAGUCUCUUCUCUAGGAAUUUUUUUAAAAAAAAUUGAGUUUCAAUAUUUUGACUAAAAUACUUUCCAACAGUCAGAAAAACCUAACUUAUUUUAGUAUUUCAAUUUUAUGAAUUUUAGAAAUUAAUAAAUAAUGGGCCAACACUCGCCUGACCAGGCAUGGCCUGGUCUGUGCUAUCUGGGCCGGAGGCCGUGCUCUAGAGUCUGAAAAUUCCAGGCUGGCCCGACACGACCCAUAUUACACCCCUAGCUGCCCCCCUCCUAACGAAAAAUUCUAGAAUGCACCAGCGAUAUUACUAAGGUGGCGUCCCCAUAUUUCUCGCCUUGGCUAAUGAAAUGUAUUUAGUUCGGCAACCGAAUUCGUUUGCAAGCUUUUGAGUUCAACUUUUUUUACGCAUUGAGGAAGGACCCGUUGAGCCGAUCCCUACUCAACCUAUCGCCUGAUCACAUCACCGAGGGUCAUUCUAAAAGCCGAAUCAUAAAUCGAAGAAAAUUUUGACUCGGACAUUAUUCCAGAAAUUCGACUCAAGGAGAACAAUUUGAAAAAAAUAUAAUAAUAAAUUAUAGAAAAUGAUGUAAAAGAAAUUCUAUAAAUUUUUAAUUAUAUUUAUUUAUAAUUACAUUAGAAAAUAAAUAAUAUUGGCAAUUGGGAAGCAGAGUGAGUAGGAAAAAAAAAAAUUUAGAAUGUAUCGGAUAUAUUGCUGACGUGACGUCUUCGAUCAAUAAAAUUAUUUUCCUAUAAAAAAAUACUAUUAAUUUAUUAUUGUUGAUACAGUAAGGCUUCGUUUGGGAUUGCGGGGAGAUUGCGUUACUGUUGAUAUCCUGUUUUGCGUUCCGCAUAUCGCGAUGAGUCGGUUACGAUAUAUUUUCUACGGUCCCAUCGGAGAACGCAGAAGCAUAUCCCUAUAUGCUUUUUUCUCAACUCUAUUUUAUGUAAUAGCGUUAGAUAUAGCUUAAUACUAAACUAAGCCUAAGUAAGAGUAAGGGUAAAAAGAGAAAGAAAUAAUGAGUUUAAUAAUGUAAAGGAUUGUUGCGUAAAGCUGCGAACAAAAGUACGCAGCUUCCUCAUCUGGCUUUCAUGACUCUCUUCUCAACUAAAGCGGAAUCUUAAGGCACGUGACCCGCCACGUGGAUCUCAAAUGGCUCUUCGAUCUCCACACUCUUGUCUUCUACCUCCGCGUGUCACAAUGCCACCACCUGACACAUUGUGAAUUGACCAUUAUGCCCUUGUUUUUUUUUUAGUUUCUACUGUUGCUAGGAAAGAUUAAAAAAAAAGGAAAACUUUAAAUACAAUUCAUGUGAUUUCACACUUUUUCACUCUAGUAUUCUGUGAUUUUAUUUUUAUCUUUUUAUUAUCGAUUCCACUAAUUAAUUUUUUUUAUUGAAUUAAUGACAAAAUUAAAACUAAAGGAUACUAAAGUGAAUAUUCGAUAAAUUUAGGUUGGGUAUCUGAAAUUUUUUAUAUAUAAUUUAACGAAAUAUUAACGAAAAAGCUGACGAAAAAAUAAAAUUAAUGAAACCAUAGGACACUAACUUGAUACACUUUAAAACACAGGGUACUAAAAUGAGAAAGCGCGAAACCACGGGGGUGGUAUUUGAAGUUUACCCUAAAAAAAGGAAAAAAACUUUAAAUACCACAUAUGUGGUUUCAUGCUUCUCACUUGAAUACUCUAUAAUUUUAAGUUUAUUACUUUAGUACCCUAUAAUUUCUUUUUUCUUUUUUCGUUAUCCCUUCUGUUAAUUUUUUCGUUAAAUCAGUGAGAAAGUUAAAACCACAUGGUACUAAAGUGAAAAUUCGAUAAAUCACAGAAUUCUAAAGGGAAUAUUCGAUAAACCAUAGAUGAGAUAUUUGAAGUUUUUUCUAUAUGAUUUAACGGAGAGUUGACGGAAGUGCUGAUGGAAAGAGAAAAACGAAACCAUAUGAUAAUAAAGUGAUACAUUUUAAACCACAGGGUACUAAAGUAAGAAAGCGUGAAACCGCAGGAAUGGUAUUUAAAGUUUUUUUUUUUUUAAAAAAGAUAAUUGUUUAUAUAGCUCUGAAAAGUUUCAAGCUUACUUAUUUCCCCCAUUUAAAAGACUAAUAUAAAAAAUAUUUUUUUAACGAUCCAAAUUCUUUUAAAUAUAUUCAUAUUAGAGUUAAACUCUGUUAGUAAAUUAUUACGAACAUCAAUUAUUUUUUGUGAAAUUAUUAUUUUGUACUUUCAAAUAUACCCUUCUACCGCCACCAAUUUUUCUUAUUUAUCCUUAAGUUAGGAACAAAAUAAAUUUUUUUAUUCUUUUGUCCUUUCAAAUGUAUAUUCUUCUACCGUUCCUUUUCUUGCUUACCCUUAAGUUAUGGACAAAAGAUGUAUUUUAACUUCUUUUUAACUUUGGCAGCAAUUUAACUCGAGUUUGAGUGGGUGGUUAGUUGAAUAGUAUGAUCUAAUUGAUAGAAAUGAUCGAAGAGAUAAAUCUAAUGGCAGAAAAUUUGAUAACACCAAACGCUUAAUAGUAUCAAUAGUAUAGUAGCCGGACUCUCUAUCUCUCUCUCUCUCUAUAUCUAUAUCUAUACUACUUAUAAAAGCGUGAGUUUUAAAUUUUUUCCUCUUUCCAAAAAUAACUCUAUCUUUUCUACUAAUAUUUUCAUGUCCAGUAAUUUUCAACCAUUCGUUUCAAAUAAUUUUUCGAAUAAUAAAUUAUUCUCAAAUAUAGAUCUUAAGUUUUUAUCAUUGAAUAUCAUCCAACGAUUAAAAAUAAAAGUAUCUGUCACUUUUCUUGACAAAAAUACCCUCAAUAUCCAUUCACUCCUAUCUACGCGUUUUACAAAUAUCUACGCAUUUUCUCAAACGUAAUUUUCGUCAUAACUUAAACAUUAUAUCCUAUUUACAGCGUUUCUCAAAUAUUUUCUUUCUCACACGUAAUAUCAGCGUCAAUCACGUAGAAUGUUCAUAGAAAGAUUUAAUACCCACCUAAACAAAACUAAAUUGUUAAUUAAAUAUAAUUUUACAUUUUUGAAUUUUUUUAGUAAAAUAUUCAAAAGCAAUACCUGUCAAACUAUUUUACGUGUUUCUCAAAUACAGAGCAUAUCUUAAUAUACUCGCAUAUAAUAUCUAAAUAUCUUUACAUAUAAUACGUACACUAUCCAAUCUUAUCUUUGCAUAUAAUAUCUAUACUAUUCAAUCUUAUCUUUGCAUAUAAUUAAUAUCUACACUAUCCAAUCUUUUCUUGUCAUAAUAUUUAUUCACACACAGAAUAUAUUUUUUUUGAGACAUAUUUUUUUAGUAAUAUCUUUUUUAUUUUCACCUAUAUUUUUCUCAAAUAUUUUUUUUAGUAAUAUCCUUUCUCAUAUGUCCUUAUCGUUAACACCAGUACAUCGUAGUACAUCGUCAUCAUCGACACUGGCACAUUGUAACUUUCGCCACCUUCGUCAUCUGUCACGCCCCGGAUUACACUUUUCCCGGGCGCGCCGACAAAUCCGCUGUAUACAAAGGAAUUUUUCCUAUAUACGAAGCGAUAGCUGUACCUGUAAAACAAACGCUACUACGAACAGUAGUAGAGAGCUGCUAGAGAAAACAGAAGCUAAACAAACUGAGUUUCAUAUACAUAGUCCAAAUCCAAAAUACAAAGCUACUCGCACUGGCGAGUUAAGUCCACUAUGUACAUAAACUCGAAACAAAACAUCUACCUGCAGUAGGGGCACCUCUAGCUCAGCACGUCGGGUAGGGCUCUAACUUGCGACGCCCUUUCCUCGAUCCUGAUCCGCGGACGGUGCAGCAGCCGGAACCUGUGACUCUGCAAAAACAUAGGUAACAACUGGGUGUGAGAACUACUGUAAAAACAAGUAGUCCUCAGUGGGUACCGCCCAAAACAAUAUCGGUCCACCCACCAAGUCUACAGAAGGGAGCAAGAGUAGUCAGAAAAGCAGGAAAUAAACUCUACCGCUAUCGAUCACUACACUAUCAUGCUCUACACUAACCAACUGUAGGAAAUGUCAACUCUGACCCAAUCCAAUCGGGGCUGUAAGCAUACCCGUCCCCGGGACUGUGAAUACACCCGUCCCUGCCCCGUUGCGACUAUCAAGCUAUAUCCACACUAACUGCUCCGUGGAGAGCAAGUCCAACUGGCAUGAGCGAUACCAACGUGAAAGCACAAAGCCUGACUCCGGAGUGGCACUCGUGGGCGCUACCCAACCGAGUAUGCAGCGUAUCUCUGUCGAGCUCAAUCAGGCUCCAACUAGCCAAAGUCAAGUGAACAGGGUCAAAACAGGUCUACAAACCAAACCCACGUGCCCUCGGCACAAUCUGUGACCAAAACAAGAAUCUGGGUCCACCGCUAACCCGAACGGCACCCAACGACCCGAAACAGCCUAAACUCUGCUGAAAAAUAAGCUCGGCACCCCAGCACGAGCGUAAAUGCCUUCUAAACUACCCCAGGUAUCCAUCGCACUGAUACUGCAACGAUACAAUCGAAUCACGGCUCCUAGAGCUAAAUCUGGUAGUUUAAGCAUAUGACGGGUCAAAACGCAGGUUUUCUCCUAAGUCAAAUUUCAAGUCCAACAUGUAUAAUUUAAAUAUUCAUUUCAGCAUGCUUCUACAUUCAUAUUACAUUCAAGAUGCUAAUCGAUGAAUUAAAGCAUGAUAUACAAAAAUCGAACUAUACACGUCGACUAAACAUGCACUUAGGAGCGAAACCGAUGAUACACCCACCUCUAGUGCAAUUCCUGGCAGCAAGAUGGUCUCGGAUCACAAGCAACACUGCUGGAAACACCUCCAAACCAGCAACAAAGCCCCUCAAGAUCUGGAUUUACAAUUCACCCAAAAAUCCAAUAAAAACCAUCAAUUUACCAAAAUUUCAGCACUUAAGCUUAAUUAUCUCAAUUCCAAUGUCAAAACUCACCUAAUGAUCUCCAAAUCGGGUGAGGACAGAUCCAAAUCCAGCAACUACUGAUGGGUGAUCAAUCUCAGGUCCAAAAUCCCACUGCCUACAAAGUUAGCAUCAAGAAAAGCUCAAAAAUUCCAAUUUCAGCUCAAAGUCAACAGCAGUCCAGAAAAACCUCAGUUCGACCAAGCUAACCUCAACCAAAAUCUGCAAUUCAGGGCUUCGUGGAUUCCUCUGGAAGUCUAGAAUCCAGCAAACCAAGUUUCGUCGAAAUCCGACCUUCCUACGUCGCGCACGAGCCAAAACACUGAAGGUCGUCGCUGAAGAACUGCAGAAUCAGCACUCCAUCAAGCUGGAUCAAUGGAAAUUUGAUGCAAAUUGAGGCAAAUCCGAGUGUAGAGAUGCUAAAAGGGACUUCUCUGUGAAGAAGGGAGGAAAAGAGCAGCAAAGGGGCGCAUUCCAUCUAUUUAUAGUGAGUUAGAAUGAUCCAAAAAGCCUCAGGAACUCAAGCUGCUAUCCAGUGUCCCUGCAGAAACGGGCGUUUCUGGGCGCCCGGAACCAUGUUCUGGGCGACCAGAACAUCCCGACUGCACAAACCGUGGUCCUCGGACUCUCCGCUCAUGGUGUGCUGCGCCCGUAAAUGACUCCGGCGGAACUCACCUACCGCCUGCCACGCGUCGAAGCAAGCGAUAUUCAUGAAGUCGAAUUUCCGGACCCACAUCUGGGCGCCCGGAACAUGGGAUCCGAAUUGGCUUCCAGUUUCAGUUAAAUUCAACACUCGUUUCUGGGCGACCCUAAAAAUGUUCUGGGCGCUCGAAUCUGGCAAAACUCCAGUUUUGCUUAUUUGAGUGCGUCGAGUCCAAUUCUGCAUCCAAUUCAUGCAGAAUUGACUCCGACUCAGUCCGACACUCUUCAGAGAUGUCGACCAGUCACUAAUACUGAAGCCAACCCUAUCCAAAACUCAGGAACACUACAGUCAUAGUUGGAGAGGUAUUUUAAUCUCACCUGAAAAUAUUUUAUUUUUUUAAUGUGCAUUUAUACUAUUUUAGCAUAUUUUUUUGGUAUUUUCACAUUCUUACGUAUACUUUUAUCAAAUAUAAAGUAUAUAUUUUUUUAAUAAUAUCCUUUUUCAUUUUCACCUACAUUUUUCUUACAUAUUCUCAAAUAUUUUUUUUAGUAAAUCCUUUCUCAUUUGUCAUCGUUGCCGGCACCAGCACAUGGUCAUCGUCCUCCUCAUCGUCAUCAUCAUUGUCAUCAUCGGUGCCGGCACAUUGUCGCCUUCGUCACCAUCGCCACAGUUAUUUUGAUCCCACCUAAAUUUUUUUUAUACUGUUAUAGCAUAUUUUUUUUAGUAUUUUCUUAUUUUUACUUAUACGUUUCUCAAAUAUAAAGUAUAUAUUUUUUUAGCAAUAUCAUUUUAAAUAUUUUUUUUUGUGACAUAACUGUCAAUCUUUUCUCACAUAAUGCACACGUUUUCUCAAAUAUUACAAAAUAUAUAUGAAAAAUACUUAUAGUAUAAAUUAAUUAAAAUUAUAUAAAACUUAUUUAGAGAUAAAUUAAAGUUAGAAAAAUAAUAAUUAAAUAAUAAACAUACACCACCAAUAACGAUUUAAAAUUUAAAAUAUAAAUAUAAAUUUAAUUUAAAAUUAGAUGUGGCAUUUUAAAUUAAAAAUAAAUUAAAUUUUUGAUUCUUUUACAUUAAAAUAUAUAUCAAAUCUUUUAAAUUUCCUUUCUGACGAGAAUACUCAUUACCUAUACAUUUGUCACUGCCUUCUCAAGUGUAUUUUUUUAAUUCCUUCCACACCUCCUCUAUUAUGGUUCGCGCCGGCACAGUCAUCACCUUCACCAGGACAUCUUUAUCCUCCUCGCCGGCACAACUUCAUUGUCACCUUUGCUAGCAUGACGUCGUCGUCCUCACAUUGCAUGUACAUCGACGGAAGUCCACGAAUCAUAUCGGCGUUGUUGAUGGUCUACCGACAUGUCAUCGGUGGUCGAGAUAUAUGCGUAUGCGAAUUAUCGGUGGUCGACAAUCUAUAGGAUAGAUUCAAAAUUCACCCAAAAUUAUAUUAAUAUUUUUACGAUUUUCUUCAAAUCAAUUUGUAUACAUACAUACAUAUAUAUAUAUAUAUAUAUAUAUAUAUAUAUAUAUAUAUAUAUAUAUAUUCUUUUUUUUGAGGGUAUAAAAAAUGUUAAAUAUUUGUUCAAAUUAAGCUCAAUUAAUUUGAACAGUAAUAAUUGUGGAAUAGUAGUACAAUCAGAUCUAUUUUCAAUUUCAUUAAUAACUUAAAAUUAAUAUAUAUUUUAGAAAAAAAUUAUUUGAUUUUUUCAAAUAAGUAGUCUUACGUCCAUUGCACGUGCAUAUGACUAUAUAUUAAUAUAUAAACGUGAACUUAGACCUUUUCAAGUAUUUUUUUUUUUUUUUUUUUUUGAGAGAUAGCUAGCGUGCUACCCACUUCGUUUAUUUUAUUUAGAAAAUAAACUUAGCUGGAAAUGUGAAUCUACUAGGAUUCGAACUUGAAUCUCGGGUACCAGCCACUAAGCCCUUUACCACUUGCUUUAGGGACGGUCGGUACUUUUCAAGUAAAUUUUGGAUAUAUAGUUUUGUAGCACCAUUAGAUACUCUACUUUUUUUAAUUGCGUACGAUGGGGAGAUGGAGAAUUAGAAAAUUUGCCGAGGCUAAUAUGGUAAUUACGCCAGGGAUUCGUAUUCGCCACAAUUCCGGGAAUCUGGCGCGAGAAGUACAAGCCAGGUUGCGACAAAAGUUACGAGGUUGCCUAUGGUAUGCUUGCCAUUACAACGUAAUAAAUUAACCUACUCCACCUUUUUCUUAGAAUUUUUCUUUUUUAAUUUAGGAUAAAAAUAUACGUAAUUUAUUGGAACUAUACUGAACUACUUUGAAAUGACUAUUCAGGUUUUUCAAAUUUUUAAUUUGGUUUGAUUUGAAUCGGUUAACGAUAUUUUGACUUAAAAUUAGAAUAUAUAAUUUAUUUUUGUAGAUUUAUUUUGUAUAUUUCAUAUAAUUCUUAAUUUUUUUAAAAUAGUAUAUAUAUAUAUAUAUAUAGAGAGAGAGAGAGAGAGAGAGAGAGAGAGAGAGAGGGAGAGAGAGUUUUGCUAGGUUAGUAUCGAUAGUAAACAGCUCGAUUUACUAUCGAUUUUUUUUUUUUUUUUAUGAUAGAGCAUUCAAAUUUAUGAUCGAUACCGUUGAAAAUAAUCUACACCAUUUAAAUUAUUCAGAAAUCAAAUUUUAUACUUUUCGAUGUUUUUCUCUUAUCCAUCAAGUAGACAAAAAGUAUAAGGCUGAAAAUAAAUAUGCUUCAAAAAGUGAUAAUUGUAUUCAAUGUUGUUUUUUCUCUCUCUCUCUCUAUAUAUAUAUAUAAUUGAGCUAAAAUGCUAUCGGUAGUAAACGGGCUCCAUCGCCACCCAUUUGUUUUUGAUGAUGGAGCAUCCAAAUCGACGAUCGGCACCUUUGAACAUGAUUUAUACCACUUGAAGUAUUUAGAAAUCAAAUUUCAAAUCUUUUCAACAUCAUUAGCUAGCCUAAUAAUCAAAGAGUUUUAUUGUAAUUUUAAUGGUCGAUAUAAGACGUUUUCUCGUUUAACGGUAUAAAGAUAUUCAAAUCAAUUGAAUUUUAAUUAAAAAAUUAUUUAAACUAUUUAGAAUAAGAUUUAUACUCUUGAUCUUGAUUACAAGACUCAUAUCUUUACUUUUUAAGGAAUAUUUAUUUAUUUUCAGCCGUUUAUUUUUUAGUUCACUUGAUGGACAACAGAACAAUAUCGAAAAAAUACAAAUUGAAUUUUAAUUAAAGACAUUUUCUCGUUUAACGGUGUAAAGAUAUCCAAAUCAAUUGAAUUUUAAUUAAAAAAUUAUUUAAACUAUUUAGAAUAAGAUUUAUACUCUUGAUCUUGAUUACAAGACUCAUAUCUUUACUUUUUAAGGAAUAUUUAUUUAUUUUCAGCCGUUUAUUUUUGAGUUCACUUGAUGGACAACAGAACAAUAUCGAAAAAAUACAAAUUUUGAUUUCUAAAUAUUUCAAGUGGUAUAGAUUAUGUUUAACGGUAUCGAUUGUCGAUUUAGACGCUCCAUCAUCGAAAAUAAAUGGGUGACAACAGAGUCAGUUUAUUACCGAUAGCAUUCCAGCUCAACUCUAUAUAGAUAUAUAUAUACACACACAAUAUACAUGAGAGAUUCUAAAAAGGUGCAUAUUAAAAAUUAAAAAAAAUCCUUCAAACUGGAUCAGCUUAAGUAGGAUCUCAUGCGAAGCAUGGGAUCAAAAUGGGAUGCAUUGUGGGUAAACUGACAAGUGACAAGCACAGUACACAUUUGCAGCAAUGGAAAGUGCAUGCAGUGAUGCAACUCUUUGCCCAAGAGGCUAUGCAUCUCCGGCCCUCUAAGCUGCUCAUUAUUAUUCCAUGUAGAAUAAGGUGUCCUCCAGAGGACAGGAGAAAGAGAAAUAAUUCAAGAGGUGAAUAUGUACCCGGGUAUAUAUAUAUAUAUAUAUAUAUACCUUUACACUUAGAUGAUCCUAAGCUUGAACUUAGAGCCCAUGGUCGGUGAUUCGGGAAAUGGUGAACGAAAUCCCUGCCAGCCAUGAAAAGUUCAUUUAAAACCUAUAUAUCAAAACAUCGUGGUAAUCUAUGAGAUGAAAAAAAUUAACGCAUGCUACCCCUCUACCUCUUAAUCUUUUAAACGGCUCCGAUUAUACCAUUAAUGCGGUCCCUAAGCAUAAGCGGUGUUAAGGCCCUUAGACCGCGCUCUUCAUGUUCGGUCCAACGCUGUUUUCAAUGCUCCAACGGAUACCAUACGAACGGUAAUGUUGCAUUAUUUAAUUGGAUGAGGUGGAAAAAGAAUCUUAAAAAGAAAAAAUUAAAUCCUAUUUUUAUAUGCAUUAAAUAACCUUGAUAUGACUUGAUGAAACUUUACUGAUAAGUCCAAAAAGUUUAAAAAUUAAACCAAACUAAACUUAGCCAAUUGCUAUAAAACUGAAUUUUAAUCUUAUAUAUUAAAUAAAAACAUCUAAAUAAAACAUAUAAAGUAUAUUAAGAAUUAAAAAAAUUUUAUCAUAUAUAUAUAUAUAUAUAUCUCUCUCUCUCUCUCUCUCUCUCUCUCUCUCUCUCCCUCUCUCUCAAAACGAUCCAAUCAUAGCUAUCAUUUGUCGAGCUAAAUGAUAGCUAAAAAAAAAAAAAAAAUACUAUCUCGUAAGUUUAAAUACUAGCUAUGGCAACUUUUAUUAGAUGUGGUAAAUUUAAUAAGUCUUUAGUUUAAAAUAUGAAAAGCUACAAAAAGAGAAUAGGUAGUUCAUCUGUUUUUCAUAUUCCGACUUUUAUUUAUACGAAGUUUUUCACUAUUAACAUAAGUUACAACAAAAAAGAGAGAGAGAGAGAUAUAUAUAUAUAUUAACUCGAUUUUACGAUAGCCAUCAUUUGCCCGAGGUAGCGGUGGGUAAACAAAAACUACUACCUCGUAGGUUUAGCUGCUAGCCGUGGAAACUUGUACUAAAUAUGGUGAACUUCAUAAAUCUUUAGUUUAAAGUUUAGAAAAGUUGUAGUAAUCGAUCGGAUUAUUAGUUUCUCAAAAUAACAUUAAAAUUACCAGCUAUAUUCUGCAAAAGAGCAAAUUGCCAUAUUUCUAUAAGUUUAGUUAACUUAAAAUUAAUUUUUUAAUAAAUUUGAUAAAUCUUAUUCUAAAUAUGAGAACUAGAACUAAUGUUCUGAGUAUAGAAAUGAAAAAUUCCUUAUAAAUAAAUAAAAGUCGGCAAAUAAAAAAUCAAGUGAACUACCUGUUGUCUUGUUAUAGCUUUUUUAUGUUUAACUUAAAAUUAAUUUCUGUAAAAGAGCAAAUUGCCACAUUUCUAUAGGUUUAGUUAACUUAAAAUUAAUUUUUUAAUAAAUUUGAUAAAUCUUAUUCUAAAUAUGAGAACUAGAACUAAUGUUCUGAGUAUAGAAAUGAAAAAUUCCUUAUAAAUAAAUAAAAGUCGGCAAAUAAAAACUCAAGUGAACUACCUGUUGUCUUGUUAUAGCUUUUUUAUGUUUAAAACUAAAGAUUUAUAAAGUUCACCAUAUCUAAUACAAAUUGCCAUAGCUAACAGCUAAAUCUGCGAGGUAGUAGCUUUUAUUUACCCACUGUUGUCUCAGUCAAAUAAUGGCUAUCGUAAGGUCGAGUUGAGAUAUAUCUAUAUAUAUAUGUGUGUGUUAUAUGUACUCUCUAAGAUUUUUCCACGUAUAAUUUUUAAUUUUUUUUAGGAAGUUUGACCUAGUCGAAUUCAUCCUAGAGUACGCUUCGUACCCUAGUUUUACCCUACGUAACACCCAUUUGACUGUUCACUGUUCGUGUCAUGUGUAAACGUCGUUACCUUUCACGUACGUCACUACGUUGAGAAACGGGUUCUCCGAUACGUAGAGGCCGGGAGAUUCGACGAGUAAUAAUAAGGUACAUCUUAUUCCACAGGAGGUCUCCUGUCCUCUUUCUCUUUAUUAAGUUCUCCACUUAUACAUGGGCCCAUAUAUAUAUAUAUAUAUAUAUAUAUCUCUCUCUCUCUCUCUCUCUCUCUCUCUCUCUCUCUCUCUCUCUCUCUCAGGCCGACCCCAUGAUAGCUAUCGUAGUUCCUAAACCACGAUAGCUCAAAAGGUUAAAAUCUAAAUUGAGAAACUAAUAAAAAUGGGUAAUUUAAUAUGAUAAGUUGAUUGGUGAGUGAGUUGGGAUACCCGGGUGUAGUAGGAUUGGUAAGUAAAGAGUUAGGUUCCCGAUUUUUUAGUUAUCGUGGUUAUCGAACCAUGAUAACUAUCAUAAGGUCGGAUUAAUAUAUAUAUAUAUAUAUAUCUCAGGCCGAAGAUAUGAUAGAUAUCAUGCGCUCGAGGACAUGAUAUCACAACAAAAGCUAGAAGCCCGCAAGUUUAGUUGCUAGGUGUGGCAAUUUUGAUUAGAUCCCAUAAAUUUCAAAAAUCUUUAUUUUAAAAUAUAAAAAAGCUGUAUCAAAUGAAAUACUAGUUUUAUAAAGUUUUAACAGUUUAAAGUUGUCGAUAAUACUGCUCAAACCUCAAAUUGCCACAUCUUCUUAGAUCUAAAGAAGUUUAAAACUAUCUUUUAAGAAAUUUGAUAUAUCUAAUUCCAAUUGUAAGAACUAGAACUUAAAUUUUCAGGAUAUGAGUUUAAAAUUUCUCAUAAGUUAAGGGUGGCAGGUAAAACUGUAUUAAAUAAAUGAUUCAUUUGCUAUAGCUUUUCUUGAUUUUAAAAUAAUGAUUCUUGAAGUAUAUAGGAUCUAGUAUAAAUUGCUACACCUAACAACUAAACUUGCGGGAUUCAAGCUUUUGUUGUGAUAUCAUGCCCUCGAGGGCAUGAUAUCUAUCGUAUCAUCGGAUUUAUAUAUAUAUAUAUAUAUAUAUAUAUCUCUCUCUCUCUCUCUCUUAAUACGAUGAUAUGAUAGUUAUCAUAAUUCGGGAACCAUGAUAACUCAAAAGCCGGCAACCUACUUUCCUACACGACAAUCCUACUGUCGUCAGGGGCCAAGUUAACUAUCACCAUCACCAGGGGAUCCCAACUCACCCACCAACCAAAUUAUCAUACUAGAUUGCCCACCUUUACUAGUUUACCAUCUAGAUUGCCAUCUUUUGAGUUAUCAUAGUUCCCGAACAAUGAUAGCUAUCAUAUCAUCGGCCUGAGAUAUAUAUAUAUAUAUAUAAUCUUUCUGAAUUAAAAUCAAGGACUCAAACAGUAAACGAAACAUUAGGUCUUAGAGAAGUGACAUGUACGGCACGGUAGUCAUAAUAUAUAUAUAUAUAUAUAUGAGCUGUUAAUUAUUUACUACUCAUUGACUCCAAAUCAAAAAUUAACAUAAAACAACCACAUAAGAAACGGUUCAACUGCUAUAAAAAUUACUAUCUUUAAAUUGAUUUAUUUAUUACUUUUAAUCUUUAGACUACUUUUUUUUAAUUCCAGGUUGGUUUUUUUUUUCCAUCCUAUUCCCCAACCCUCAUAACUUCGUUAAUUGGGGAAGGAGGAGGGGCCAUGCCUAACGGGCCAAGUUGGCUUUGCCUGGUGUUCAAACAGACCAAGCCCGGCUUUGCCUGGCCCGGUGGAAAACAACCUAACACUGGAUCAUACCGGGUCCGGGUUUGGCCUGUCUCGGGACGAUCAGAUGCCGGGGCGGGUAAUGCCAUAUGAGAAAAUAAAAGAAUAUAUAAAAUCAAAAUUAAAAAUUUUUGAAAAUUAAUUAAAAUAUGAUAAUUUAUUUAGUAAAAAUCUAUUGGAAAGAUUUUUUAAUAAAACUUAAACUUAUCAAAUUUGAUCAAAAAUUCUUAUUUAUUUUUGUGGUUUUUUUAUAUAAUGUUUUUUCUUUUUAAUUUAUUUGUUUUCGCGGCAGGGCCAUGAAAAACAUUAAACAUUCGACUUUUACAUACCUUUUGGGGAGAUGAUAUCCUAUCAAACUUUUGGUGGAGAAGUUUAAAUAAAAAAAAUAAUUGGAGGUAAAUUAAAAGAGCCAAAAAAAAAAAAAUAAACCAUAUAGUUGAGCCAUCUAUGUUUAAAUUAAUCCUUUAUGUUAUCGGGAACAUAAGUUAAGAUAGCCUAUGAGUAAACAUAACAUAUACAUUUUUUUAUCAUAAAAUAAUUAUAUCAUCACGAGUAAAAUACUUGUUCGUUACGAUAUAUAUAUGUAUAUGAGGUUUAUCUCAUAUUUAGAAUGCGAAUAAUAAAUUCCUUGUAAUAACAUAAAUCAACAAUAGUUAAAAAAAAAUAUUAUGGUUUUUGAGGUUUUUUUUAAAUUUGAGGUGGUAAAAUCUACAUUUUACAUGUAGGAGAUAAAUCUUAUAUGGCGCUCGUAAAGAAAGUACCUGUUUAAAUCACAUAGUUAAGCCAUCUGUAUUUGCAUUCAAUGUUAGGGGGCAGAUAAUCAAGAAACUGGAUGAGAGAAGAUAUGUGAUUAUUGAUAUAAAAGACUGAUGGCUAGCCGGGAUCUCGUUCACCAUUUUCCAAACCACCAACCAUGGGCUCCACCAACCAGGGUUCAAGCUUAAGAUUAAUUAAGUAUAAAGGUUGAUUCAAAUAAAGAAUUAUUUUAUUUGCUUGAUAUAAAAGAUUGAUUAUAAUAUGCAUCCCAGGCAAACCAAGUGCUAAACAUUAUAAGGCUAAUAGGAAAUGAAAAGUAUUAAUUUUUAUAAGUUUAUUAAUGGUUUGUUGCGUUCAACCUAUCAAUAAGUUUAUUAAUGGUUUGUUGAGUUCAACCUAUCUACAUUUUCUAAUAUACUUCAUCACCCUUAGUAACAUCUAAAGAUUUAUUAUUUUUAUGAUCCAAUGAUACCCAAUGUUCUAUAAGAAUAAAAACACAGGCUACUUUUAAUAAUCAUUAAGUAAUUAUUCUUAUAUGAUCAUGAAAUGUUGAAAAGCUGAGUUUGCCGCACUAUUUAAUCAUUGUGUGAAAAGUAAAGUUUAUAUUUUAUAUAUUAAUUAUAAAAGUUUUAUAAAGUUUGGAACUAGUUUCAUAGGGAAUGAUGAAAUAAUAAUAAUAAUAAUAAUAGCCGACAUUUUAUGCUCCAUUAAAAGGCACGUUAAACGGCGAUUAAUUAGUCCUUGUUGGAAACCGAGGUUAUGGUUAGGCAACCAAUCUCUAUAGUAUGUGGUGUCAUUGGAAGUGGACGACGCACAAAGGUUAUUAUGAGUCAACAACCAGCAAUGAUAAAGGUCGUUUGCGAUUUGUCGAGACGCGACCGAGCGGCUUGUAAUAGGGCAGCUACAGGUCUAACUCCGAGCGAGGCGGCAGCUUGUGGUCGAGGUGGCGGCCGUGGAAGUGGUGGAGCACGGGCGAGUCUAACAUUGUGCACAGGUCAAGUAUCAGGCGCCCACGGCAGCACAUCAAGCGGUACACGGCCGCCUUGUGGCGCGCGUAGGGCCUCAUGCGCCGGCCGCCGUCAGACCACUAGUGGCAGGGCCUCAGGUAGUCGCAGGACCGACAGCUCUUGUGGAAGACCAAAUAUAGGUCAAAGAACGGAGGCUGAAACUAGCGGUGCUCAAAAUGCAUCAUGCAACUGCCUAGCGAGCGAAGCGCAUAGUAGCCGCACAUAGCAUACGGUCGGCCGCCCGACGGACAUGACGGCUGAUCGUCCAUCGGUCAGCUCGAGCGAUAACUGCCAUCCGUCAUCCUUUUCUAGAGAGGCAUGAAAACGCUCCGGACGCUCUAGUCGCUCCUGAGCGGCGCCGGAUUCGGCUAGUCUGGCCGUUGGGCUGGUUUGCUGGGAGACAAUACUAGCGGCGUCGGCUUGGAUUUCAAGCCGUCGUCCAGGGUCCCUGAGUCUCAUUCGCACAGCACCGACUUCAAGGGUCUCCUGGACCUGAAUAGCAGCAUAACCUAAAGCACCGCCGUGCAGGCCGGCCGUCUCGUCGCCCGUCCCAGCUCAACCCGCGUGAGUCGACUCGGCGUCACCUACGACGAUAUGCACCUACUAAACCGGCCUAGCUUUUCACCCAGCAAAACACCCAUUGUUACCAACGUCCCGAACGUGACCUCGGUCCUCUCCAGCGACGGCCACAGCUUAAGGUGCCUCUUCAGGACAAAUCCUCAAGGCUACGGGCGUAAGUACUACAUCAACGACCACGGUUGCUACAGCGGCCACACCCGUCCUUGGCUGUGCCGGGCGUUCGACGGAGACGGCCGAUACAACUUACGCCAUCUUUCUGCUGCUACAACCUCGCUCAGCUGAGCUCGAACUAGUAACAAUUACUAAACGAACACACUGCCAAAAAGGAGGAAGGUCUCACCGCUCGUGCCAGGCAUGGCUAACCUGCUGCCAGUCGGAGCUGUCUAAACUUAGACUAGUCCUUAGGUUUGUUUGUACAAAAUUCAUCCUCUUGAGGUAUCUUCCCUCGACUAUAAUGGUACUUGUAUAGUCGAGAAAUGUUAAUAUAGGAGUAGGUCACUUUUUAUCAGGUUCAGGAUAAUAAUGACCUUAACUUGAUGCGAAAGCACCUCAUGAGACAACCAAAUUUACACGAUAGUAAGACAAGAAAUUACCUUCCAGUCCAACUCAGCUCAUUGCAAGUUUUACUACCUUCCAGUUCAACCGGGCUCAGUAUAAGCUUUACUACGUUCUGACUAACCCGGCUCACUGUAAGCUCUGGACGCCUACAACAUAGGCAUACAAAAUUCACUUAACCAGUAAAUAAAAAUUGUCGAGCUCGAAAACCCUAAUUAUUAAUCGUGGUUGCUAGGCUGUUCACUAUAGUCUUAAUCACCGCGCUUAAGCUAAAGGUGUAAAAUAUAAUUGCCACGUCCACAACCUUCUACUAACAACCGAUAAAUAAUAUCCGAUUUAUACAGGUUGAAAAACGGAGUACUGUUAUCCGGGUUUCUGAUUAUUCAACUCAACCUACUCGGAUUAUUCAACUCACUCCAACUUCAGGUGUUCUCUGGAUUACCGUUUUCCGGGUUGUUAUCCGGAUUACAGAUCUACCUAACUCAAUUUAGCUUUGGGCACUCGCGACGCCAACUUGAGAAUUCAGAGAAUUCACGCUACCCACGCGAGAAGGAUAGUUGUACACAAAAACUUUAUCAACCAAUUGCGAUUGUUAGACUGUUUACCAUGGUCUCAAUCUUUAGUGCUCAAGCUAAAAGCGUACAAUGCUUAUACACGUCCACAACCCCCCUCCCUUAACAACCGAAUUUACUCGGUCAUAAGACAAGAUAUCGUCCUCUAGUCUAACCUGGCUCAGUGUAAACUUUACCGCCUUCUGGUCCAACUCGUCUUGGAAUAAGCUUCACCGCGCUUUGACUUACCCGGCUCUUCUAAAUCUUUCUUCCGAGUCGACUAUAAUCACACAUAUUCUUUUUUUUUUCAAAUUGAAAGAUAAAUAAUCAUGUUUAAAAAAAAAAAAAAAACAAACUAAAAAAAAAAAACACCAGCAUAAUCAAAUACAACUGCUCUGCUUAAAUACCAUUUUAAAACCAACUUGUGAAAACAACAUAUGAUUGAUGACUAAAAUGACCAUCAAUGAACACCUAUUAUCUAAAAGUUGUUUUCUAUGAAUUAAAAUCAGAGGCUUAAAUAAGAGUCUUUUUGCGUUUGACUUUCGAUUUUAGCUUCCUGUCUCACCGUAAGAAUGGAAAACUGCUCCUUGUUUGCCACGACCCGACGUUACCCGCGUACGAUUAAGUUGUAGAUUAAAAUAUGGGUUGUGUGUAUUUCUCUUUCCUUCUCACCUCUUGUUUUCUUCUUGUGUUGUUAACGUGUCUCACGGGUUCUUGUCUCGGUACAGUGUUUUUUUCCCUUGAAAGCACUUAUUGUGUGAACUCCGCGAACACGACCGCUCCUCCGCGGUUCCCAGCGUACGAAAUAUAUGGCUGCGGUUACAAAAACAUCCUUAUAAAGAGUGCAAAGACUACGCUGUAGAUUGUCAAAAUACACUUUACUUAUUUCGAAGCUUAUUUCUUAGUACUUACUUUUUCUUCUUAUUCUUGAGAUCACAAUUAUGAACACGAAGCCCUGGUCUUUAAAUUUGAUUCUCUCAAUAAUCAUAAACACAUGACAUAAUAAUAUAAACUAUAGUUUUAAUUAAAUAAUCAGUUUUUAUAUUCUACUCAGAAUUUAACAAAUCAUUAAAAUGUCUUUCACAUUACUCUACUCUGCGAGACCGUUGUUUGAAACUUAUNGUUUAGCAAUAUAAAAGAGUCUAAUCAAUUGAAUUUUUGUUAGAAAAUUCAUUAAGCUAUUUAAAAUGAGAUCUAGACUUUAGAUCUUGAAUACAAAAAAAAUCGUAUCAUCACUUUUUGAAGAAUAUUUAUUUUCAUUCAUUUUUUUUUUUUUUUACUUGAUGGACAAAAGAAUAAUAUCGAAAAAGUAUGAAAAUUAAUUUUUAAAUAAUUUAAAUUGUUUAAAUCAUGUUCAACGGUACUUAUUGUCGCUUUGGAAUCUUUAUCGUCGAAACCAAAUCAAUAGUAAACUGAGCUGUUUACUAAUGCCGAUCAUCGUUUUUGAAACUCUAUAUAUCAUAAAAAACAAAAUCAAUAAUAAACUAAACUGUUUACAUCUGAUAAUAGUAUUCUAGUAAACCUCUCUAUAUAUAUAAGAGAGAGGAUAGUGAAAGAAGAGAGGGAGCCAUAUAUUUCUACAUUACAAAGGGGGUGGGGGGUUUGAAUAAGAGCUCCAUUCGGUCCAAUAAAGGGGGUAGAGGGAAGGAUAGAGCUGCCACAUCAUGGAUUAGGCUAAGCCUUAUUCUUGGAUCCCAGAAUAGUGGGAGAAUAAGGCUUUGGCCAUUGCAUGGUGUGGGAGCAAUUUAUUGUGUUUAUAAUUACAUCUCUACCUUUUCCCUUGACCCACUCAUUGGACUGAAGGGAGCUCCUGCAUGCUUAUGAUCAUCCAUUAAUGCUUUAUUAAUUAUCAUCUCCUUAACUUGUUUGAUUUUAUUCUUAUUCUAGCUACUUAUUCAUGUGGAUAUAUAUGCAUAUCCACAGGGGGUUACAUUACACUUCUUCUUGUUCUUAUACUUACUGUUCUUGUUUCUCCUAUGUGGUUGGUUUAUCAUGAUCAGGAUGAGGAGGAGCAUGUGGAAAUGGGUUUCAAGUGGACCACAAGCAGCUUUGUUUCUCUCUUCUCUUUCUACUUGAGAUUAAGACAUUCUUGGUAAGAUCUUGGGUUUAUCUAUAACCCCCCACUUGUUCCUGUUCCCUAGCCUGUUCCCUGUUCCCAUAUGUAUUAAUUCAACUUUUUGAGUUAUUUAUGCUUAAAUUAUUCACAACACAACAUGUAUUGUUUAGAACAGUUAGUUGUUAUCUAUCUUUCAUAAAGGAAAGAUGACAGAGUGGUUUGAAUACUGUUUUAAGUGGGCAUAAUGAGUGCUUAAUUGUUUUCUGUGGCGUAUGUAUAAUCUUAAUAAAAUAAUUAUUUGCUUCAUUUUUUGUUUACUUAAUGUUUCAAUAACCAUCCUUUGGGUGUAUAUAAAAGCUCUUCAAUGUUUUCCAUUACAACUAAUUAAGCUUCAAAAACUGAAUCUAAUCUAAACCAUUGUAUUCGGGUGCACUUAAUUAAUUGGUUUGAGCAAUUUCCAGGUUGAGUUUUGUUGAGAACCUAGUUCAUGUACAUUUUACUAUGUACAUUUAAUUACACUGGGUUGGGCCUAAAUGUAUAUGUUGAGACACAAUCGUUUUUAGACCAAUCUGGGCCAUUAAAUAAUCAUCGCAACUAGGGGUGUCAACCAGCCCAACAAGAGCAAGUUGGGAUCGGCUCGUGUUCAGCUUGCCGAACACGAGCCGGCUCGUUAAAGUAUCGAGUUGAAAAAUUUAGCUCGUGUUCAGCUCGUUUCUGGCUCAUGACCAACAAGUUAAAAGAAUUAGAAAGGAUACAUAUAGAAAAUGAAUUUAUAAGAUUUUUAUCCAUUAGUCUUUGUUUUAAUAAUUGAAACUUUACAUAUAAAUGAGCCUCUUUAUUAAUUGAGUCGGGCUUUAUAUUUAGAUUGGACUAAAACUCAAAUAAUAAAAAUCUAUAUUUUAUAUAUAUUAUUAUUUAUUUAUAUAUAAAUAUAAAUUAUAUAAAUUAUAUAAAUAUAAAAUAUAUGUAUUCGAACUGUUAUCGAGAUGAACACGAGCGAGUUGACUCUAACUCGUGUCCGGCUCGAUUGAGAGGUGAAAAAUUCAGCUCGUGUUCAGCUUGUUUAUUAAACUAAUGAUUCAAUCUCGAACUCAUUUCGAGCCGAAUACAAGCUGACUCACGAACAGCGAGCUGAAUUGCCAUCCUAGUUAGUUGCAACUUGAGUGAGUCAAGUAGGCCAUGUGGUUAUUUUUGAUCUCCCAAAUGUUGCUCUUAUACGCGUGUUUGGUUUAAAAUAAGGAUGAUAACCGGCCCCAUGAACCAACUUUCAUACAUUUAUUUCUUUUAUAAUUUAAUUAAAUAUUGUAACUAUAUUUUUAUUUUUUAUAUAGUAUAUUAGUUAAAUAAUAUUGAUUGUUAUAUAUUUUUAGUAAUUUGAUGCAUCAUGCAGGCUUAUUGGUAAUGAAUAAAAAAUAAACUUAGUGAGAUUGAUGCACAAUAUACUACAGCAAAUUUUGCACUUAAAAAUAUUUUAAACAAUAACCAGCGAUGCUUUAAAGCAUUGUCAAGAAUAAUCUCGACAUUUGUAAAAGUGUCAAGUAAAGAAUCGUUAAAUAAAUAUGUCAUGAUAAAUAUAUAUACCGACGUUUUAAUAUAGAGUCGAAAAAUUUUUAUCAGUAUUUGAUAAAAAUAUGUUUAUUGGCGGCGCUUAAUUAUAGUAUCAAUAUAUUCCAAAUAUUAAAGACGCUAGAAUGAAUUCUAAAAUAUAUUUUAUUGUAGUGGUAUAUUACCUGCAUGCUGUGAAAACUUGAUAAAAAUUAAGGUGCACACUGAUCAAGUGACCAGAAUAAUUCCUUUCAUUGUGUAACGUCAUAGAGCAAUAGUAGGGUUAUAACUCAAAAUGAGUUGUAAAUUAAACCUACAACAGCAUCCAAAAACUAGUUUUUCUCCACUAAUCUUAUCACUGUUUUUCUUUUAAUAUAGAAUCUAAAACGGGAUUAGUAAAUCCUAAGAAUCUUUAGAUAAGAAAUUGUAGGGAUUACGAUCCCAUUUUGAUUGUAGACUUAGCGAUUCUCACAUUGAUAAUGUUUGCAUACGCUAACACAUGUAAUUACAAAACACAUUUAACAAACCAAAUCUAUUUUUGUUGGAGAGUAUAAAUAGAGUUCAAAUAAAUUAUAUACGGUUUUGGCACGAGUAUAAAUACUUUUUUUUUUUGUUUUAAUGUUAUCAGGUUACUGACAAAUCACCUAUAGGAUACAACAAAACUAUCGAAAGCUUACAAACAGCACUUAAAAGAUGUUUUUUUUUUUUUUUUAAUUCUCUCUUAAAAAUUGGUGUGAAAAUUAAGAAGAAGAGAGGAUUGGGUGUAUUUUCUAUGAAGCCUUCAAUUAUUUUCUUAUUUAUAGGAUAUGAAUGGUUAUGAUUAAAAGAUCUAACAUUUAAUAUUACAUCUUUUCACAAAUUAAAGGGCACACUCAUUUAGUAACAAUCCGGUCUUGUAGCAAUAAUAACUCGUUGGUUCCAAAUUACCGGCCUAAAAUGUUUAAGUACAGUUAUAAUUAAUAAUAUCCAUGGUCUCUUAUAUAUCCAAUAAUAACUUCAUUCCUAUCUGAUAUAAGAUUAUUCGGGUGUAACAUCAUACAAAUAUUAGAGUGAUGCAUUCUUUUACAAAUACAGAAGGGACAUCUCGUUUCACUAAUAUUAGAAAAACGGGCUUUUUUUGCAUUUAGACCCCUGACAAAUUUUUAUUUUAAAAAUAGCCCUGUUAAAAUUUAAUUUGUAAAAAUGGCCCUGGGCCUGCCACGCAGGCGCCACGUCAGCGCCACGCGGGCAGGGCUGGGCCCGUGUGUUAAGUUGAACACGGUGAACCAUUCACCGUGUUCAAACACGGUGAAUGGUUCACCCUGUUUAGUACAUAUUUUUUGACACAUAUAUUGAAAAGUGGAAUAAGGAGUAGGGAUGUCAAUAGAUAUGGAUAUACGAAAUAUUAUCCGAAUCCAAACCCGAAUAAAUUAUAUAUAUACGUAAUUUAUUUUUGUUUAUUUAUACAAUAUAUAAAAUAUUUAAUAAUUUUUAUUCCUUAAAUCUUCAUCCAACCCAGCGGGCCGUUGGAUGAAGAUCUAAAGAAUAAAAAUUAUUAAAUAUUUUAUAUAUUGUAUAAAUAAACAAAAAUAAAUUACGUAUAUAUAUAUAAUUUAUUCGGGUUUGGAUUCAGAUAAUAUUUCGGGUAUCCAUACCUAUUGACAUCCCUACUCCUUAUUCCACUUUUCAAUAUAUAAAAAAUACGUAAGAAACACGGUGAACCAUUCACCGUGUUUAGACACGGUGAAUGAUUCACCGUGUUCAACUUAAUACCCUGGCCCCAGCCCUGCCCGCGUGGCGCUGACGUGGCGCCUGCGUGGCAGGGACAGGGCCAUUUUUGCAAUUUUAAUUUUGAUAGGGCUAUUUUUAAAAUAAAAAUUGCUCAGGGGCCUAUUUGCAAAAAAAGCCCUAGAAAAACAUAUCUCUUCAUGACUUAGACAUAUUGUUUUACAAAAAACAUAUUACUAGUAAAUGAAAAGACAUAUCUUUUCAUUAAAAAAAAAAAAAGAAGCUAAUUGUACAGAAAACACAACCAUUCAUUAAUUUUAGUUCUUCAAAUUAUUUUCUCACUUUUAUUAAUACUUUUAAUAAUACAACCUCACUAACAACUUGAGUUAUUAAAAAUUAGGAUUUAUAAUUUAUGAUUCAUGUAGAAAAUGACAAUUGUUAGAAUAAAAAUAUCAGAAAUAAAACGUGAUGUUAAAUAUAAUACAAAACUAUGUAUUUUUCUUCGAGGGUGGAAUUAAUGGCCAUUUUGUAGAAGAAAAGUCAACUUUAACCAGUUAGCUAAUAGAGAGGAAUAUAUUACAAAUUACAUAAUCUUGGAAGAAACAUAUUUGAUAAUUAAAACUUUGUAGGGAAAAGAUAUGUAAUUUUAUUUCUUUAUAGCAAUACAUAUGCAAUUAACCGUCUAUUGCAGUAUUAUUAAUUUGUUGGGAAAACUUCAAAUAACAUCUCCGUGGUUUCGCACUUUCUUACUUUAGUACUCUGUGGUUUAAAGUGUAUUACUUUCAUACUCUGUGAUUUUAUUUUUCUCUUUUUGUUAUUCUCUCCGCUAAUUUUUUUCGUUAAAUCAGUAACAAAGUUAAAACUAAAGAAUACUAAAGUGAAUAUUUGAUAAACUAUAGGUGGGGUAUUUGAAGUUUUUUUUUAUAUGAUUUAACGAAAAGUUAACGGAGUGACUGACGAAAAGAGAAAAAUGAAAUCACUGGGCACUAAAUUGAUACAUUUUAAACCACAGGGUAUAAAGUAAGAAAGUGCGAAACCACAUAGAUGGUAUUUGAAGUUUAUCCUUAUUUGUUUCAAUGGACAAGUUAGCAAUGCAUAUCUAAAUAUUUAAUUCAAUUGCCAAAAUGCAAGGAUGAUUCCUUACUUAUAUGACAAUAAACCUUAAAUUUUUAAGAAAAUAUUAUUUAAUAAAUGAGAUAAUUAUUUAAAUAUAUUAGUGUGUAAUAUUAUAUAUAGGGAAAGUGAUGCACAACUUAUAAUACUUGUACUAAUAAUAGAAAAAAAAGAAGAAGAAUCCUUUACGUACAUUUGAAGUACAUUUUGCACAUGAAGCAUUUUGAUUUGCCAUGGAGAGUACAUAUAUAUGCAUGCUUGUUUUACUAUCAUUAAUAUUCUAAAAGGUUUAAAUGAACGCGCUUUUUUAAAAAAUUGUACCUAAAGCUAGAAAUGGAAUAUAUGUACUAGAAUAAAUUUCAAAUAUUUUUGUUUUACGAUAUAACAUUAAGUAAUUUAAUACAUUUUUUUUUUCAAAAUAUCCAUAUUUAAUGGAAUAUUUUGUCAAAAUAUUGCAAAUACUGUUAGUUAUGUAUGUACUAGAAUAAAUUAUAAUAUAUGCAUCAAACAUGCAGAAAAGCUAAGAAAUGGCAAAAUAAAAAUAUUUAAAAUGAAAUUAUACAUUUCAAAUUAAACACGAGAUCACGAUCUCAUCGGUGGUAAAGAAUCUACUUUAAGAUCCGAGUUAGUUCUCGAAUGAUGGGAUUUCUUCUCAUACAUCAACAAUAUUUUGAUUUUAAAAUUUGAAUAUAUCAUUUAUUUUUAUAGAUUGAGUUAGUACUUUUCAUACAAUUCUUAUAACUAUAAAUUAAUCAAAAUAAGCAAUUAGUUUAAAUUUUAAAGUCAAAAGUAACGUUGAAACUCAAAUCAAACAACUUAAAAAAGUAGGAUUAGGACAAUCAAAAUUUUGAAAGGUUCAGUAGUAGACGAGUCAAAAUGAUAAACAGUUAAGUUUUUAUAUGUUUUUAUCCUAAUCCUGAUGCCUAAUUACCAUAAUCUACAAAGGAGUAAUAAUAUUUUAUUUUGUUAUAGUUUGAAUUUCUCUAAGACCAUAUGCAAGACAUAUGAUACAAAUUAGAAAUAUUUAAUUAGUAAUACUUCACUUAAGAAAAUAUCUAUUACAUAAUUUAACAAAAUUAGAAAGACUAAAAAUUAUAAUGAGUUGAGCUGAAAUGUUAUCGAAUUAUAAUGAGUUGAGCUGGAAUGCUAUCGGUAGCAAGUGAGCUCUAUUGCCGAAAAUAUUUAACAUUUGGUUUUUAGAUACUUCAAGUGAUAUAGAUCAUGUUCAACAAUACUAAUCGUCGAUAUAGGCGUUCCAUCAAUAAAAAUAAAUUGGUGGCAACGAAACUCGUUUGCUACUGAUAGCAUUCCAGCUCAACUCAAUUAUAAUUGUUAAAAAGUCACUUUACAAAUUAAUGUAUAAAAGUUUAAGGGCAUUUGUACAUUUAUUUUUCCUGUUUUUUAAGAGGAGACUUUAGCACCUGAGCAAUGCAAUAUAUACAUCCCAAUCGGGGUAUAUAUUUUACAUUUCACCCAUCUAAUACAUGGGACGAUUUUACUAGUCACUUGAUGUGAUUAGCGAUUCACUUUCACCCAUUAGAUUGGUGGGUUGGAAUUAACUUGUCCAGUCAGAUUGGGGCCUUCAAGUAAUAUUUUUUUUUUUGGAAAAACUUCAAAAAACCCUCAUGUGGUUUCGCACUUUCUCACUUUAGUAUUCUGUGGUUUAAAGUGUAUCAAUUUGCCCCCCUGUGGUUUCAUUUUUCUCUUUUUAGUAUCAAUUUUAUUAUUUUUUUUCUUAAAUCAGUAACAAAGUUAAAAUUAAAGAGUACUAAAGUAAAUAUUCGAUAAAUCUAGAUGGUAUCUGAAGUUUUUUUGUAUAUAAUUUAGCAAAAUAUUAAGGAAAAAGAUCCCAAAAAGAUUAAAAAGAAAACCACAGAGGGGCAAAUUGAUACAUUUUAAAGCAUAUGGUACUAAAGUGGGAAAGUGUGAAAUCACAUGAGGGGUUUUUGAAGUUUUCCCUUUCUUUUUUUACUGGCUAAAUUAUACUUUGAUCCUCAAACUAUGACGUGCAUGAUAUCUUGGUUCCCAAACUAAUUAUAGCUCAAUCUUUUUUUAUUAUUAUAAUUAAAUCUCACAACUUAAUUUAGUAGAUUAAAUAUUAAUGUGUUGCUAAUAGAGGAGUGAUGUAUUAAUAUUAUGAUUGAUGACGUGAUAAUAAGUAAUUAGGAUGUUACAUCAAUCUACAUCAACGAUAUGUUAAUAUUUAAUCUACUAAAUUAGAUUAUGAGAUUUUAUUGCAAUAAUUUAUAAAUUUAAGGCUAGAGCCAUAAAUUACAACGAUAAAAAAUAUGAGGAUCAAAGUGUCACACGCCUCAAAGUUUUAGGACCGAAAAUGUAAUUUAGCCUUUUUUUUAAUUUAUAUUACAAUAAGUUCAGAACCUGCAUGCUAGCUAUCGAGAAACUACGGCUCCAUCUCCAUUCCAACAUGCUUUGUAGUUCGAGAGAGAGAGAGAGAGAGAGAGAGAGAGAGAGAGAGAGAGAGAGAGAGUUAGACUAAUAUAUUUUCAUAAGUACAAAAAAUUUCAUAUUUGUAAAUUAUUUUCGAUAGUAGAACAUUAGAUUCGACGAUCGAUUUCUUUAGAUAUGAUCUACAGUGUUGGAAUUAUCUAUAAAUCAAAUUUUAUAAUUUUUUGAUUUUGUUUGGCUAGUAAACUAGUAGCCUCAAAAUAAAUAGCGGACAGUAAAAACCUUAUAAAGAAUAGUGAUAAAAGAUUUAAAAUUUUUAAAUCAAAAGUGUUGAUUUUGCUCUGGGUAAUAAGUAGAAUUUUUUUAUUAAGGUUUUAUCUAACUUGGAUUGUUCUAUACCGUUGAACUUACAAACGUAUCAUAUCGGUUAUGAAAAUGUCGUUUCAAGACUUUUUGAUCAUUUGGUAAAUGAUGGCGAAAAAUUAUGAAAUUUGAUUUCUAAAUAAUUCUAAUAAUGUAUAUCAUAUCUAAUGAAGCCGACCGUUGAAUUCGAUAUUUUAUCAUCGAAAAUAACUUUCAAAUACGAAAAUCUACAUACUUUUGAAAUCACACAGGAUUAAUAUAUAUAUAUAUAUAUAUAUAUAUAUAUAUAUAUAUAUAUAUAUAGAGAGAGAGAGAGAGAGAGAGAGAGAGAGAGAGAGAGAGAGAGGGAGGAGCCUUCUGUGCUUGCAGGUCGUUNNNNNNNNNNNNNNNNNNNNNNNNNNNNNNNNNNNNNNNNNNNNNNNNNNNNNNNNNNNNNNNNNNNNNNNNNNNNNNNNNNNNNNNNNNNNNNNNNNNNNNNNNNNNNNNNNNNNNNNNNNNNNNNNNNNNNNNNNNNNNNNNNNNNNNNNNNNNNNNNNNNNNNNNNNNNNNNNNNNNNNNNNNNNNNNNNNNNNNNNNNNNNNNNNNNNNNNNNNNNNNNNNNNNNNNNNNNNNNNNNNNNNNNNNNNNNNNNNNNNNNNNNNNNNNNNNNNNNNNNNNNNNNNNNNNNNNNNNNNNNNNNNNNNNNNNNNNNNNNNNNNNNNNNNNNNNNNNNNNNNNNNNNNNNNNNNNNNNNNNNNNNNNNNNNNNNNNNNNNNNNNNNNNNNNNNNNNNNNNNNNNNNNNNNNNNNNNNNNNNNNNNNNNNNNNNNNNNNNNNNNNNNNNNNNNNNNNNNNNNNNNNNNNNNNNNNNNNNNNNNNNNNNNNNNNNNNNNNNNNNNNNNNNNNNNNNNNNNNNNNNNNNNNNNNNNNNNNNNNNNNNNNNNNNNNNNNNNNNNNNNNNNNNNNNNNNNNNNNNNNNNNNNNNNNNNNNNNNNNNNNNNNNNNNNNNNNNNNNNNNNNNNNNNNNNNNNNNNNNNNNNNNNNNNNNNNNNNNNNNNNNNNNNNNNNNNNNNNNNNNNNNNNNNNNNNNNNNNNNNNNNNNNNNNNNNNNNNNNNNNNNNNNNNNNNNNNNNNNNNNNNNNNNNNNNNNNNNNNNNNNNNNNNNNNNNNNNNNNNNNNNNNNNNNNNNNNNNNNNNNNNNNNNNNNNNNNNNNNNNNNNNNNNNNNNNNNNNNNNNNNNNNNNNNNNNNNNNNNNNNNNNNNNNNNNNNNNNNNNNNNNNNNNNNNNNNNNNNNNNNNNNNNNNNNNNNNNNNNNNGAGAGAGAGAGAGCACGGCUGCUGUGCUCUCAGGAGCACGGAGGCCACGAUCGGCUUCGUUAGACUUGAUCUAGCGUAUUUGAAGUAUGUAGAAAAUAAAUUUUAUGAUUUUUCGAUAUUAUUUACUUAGUGAUUGAAAGGGUCCAAAAUCAACGACUGAAAAUAAAAAUCUCAUAAAAAGUGAUGAUAUAGUACUAAAAUUUUCGAUCAGAGAUAUUGAACUUGUUGUAGAUAGUAUAAAUAAUUUUCUAUCAGAAUUUCAUCUGAUUUGGAUACUUCUACACCGUUAAACUUAAAACGGCAGAUAUCGACCAUUAAAAAUUGUUGAUUUUGAAUCUUUUCGAUCACUAAGUAAACGAUAUCGAAAAAUCGCAAAAUUUAUUUUCUACAUACUUCAAAUAUGCUAGGUCAAGUCUAGCGGAGCCGAUCGUCGAUUCGGGAGUCCCAUCAUCAAAAAAGGCUCAGGAGCACGGAGCCUGAAGGCUCCGUGCUCCUGAGAGCACACAAGACCUAUUCAUGUAGAGCAGGGCUGCUGUGCUCUCAGGAGUACAGAGCCCUCUGUGCUCUUGAGCUGUUUUCGAUUAUGGAACUUCCGAAUCGAUGAUCGGCUCCGCUAGACUUGAUCUAGCAUAUUUCAUUAUAGAAAAUAAAAUAAAUAAAAAAUAAAAUUAAAUAUAUAUAUAUUAUAUAUAAUAAUUAUAUAUAUAUUAUAAGAAUAUAAUAUAUAUAUUAUAUAUUAAAUAAACAUAUAUAACACGGCUCUGCUCCAGACACGGAGCCUCCGUGCUCCGAGCCGUUCGAUGAUUGAGUUUCGAUCGACGACGCUUCUCGUUAAACUUGAUCUCCGUAUUUAAGUCUAAAAAAAUUUUUUAUGAUUUUCGAUAUCAUUUACUCAAGCAAUCUAUAAGAUCAAAAUCAAUAAUUUUUAAACGCUGAAAAUUAAAAAUCCUAUAAAAUAGUGAUAAGCAAUAAUUUCGAUCCGAAUAAUAUAUCUGUAGAUAGAAUCAAGAAUUUCUAUCAACACUUUCAUCUAUUAAAUACUUACUAUAAUCCCGUAAACUUGAAAACGCAAAAUAUCAACCAUUAAAAAAUUAUGGAUAUUGAAUCUUCGAUCAACUAAUAAAUGAUAUCGAAAAUCGCAAAAAUUAUUUUCUAGAAACUUCAAAUCGGCUAGAUCAAGUCUAACGGACCUGACGUGCGAUUCCGAAAAUUCCAUCAUGAAAACGCUCAGACACGAGCCUACGCUCCCUGAAAGACCCCACAAAAAAAAGCACCCCUGCUCUAUAUAUAUACUUAUAUAUAAUAUAUAUAUAUAUAUAUAUUAGGCUGCGGCCUCUCAGGACACAGAGGCCUCCGUGCUCCUGAGUCGUUUUCGAUGAUGAAGUUUCCGAAUUGACGAUCAGCUCCGUUAAAUUUGAUCUAGCAUAUUUGAAGUUUUUAGAAAAUAAUUUUUGCAAUUUUUCAAUAUCAUUUAUCUAGCAAUCGAAAUAAUUCGAAAUUAAUAAUUUUUAACGGCUGAAAAUAAAAAUCCUAUAAAAAGUGGUGAUAUAGUACUAAAAUUUUCGAUCAGAAAUAUUGAUCUUGUUGUAGAUAGUAUAAAAAAUUUUGUAUCAAAAUUUCAUCUGAUUUGAAUACUUCUACACCGUUAAACUUGAAAACGACAGAUAUCAAUCAUUAAAAAUUAAGGAUUUUGAAUCCUUUCGAUCACUCGGUAAUGAUAUCAAAAUAUCGCAAAAAAUAUUUUCUGGAAACUUCAAAUGCGCUAGAUCAAGUCUAACGGAGCCGAUCGUCGAUUCGAAAAUUCCAUCAUCGAAAACAGCUCAGGAGCAUAGAGGCCUCCGUGCUCCUGAGAGCACAGCAGCCCUGCUCUAUAUAUAUAUAUAUAUAUAUAUAUAUAUAUAUAUUAGAGAUAAAAUAUUUUUAGUAGUAUGGAAUCAAUAUUUACUAUUAAUUUUUUUCAACUAUUAGAUAUCUAAGAUUUAUUGGUGGUUGAUGAAAUAGUAAUAAUUUAAGGAUAUAUAGAAAAGUUUAUAGUAAAUACUAUUCAUAUUUAUUAAUGGUAUACUGAAUGAACACACACACUCUCUCUCUCUCUCUCUCUCUCUCUCUAUAUAUAUAUAUAUAUAUAGUAGGGUAUUAUGUGUUACUGGAUGCACCGAAGACUUUGUACUCCUAAACCGUUUUUUAUGAUAGAAAUUUCGAAUCGACGAUCGACUCUGUUAGACUUAAUCUAAUAUAUUUGAAGUAUCUAAAAAAUAAAUUCUAUAAUUUUUCGAUAUCAUUUAUCUAGUGAUCGAAAAGAUUCAAAAUCAACGGGUGAAAAUGAAAAUUUCACAAAAAGUUUGAUAUAAUGCUAAAAUUUUCGAUUAGAAAUAUUAAUCUUAGUGUAGAUAAUAUAAAAAUUUUUUAUAAAAAUUUCAUCUGAUCUGAAUAUAUCUAUACAAUUAAACUUGCAAACGGCACACGUCAAUCAUUAAAAAUUAUUGAUUUUAAACUCUUUUGAUCAUUUGGUAAAUGAUAUAAAAAAAUCGUAAAAUUUAUUUUCUAGCUAAUUCAAAUACACCAAAUCAAUUCUAACGAAGCCGAUCAUCGAUUCGAAAGCUUUAUAAUCGAAAACGACCUAGAAAUACGAAGUCUCUGCCUUUAAUAGCCCAGAAGACCUACUCAGUCUAUAUGCAUCCCCCCGUUCACUUCUCCCUCCUAUCCACACUAUUCUCUCAUCUUAAUUCUCUCUUACUCCCCUCAACUACUACGCGUGUGUGUAUAUAUGUAUUCUUGUUCCACUCCGGAUUCUCUCCCUGCCUAUAAGCAGAAGUCGGCGCCGAGAGUGAAGAAUGAGCUGCAACGGCUGCCGCGUCCUCCGCAAGGGCUGCAGCGCGGGCUGCGCCAUCCGGUCGUGCCUGCAGUGGAUCCGCAGCCCCAACUCCCAGGCCAAUGCCACCGUCUUCCUCGCCAAGUUCUACGGCCGCGCCGGCCUCCUCAACCUCAUCUCCUCCUGUCCCCUCCACCUCCGCUCAUGUACGUACAGACUAUAUAUCAAAACAUGCACCGUUCUCUAACAACUAAAUUUUUCAAAAAAAAUAAAGUACUGUAAUGUUUGUUUGUUUUUCUGUUCUGUACAUGUGACAGCUAUUUUUCAGUCGUUGUUAUAUGAGGCCUGCGGUCGGGUUCUAGACCCGGUCUGUGGGUCCGUCGGCCUGCUGUGGUCCGGCAAUUGGCAACUCUGCCAAGCCGCCGUUGAGGCCGUCUUGAAAGGCGUGCCAAUCACGCGAACGCCCGCAACGUUGUCCGGCGGCGGGGUCCCGCCACUCAAGACCUACGACAUCCGCCACGUGGCCAAGAACACCGACCGGCUUGGUGCCGCCGCCAAGUCCCGGUCCCGGUUCAAGCGGUCCGGAUCGGCACGCCGCAAGCCCGAAGUGGAACUCGUUGACUGGACCGAGUUUCACCCGGCCGAGCCGAGCCACGAAUCGGACCGGGAAAGUGAUAGCAAAGGUGGUCCGGUCGGGUCCGCCGACGGUUCGCAUGUGAGCCAAGCCGAGCCGAUACGAGCCAAGCUGGUGCUCGGCGUGGAGGAGAAUUGCGGCGUGGCCUUGGAUCUCAGCUUGAGCCUUCUCACAGCGGUUCAACCCGCCUGACCGGGAGCCGGUCCGGUUGAGCCGGACCGCUGGUCCAGUGAGGACCAAUUAAAAUAUGACACGCGUCCACCGGAGCGCCCUGUUUUACUAAUUAUUUCCAUAUGUUGAACUUUUAUUUUAAUUUUUGUUAGCUGCCUCUCAAAAAUGAUUUGGUUUGUGGAGAAUGAUUAUGAUCAACACGAAUUUUCUUAGUGGAUGCAUGGUUCACAACUAAUCUAAGUUACACUAAUUUCCAACGGACAUUAGGGCAUAUUUGGUUCAUCUAUUUUAAACUAUGGAACAGAAAUUGAAUUCAUUGAAUCCGAUAGUUAUCAUUUGUUUUAUAAAAAUCGAAUUUCGAUUUUCAUUUCACUCCGGAGUAGAAAUGAUCAAAUCUAUUUAUGACCUAAUCCAGUUUUGAAUUUCAGAUUGACUCAUUUCAAAAUAAAUUAUUCAAAAUUUUUUUUUACCAACACUUUUUUCCACUCUCUUCAUCACUUUUCUGUUUCUUAAUCAAAACCCCUCUCUAAAAAGUUUUAAAAAUUUUUAGUCCAAUUGACAUUCCAAUAAUGAAUCAAAUAUUUUUGAAUAAUUCUUCAUUUCAUUUUUUAUUCCUAAACAAUCUAAUUUUAUUUGUUAUUCCUAAUCCACUGAUGAACUAAACAUGCCUUUACUGUGUAUCCAAAUGAAAAAAAAAAAAAAAUCCAAUGUGUCAGAACUGACUGUUACAAAACUAAUGGAUAAAUUAAUUACUGAAUUGUAAUUGCGUAAAUCCAAAUGCUCCUGAAGUGUCAGUAUUAUUGAAAGGCACCAUUUAACUAGUCUUUUUUUUUUUUUCAAUUUCUAUACCAUAAGCAAUUAACCUAUAGUUUUACAUAAAAACUGUUAAAAAAUAUUAGUUAAAUGCAUUAGAGCAUUUAUUCAACUUAUUUUGACACAAAAAUAAUAAAAUAUAUAUAAAUAAUAAAAAAAUAAUUAAAAAUAAUUUGACGGAAAUUUUUAAUGAGUCAAUCACGAAGAUUUAUCUUAUAUAUUUUUUUCAAUAUUUAGCCAAUGUCACCUGAUAAAGCGGUUAAAUUUUGUCUAAAAUAAUAGUUUUGUUAAUAGUAAUAUAGAGAUUGACGAUAAAAGAAGAGUGAUAAAUGAGAAAAGAAAUAGUAUACGGUAGAGAGUUAAAAAUAAUAUUAAAUACAGUGUAGAGAUUAAUAAAAAUACAAUAAUAUAAUGGUGUUUUUGAAAAAAAAGUACAAUAUAGCAAAUAAAAAUAAUACUAAAGUACAGUGUAGACUAAAGUACAGUACAGUACAGUAUAACUAAAACCUUUUAAAAAAUGACAAAUAAACAGUAAUUUAGUGCUAUGGUAUAUAUGCAUUGGUGUCAUAUAUAGAACAUGGUUUUUGGCUAUUCUUGUUACAAGGGAAACUCAUGCAAUGCCCACUGUUUUCAUAUAAAUUUAAGAUCAUAAUAAUAGAUUAGGAAAUAUAAAUAGAAAUAAUAAUGGGUAACUUAUGUAAGCCAUGAAACUUAAAGUUUUAUUCUAGUUUAAGAUAAUUUUUAAAAUUUAUGUGACAUCAAUUAAUCACAAACUGUGAACUUUUUAUGCUCCUUGCUUGUGAUCAAGUUAAUUCCUUUUUAACUUUGAUUUUAGUAGCUUCAAUAAGUGCCGUUCGAAAAUCUUUUUUUGAGUUUCUUGCUAAACUAAUUAAAAGCUUUACAUUCUUUUUAUUUUGUCUGAUGCUUAAUUUCUACUUGUAGAAUGGAACAAGUUAUUUUUUUGGAAUUAAUUCUACUUUUAAAAGUUGAAAAAAAAAAGAAGAAAACUUGUUAUACCAAAUUAUCAAACUUCUACUUACAAGACCGGAUCCAAAACUACGAAAGGUAGAGUUGACUUCUUAACUUAUAAUUAAGUUAGAUUAAACAAUACAACUUUUUCGACUUCAUAUCCACCUUUAAUAUCAUAUAUAUGUAAUUCAAAGGUAGAUUUUAUUAUCGAACAUAAUUUUAUAUUCACAAUAAAACAUAUUUGUUCUUAGUUAUCACUAUUCAAUUAUUAUUUUUGACCAGAUUUAAUAAUUUUGAUCUGUUUUUGGUAAAUAUAUGACUAUGUCAAUAUCACUAUCUUACUUAAAAUAACUCUCUAUAUGCUAUUAUGAAAUUUUUUGGAUACUUAGAAAGCAUUAGUAACUCUUUUCUUAACCUCAGUAAGUUGUUUACGCGUUUCAUGAUGUACAUCUUUAGACCUAAGCAAUGACAAAAGCAAAGCACAUUACCAGUUCAUUAGCCAAUAGAGUUAAUUACUUGGCUCUAAAUCCAUUUUACAUUUCUUAAAUUUCUCCAAAAUUCUAGAAGUUUCCAGAGAGUCCUUUGGAUACUUUAAAUUCAUAAAAUAAUAAGGGGCGCGUGGUCUCCACAGGACGCACUCCCACAUGGCAAUAUUGGUACAACCCCCUUAUGCUAUAAUAAUAAUAUUAUUAUUAUUUUAUUAUUUAUUACUAUAACAAGUACAUCUAGAUUACCUACCAAAUUUGACCCACAAAAGAAACUACGCGUUUGGAGAAAUGGAAAAAAAAAAAAAAAAAAAAAAAAAUCAAACCCUAGUCAAUUAGUAGUGUGUUCUUAUAAAUCUUCCGUCAUUGAACUUCCUAUUCAAGAAGCAUAUGCACACAUAAUAAGUCAUUUUCGAUGUUAUUUUAUUGUGAAUAUUUUGAAUACUUAUGCUUAAAGUUUGUGUCUUCUUUUGAUAAAUUAAUGCCCUUGUUGUUUGGUUUUUCAAUCAAGUUGUAAGGUUUUUAUCCACAGGGACCGGCCGAGGGUUUACUGCGCACACUUUAAAUCCUUAUUGCACACGAGCGUAGCGAAAAGUAGAAUCUUAUAUAGAUAAAAAUAGACGAGAACAAAAAUAAUAAAGUAAUAAAGAACAAAAGAGCAUAAGAUAUUUAAGCGAGUUUGAUCUAUAGAGUGCCGACCUACGUCCACGACUAAGGCCUUCUGAUCAAUAUAUAUGUUCUUCAAUUAAUGCAUGGCAAAAUAAAUAUAAAGGAAUAGAUUGGAUUACAAGAAUACCUUUUUAGGCUCUCUUCUAUUUUUUUCUCUCAUAAUUUCUUAAGGUAUUAUAUAUAAUGAAGCUCUAAUUCAAAUUCAAAAAUAUGAAUUAUGAGGGUUUAAAACCUAAAACCCCAAAUCAAGUAGGAAACGAUCUACCGUCCACUUUAAUCUUUGAUUCACUUCUAGCAACCAACAUCCUUCUAAAACCCUCUCCAAAAUGUUUUAGGGCCAUUUCUUCACUUAAUAGCACAAAAUUAGAUCCAAGUUGAAGUCGAAUCCAAGUUAACCAAUUCGCCAUGUCUUGAGUACCUAUACUAUGACGAGGAUUACAGAUUUGUGCAUCAUUCCAGCGUAUGAGUACCACAGUACUCACAAAUGAGUAUUGAUACUGGCCUGUGAUCAACUUAGCCAGUAACACUUUCGGGUGUUGAGAAACUUCAACCUGAACAUCGAUACUCCUUGGAGUUCUGUUACUCGAAUAUUAUUUUUGGUACUUGACAUUCAAAAAUCUCAAAAUCUUUGAAUUUUUUUUGUAAUAUCAACUCCAAAUGUAACUUCAUAUAAUCCUGUGCCAUAUGUGUAAAUCUUAUAUUACUCUAAUCUAUCCAUGGCUAGAAUUUUUUUACUCGAUCUUAUUAAAUUUUUUAAAAUCUUUUGUAAGAAUCCUAAUUGAAUUUUUUAAACUUAUGAAGAAAAUAUAUAUAUAUAUAUAUAUAUAUAUAUAUAUAUAUAUAUAUAUAUAUAUAUAUAUAUAUAUAUAUAUAUAUAUAUAUAUAUAUAAAAGAUGUACCUUAAACAUUAAGGCACAUUGGGUGAUAAAAUUACUAGCGUGUGGAGUACACGUACGAACCAUGUGGGGUUUGUACUACAAAAGCUAAAUAAUAGAGCUAACCCAAUUUAGAAUUUAAUAAAAUAAAAAUAUGACCCAAUAGGGUUAAUAAAAUAAGUCAUAGAUCUACUAUGAAUUUGAAAAGAAUAUAUAGCCACGUCGUAUGAACAAUGUGAGAUUCUCUUGUCAUUUGAAAAGAAAUAAAAAAUGAAAAUUCUAUAACAAGACAAAAUCUUGGAAAAUUGUUACCAUGAAUUUACGUGGAGUUUUGGUAACUGGUGAAAGGUCACAUUAAUCAAAUGUUCUUUUUUACUUUUUCACAUAAAUAACUUCUUCAUAUACAGUUAAAUAUUAUUUUAAAUAAAAUUUUUUUUACAUUUUUUUUUCUCUUCUAGUAAUGACGAAAAAAGAAUAAACGUACAGUUUCACGUACGUACCAAAUGAACUCAUUGUCGCUUAAGCUUUCGCUAUAGCAAAAAAUUAAAUUGACAUUAAUUCAAGGCACAGUGCGAAGCUCUUUUUUGAAAAGAAAUAAUUAUCUACGUACCCUUCAAAAUAUAAAAAAUAUUUUAUUUAUUCCUAAAAUUUUGUUUUUUUUUUUUUUGAGGAAAAAAUUUUGUUAUUGCACGUAGAAAAUAGUUUGAGUGAACCAUGUGCAGUUAAAUCACAUUUUGUUAUUGCACUAACUCACUUUUUAUGCAUAACAUAUAUCAUUGCACCUAAUACAUUUUGUAUGCAAUUUCAGAUAGAGUAAAUUACGUUGAAACGUUCAAAUUAAUACUAUGUAUUAUAUUUUGUAUAUGGAUGUUAUUGCAUCUAUUCUAUCAAAGUCUUUGAUUUUUAGAAUCUAGAAAUCAGUUGAGUCGCUUUUCCAUUAUUCAUUUGAAACUUAUUUUUCAUAAAGAUUUAUUAGAGUCUGUUUGGUUCAACGUAAAACUAUAAAAAAUAAUUCUAGGUGGAAAAGAGUUUUUCAUGGAAAAAAUAAUAUUCUUUGACGUUUGGUUUGUAGGAAAUGAAAAAUAGCUUUCUAGCCAUACUUAUUUGGUUAAAUGGAAAAGUUUGAAUGAAAAAUAAUUUUAUAUAAUUUUUUUCUAUUAUAUAUUAUGCAUUAUUUAUAUGAAUAACUACCAUAUUAUAUAUAUUAUAAUUAAAAUUUAUAUCUAUAUAUAUUAUCACCAUCAUCAUCUACAUUUAUAAAUUAAAUAUAUUCAAAAUUAUAUUAUAUAAUAUAUAAUAAUUUAUAUGUAUAACAUAAUAUAUAAUAACACAUAUAAUAUAUAAUAUAUCAAUAUAUUUAAAAAUAAAAUAUUAUACAAUAGUACCUUCUCGAGUCCUUAUCACGGACAAGUCUCCUAAACUUAACAGCGGAAUACCAAUUCAAGCAUUUUGCCAAGCUUGCUCCUCGCGAGACUUAUAGCCCGACCCUUCGCCUGUAAUCGAACCCCUCGUCGGACUCCUCGAGUUCCCAACGAGCAACCCCAAUACCGAGGUUGGCCACCAAGUAAGGUGCAUCCCGUUUCGCCAACCGAUCUCUCCUCGAGAGUGCUUCAUAACCGAAUGCCUUGCUGCCUUCAUCACUAGCCCAAGAACAUUACAAAUUCUCCCCCAACUUGUCUCAUUAUGAGUUUAGCCAAGCGUCUCGCCUCCCACGCGUCUCGCUCUCGUGACUUAAUCUGCACGCCUCCAACGUCAAGGCCUGGGCUUCGCAACAUCGCAUGCCACAAAGGGCAAUCAUAACCAUGUAUUUCUCACCAUCGUGCCUCAAGCGCUUGACAACGUCCAUGGCCAUACCGUAUACGCGGCCUGCUCGCUCGGUCCAACGGCAUACAUCCGAAAAGCCGCCCAAGUGUGCGCCACAAGCUCGCCUGUCUCCCAAUGCCAGCGACUUAGCGUGACACCCCGCACGCCCAUGCUUCGUACUUCCGUGCUUCACAUCCGACCCGUACGGCUCUCGUGUCCCAUCGCUCCUGGCAAGGGAGCCAACAAGUCAACACCGUGCUUCCCGACCGUCUCGACGACCCUUGUUUUGCCAUGGCGCUCCACGCCCUUGGUUCCCAUAGGUUCGCCUCGUAAGGCCCCAUACAAACGAACCGGCCUCACUCCGCAUCGCUAGCCACUGGCCCCUUUUUAGCUCGACCAUGCCUAACCGUUCACACCAUUGGUCCAGUCCAUCAAGGUUCACUAUACGGAUACCGAUACCGCUUACCUCUUUGGGUUCCGCCCCUCGAGUCUCGUAGGCAUCCCACCUUGCGAAUUCUCCCCCGGCGUGCCUACCUUUAGCGAGCCAACAGAGUUCCGCCUCUUUGGCAUUCGUGGGCACCGCGCCCCACGAAUCCCCGCUAAGCACACUUGCCUUCGCGAGUCUUGUCCUUUAUGGAGGACCAUCCGUUGCUAGACUAUCCCUCAUCCGCUCGUACGCUCCACUACGAAGAUCCAAGCCGGCAUAAGGUAGCGCAAGUGAUCCUAGGAGGAAAGCCUCCCGGUAUUCCCCGCUCCGUAAUGUCGUCGACCUCUCGCGUCUCCGACAUUACCCUAGGCCCGUGUACCUUCAACUGUCUAAUACUCGGUCACACGGAACGCUAGGCUUGGCUACUCCGCUAGCCAAGGGACGACCCAUGUUCUAUCGGUCACCCAUAAUAUUUGCACCGGUCAAUUUUUUUGCCACAUAAUAUCCGUGAAUUUUUUAAAUAUCUCAACAUAAUUAUAGGUGACUAUGAAAUAAUUUCUCCUUCAUUAUAGGUGAUUUUUAAUAAUAUAGCAAAAGAUAUUAAUUUUUUGCCAUUAGAUCUUAUCUAAUGAUUGAAAAUAAAAAUAUCUGUUAAUUUUUGUGACAAUAUUACCCUUGCAUUUAUAUCCUAUUUUCUAUCUUUUCUAAAAUAAAAUAUCUAUAUUUGAACUUGGCACGUAGAUUAUUUUUCCUAAAGCAGUAAUAUCCGCACCCACCAAUUCUUUCGCGUGAAUUUCUCAAAUAUCUCAACAUAAUUAUAGAUAACUUUGAAAUAAAAUCACCUUCAUUCAUUAUAGGUGAUUUUUAAUAAUAUUGUAAAAGAUACUAUUUCCUUAAAAAAUUUAAUUUUAUUUUUCCUAAAGUAGUCAUAUUCCCUAAAAUAGUAAUAUCCGCACAACAUAAUUAUAGGUGACUUUGAAAUAUUCCCUAAAAUAGAAAAUCUAUAUUUGAGCUUAACACGUAGAUUUUCUAUACAGUAAAAGAUAUUAUUUUCUUAAAAAAUCUAAUUUUUUUUUCUAAAAUAAAAAAUCUAUAUUUGAGCUUGACACGUGGUAAACAUAUAAAGCGCCACGUGUCAGCUUUUCACAUAAGGUUCAUUAAGGGAUCUACUUUAGUAUAUAGUAAUAAAAAUAAUAAAUAAUAAAUAAUCUAAAUAAAAUAUCCAAAAUUUUAAAUAUUAGGUAAAUUUGAGAUAACUUUUAUAUAUUUUGCUUUGAAAAAAUAUGAUUUAAUAUUAUAUAUGCAGAAGGUAUUAUGUGAUUGAAUAUUAUAUAGGUGGUGGAUAUUAUGUGUGAGAAAAAAAAAAAUUAAGGUAUGCGAAUAUUAUUUGUGAUAAAAUAUGAUAUUAUGUGGGCGACGGUUAUUAGAAAAUAUGAUAUUAUUUGUGAUAAAGCAAAUGUAUGUUAAAUUUGAAAAUGAAAUCGUAUUUUACAUUUUGAUCAGAAAGAACUAACUCUAUAAAAAAAAAAAUAAAUAAAACAAAUGUAUGUUAAAUUUGAAAAUGAAAUCGUAUCUUACAUUUUGAUCAGAAAAAACUAACUCUAAAAUAUUCACCAUCUCUGGGCGAUGAAAUUCAGGCAUAGUAUACAGACAAAUCACUCUAACUUUGAUCUUCCAUUUGUCUCCAAGACGAGUGAUGUCACGUAUUGAAUUAUACCCAAGUGUCAUAUCCUGAGAAAAAUAAGACAUCCAAUACAAAAAUUAAUACAUCAUAUUUAAAUAAUAAAAUAAUAAAAUAUAUGUUCUAUUUUAAAGCAUCAACAUUUAAGAACUAAGAAAAUUACAGGAGUGACAGUAGAGAAAACAAAAUUACGAAGGACAGUAGAGAAAAAAAAAUUACGAAGUAAAAAAUUAUAUCUAUACUACUUAUAAAUUUUUUCGCAAAGAAUAAUUUCAAAGCAACCGCGAAUCAUUUCGUUUUUACUUUGGUCAUCUAUACCGAUUUUUUCGCAACCAAUCAUUUCAAAUAAUUCGUAACAGAUUAUUACGUAUUUCACAACCAAUAAUUUUAAAUAAUUAAUUAUUUGCCAAUACGAAAUUUGAGUUUGACCAUUUUUUUCGCAACUAACCAUUUCAAAUAAUUCGCAAUAGAUUAUUGCUUAUUUCGCAACCAAUAAUUUUAAAUAAUUAAUUAUCUGCCAAUACGAAAUUUGAGUUUGACUGUUAUCUGCCAAUACGAAAUUUGAGUUUGACUGUUAUCUGCCAAUACGAAAUUUGAGUUUGACCGUUAGAUUAUUGAUUUCGGAACCAAUAAUUUUAAAUAAUUAAUUAUCUGCCAAUACGAAAUUUGAGUUUGACCCUUUUUUUCGCAACCAACAAUUUCAAAUAAUUCGCAACAGAUUAUUGCUUAUUUCGCAAGCAAUAAUUUUAAAUAAUUAAUUAUCUGCCAAUACGAAAUUUGAGUUUGCAACAGAUUAUUUCCACCAUGAAAAAAUAAUUCGCAAUAGAUUAUUGCGUAUUUUGCAACCAAUAAUUUUUAAUUAAACCAAUAAUUUCAAAUAAUUCGUAACCAAAUAUCCAUAUUUGAGUUUGACACGUGGCAAGCAUAUAGAAAGCCACGUGUCAGCUUCUCACAUAGGGUUCAUUACACGUGGCAAGCAUAUAGAAAUAUCCAUAUUUGAGUUUGACACGUGGCAAGCAUAUAGAAAGCCACGUGUCAGCUUCUCACAUAGGGUUCAUUAAGGGUUCUACUUUUAUAUAUAGUAAUAGAAGGGCUUGAAUAAGAUUAUGCAAUAUAUGUAGCUCUAGAUAGAUAUACUAAUUGCACACAAUUUAUUUUUAUAAUUGUGGAACUAAAUUUUCUAGUUCUCCUGUUUGCUUAAUCAGCAGGAAAUUAAUGGUGUAAAAGCUAAAGUUUUCUACGGUUAAUAUUUUAUUAUUUGUUCUUACUCUUUUUUUUCGUAAUUGACUUAGCCCUAUGGUAGAUCAAAGUCAAUUACGGUAUUUUAAAAAAUUUUAGUUCCGACUGAAUGUGGAGUUAUGGUGAAUCAAACAACAAAAGUGGGUAAUUAUAGUGAAAAUAAAUUCACUUUUCUCCACUUUCGGUGAAACAAACAGAUCCAGAUGGUGUCAAUAAUUUGGCUCGGUCAAAUUAGAAAUUUAAGCUACAAAACUUUGAUCCUUUACUUGACACUUUACGAAGGACCUAAUUUUAAAGCAAAUUAAAGAUAAAGAUGUAGGGCUCGAGAUUCUUUGCUUCUAUAUCCUUGGGCUGAUUAGUACACACUAGGUACAGUCCCGCGCUUCGCUGCGGAUAACAGUUUGAUUAACGCUUAAAUAGUUUGAUAGCAUAUGAUUUAAAUGUUUGAUAAACAAAGAGGAUAACAGUUUGAUAAACACUUAAAUAGUUUGAUAGUAUAUGAUUUAAAUGUUCAUAGUUUGCCUUCAUCUGUGGAAGGACAUAGUUUGAUAAAGAGGAAGCAGAGAGUCGAAACAUANAAGAUAAUAAGUAGCCAAAUUAAAAUUCAAAUUCAAACAAAAAUGAAAGGUGGAAACCAAAUCAAAGAAGAAAGUAACACCAGCAGAAAAAUAGAGAUUUUUUUGCCACAAAUAAAAAUUUUAUAGAGGCAUAUUAUAUAGGUAAAAAAAAAUCGCAUUUAACGUAAAAUGACCUUUUGGAUUUAACAAAUACAAAUAUCCGAGUAGUUAAAAAGAGCGUAGAAAAUGAAUCCGAGCCAUUUUUGCAACCGAAGAGGGAUUAAUCUACAGGAACGAAACGUUGCAAACAAAAAAGGCGCGACGACCGACAGGAAAAAGGACCGACAAUGAACUUGGCCCAAUUUUCUGUGUACGGAGGACGCAUUAGGAGUCGAAGAGGCAUUUAAAGGGGCGAGCAGUAUCUAGGGAGGGCAAAAAAAAAUCACAUUCAACGUAGCAUGUGUAAUACCCUUCAUUUUGAGUUGGUCUAGGGGCAUAGUGGUCAUUUUUUUGGAUAAGGAUGCCACCACCCUUUUUAUGUUUCUCUCUUCAAAUUAACAUAGAGUGUGCAUUUUUUUUGUUCUCUCUAGUUAAUUACGUGCAUGGUGGAGAGCACGGGUAGAGGUAGCCGAGAAGCUCGGAUUCGACAUCGACGUCGCGCCGUAAAGCCGUUCGAGGAUACGGUUGCAGUCGUAGCAUCAUGAGGAGGCUGGACGAGGGUGCGUUUCCGCCGUUCUCGAUGUCGCGCCGGAUUGGAUUUAGCUUUCGAGGUGGGUUUAUCAUCGGAUUCCUACUCGUAUAGUCUUGUUGGUCGACAUGUAUAGUUAGUAUUACACAUUACUAUUGUUUUAGCUCAGUUUCAUAUUUGUAAAUGUUGUUUUCAUCUAAACUGAAAUUGGAGCCUAUUUUUAUAAAUAAAUUAUACAUGUUGGACCUGAAUUUGACAUAGGAGAAAACCCGCAUUCGGGACCUGGCAUAUGUUAAACUAUCUUAUUUAGCCUAGGGGCCGUUGUAUUAUUUUAUACUGUUGCAGUAUCCUCAUAGUGAGUAUUCCAGGUAGUUUAGUUUUUAGUUACGCUCGUGCUGAGAUGCCGAGUGUAUUUUUAUAGUAGCGUUCAGGCUGUUCCGGACUGUUGGGUGCCGUAAGAGUUGACGGUGGACUCGUAUCGCCUUUUUGGCGUCAGAUUGUGCCGAGGGCACGUUACCUGUUGGUUGUUAGACCAGUUAGAGUCGGUUACUUGACUUAGCCUGUGAGAGCGGUAUGAACUUGACAGAGAUACUUGUAAACUCGUUGGGUCGCGCCCGCGAAUGCCAUUCUGGAAUGAGGUUUCAGUGCGAUGAGUGUCGCAGUUUCUGUUGGACAGUUCUUGAGCCGGCUACCCUCGGGGUGGUGUACGGCGCAACUAGAUACAGGCAGGGUGGGUCCGUUUUGGGCAGUCCUGGUGAGAUAGUGAGUGACAUUUUUUCCUACCUUUAGUGAGGUUGUGACGUGAGUGCAGUCUUAACCAUCCUGUUGGACCUUUUUCUGGGACCGACUAUUCUCGAGGUAUGGUGUAGUCUAAUUAGGUGAGACGGGUGUAUUCACAGUCUUUAGAGAGUUUUCUCCGCCGAUUACUCUUGAGAUACGACGUAUUCUAGUAGACGAGACGGGUGUAUUCACAGUCUCCAGAGAGUUUUCUCCGCCGGUUACUCUUGAGCUACGGUGUCACCUAAUUAGGCGGAACGAGUGUAUAUAUAUAUAUAUUAGAUAUUUAAAAAUACUUUUAGGUACACAAAACAGGUGUACCGCUAUAAUCGAAUUAAAAUUCGAAAACACCCUGGAUGGACAGUAUGAUUUAAUGGAGAGAUUUAUGGCGAGCGGAAGGAUCUACGGAGAGGUUGAAGACUACGUAGGAGAGAUUUGUCUUUUAACCUGGUUUAAGUAAAUGAUUUAAUGGAGGGAUCUACGGCGAGCGGAGGGAUCUACGGAGAGGUUGAAGAAUACACAGGAAGGAUCUAUCUUUUAACCUGGUUCAAGUAACAGCCAGGAAAAAAGGCAGCGCGGAAAAAAACAAUCGUUGCAAAGCAAUGACGGCUAAUUAGGGGAAGUUAACGUUUUUACCAAGCCUAAGUAAAAGAUGUGAGAGAAGCUAAGGAGCCUAUAAACAAAAACAACUUAGACUUCCCAGUACAACAGUGCGGGGCCUAAUGUGCAAGGGGCCCGUGCGGCUGUUUAGGCGGCAUAUGUUUCUUUAAAGGGGCCAUAUGCUUCGCUGUCGACAUGGACAUUUUGUAUGUUAUGAUGUUUGUCAUCAUAUCUCGACGAUCUUCUUGAUCAUUUCAUUUUCUUUGGCUCAAGGUAUAUGUAUGUGACUUAGGGUCUCAUGUUUCGAUGAGCGCGACCGCUCAAUUUUCAGACAUACAUGUACUUGGCUUUGGUUUUGUAGAUGGACGUCAUCCCCACGUAGAUCGAGACGAGGAGCCCAUCUCGAGAUUGAGCACUGCGGGAACGGAUCGAUGACUGGUUGUUGUCGUCGUCGGCUUCUGCUUCCGAGACGUUUUUACCCCAUUGUUGACCCGCACUCUUGAUGUCAUUUUUGUGCAUCAGGAGUCACCUACGGCGGGAGUUGUUAGUAACCAGGUGGGUGAUUCAGAUGUCUUCCAUUGUUCCGAUCGUCCUUUUCGACCUUUCUUUAGAUGGCGAUGUAUAGCGAUGUGAUCGUACUAGAUGUGAUUGGUUGACAUCAUUUUCAGUGUUGACUGAGUUAGAGUGAUCCUUGACACUUGUGUGGGCAGGGCGGACAGCCUAGCUUGGGCAUAGGAUGAGGUCCUUAUCGACCACCUCUUUUGAGAGAUCCCUGACACUNNNNNNNNNNNNNNNNNNNNNNNNNNNNNNNNNNNNNNNNNNNNNNNNNNNNNNNNNNNNNNNNNNNNNNNNNNNNNNNNNNNNNNNNNNNNNNNNNNNNUUGACGGGGAUUCUUUCUUUUCUAGUUCUUUUUGUCUCUUCCUAUCUUUUCCUCUUCUUACUAUCUUUGUCUUUUACAUUUCUUUUCAUAUAUUUUUAGCUCCAACCAAUGGGCUUUCUUUCACCAUACUACUCGUCCUCGCUGAUUACUUUGUCAAAACAUAUCGUUCACCUAUCGGACCAAAUACUCGCUCAUUUUGGCUUUUUUACCCAGAUCAAUCCUGAGAAUUCCUUUUGUGAGGAUCUUCCGUUAUGGCUAUUACUAUUUCAUGAAUUCUUUGGUACCCUCGAUCUGACCGAGGAAGAGUCUUAUGACUUUCGCGAGUACUUAAUGAGUUAUUUGUCUUUGGCUGGCUCGUAUCGAAUUGUUAUGCGGUGAUUUGGAAAUGAAUCGAAAUUUUCGAGCAUCAAAUUAUUUAAGACCUCCCGUGCUGACUCAAACUUCCAUAUCCCUCAGCUCUUCUGUUUUUGUCCCUGCCUCACAUUUUUUCUUUUCAGAAGGGGCCUCUCACUCGAACUUUCGAUGUACUCCGUAUGUAGUUUAGCCCAUGGCGUCACUCUUCCAUGGCCUCAAUCCUGAUGUGUGUUGAUUUAGCCACAUUGAUCUAAUGAUUAUGCACUAUUAUAAUUUUUAAAAUUUACAUUUGACUUCUACUCCGGUAAGAAAAAGAGACACAGCGUUCCUACUAUAUUGAGCUGUGCCUAAUUCUUUUCAGUACUCCGUCGCAGAAAAUUAAUUCAAGAUUUUUUCCAACGCGUUGUUUAGUACGCUGAUAAUGCCUUGGGCCAUAUUUCUUUCUUUGUCUAUAGAGAAUUUUGAUCGUUUAAACGUACUCUGAAGGCUGGUGUAACAUUACUCAUGGCUGACUUAGUCUUCUUUUUAUGCAAUAUUUUUGCAAUUAUUUUUCGAAAUUGUAUAUGUACGAAUACUCUACAUAGAUUCAGCUUGCCAUUUUGAUCCUACGAGUUCUCGUUGGUUUGCCAUAGCCACCAUUGACUCGUUCAUCCUUUGAUUUUUUACUUAUUCUCUUUUUUUAUGAAUUCGUCCUAUUCUUGUUUUUUGGUCUCUUUGCUGACUGCUCACUGCCACUCGCUUGUUUUGGCAGAAGAAUCUUUCCAAGUGUGAAUGUGCUUCCUCGUUGCAGUGACAUUUUGAUGUUUGCUUAUUCUUUUUUUGGACCCUCGGAUUUACGUUGGCCUAAACCGCUAUCGAAUGUGUUAGCCAAGCAUUCGGUUCACCCCGCAAGUUUGUCAUAGUCAAUUGAAUUUUACCAAGCAAUUUCUUCUCCUGGCAGAAUUUUUACGGCAAAUUACUGUCGAUCUCUCGCACCGCUUACCAAAGUAACGGCGACGCGAUCGAUUUCACUCAUGAAAUCUUCUCCGGCGAUUUUCAAUUGCACUAUUUUAACGAAUUUAUACCCGAAUAUAUGGAGUUUCGCUUCAAUGCUAAUGUGAUUCUUUUUCCGAGAGAACCUUUCUCCGUUGUUUCGCUGCACAUUACAAACUCUCAUCCCUUGGUUUUUUUAUUUAAUAUUACUCUUCAUUCUUUAUUUUACUUAUCUGCUUCUUACUCGCAGUCCCCUUUCCGGCAAGACCAUGGUCGUAUCUAGUCUGUCUGAACAUCUGUACUCUGAAGAAAGUCGAAGAGUGCUAGUCCUCGCCUCCUUCCUCUGUAAAUAUCAUUCCUACCAUUAUCAUCUUAAUUCAUCGUUGCUUUUUCUUAUUCUUAUUAUUGUUUGUUUCAUUUUCAUAGUCUGUUCGUUUCAUCUGUCCCAACUCAGGCACAAACGACGAAGUUGUAGUGUACUCCGCCGUCCUCAAAAAGGCAUAUAGUGGCAAAGAAUUUCAACAAGGCGAAGUACCCUUCUGGCUGGAAACCCAGCUAAAGACAGAGCCGAACUUCCUUUGGCGGGACAUUCAAUGCAGAACUAUCACACCGUCUUGGCACAUGGAAUCCCCCAUAUUCUCGUCAUCAACAAUUAUGUUGGAGUAAGCGAUAAUUAGCCAUCCAAAACAACAUUCUUACUUAUUUAUGUUUUCUUUUUACUACACUCUUUUCCUGAUCGAGCCCUUUGCUAAUUUUGAAGAUGACUAGAUGGAAUGCAACUUAUGUUGAGUUCCGACUUGAGAAAAAGAGAGGGAUGGAAAAGAAGAAAAGGUCUAUCAAAACGGCGAGCGCGGCGCCGUUGCCAAGUGAGGUUUCGCCACCUCUUUUCAUUCCUGCGCCAACAUCAACUAUAGAGGAUGAACGAAAAGACAUACCUCUCGAGCGAACCUCUGAAGACAAAGUCACUAUUUCUCCCCGUUCGACCCAGGGAGUUUCUUCCCCUACUCCUGAUGAUCCUUUAUCUACAAUUCUUCAUUCUUUUUUGAUUUCAAGCCCUAGCUCCAAUGAGGGGGAUGAUUCUUCGACUGUGACCAUUUCAUCGGACACCCAGAACAAGUUCGAUGAAUGUCUUAAAAUAUUUGGCACCGGAAUUCCGAGUUUGGCUCAAAAUCCAGAGCAAUCUGAUCGGCUAUACGCCCUUUUACUCGAUUUAGCCGAUCGAUCAGAUGUUUCCCCUGGUAUCAAGUAUUUUGUAUCAACCUUAUCACUCCAACUUUCAUCUUUUUUGGCUCGGCAGCAAUCUUUAGGCGCCGAACUUGUAACUUUAGAUCAACAUUUUCAUCGCGUUGAUCAUUCUAAGAAAAAUAUCCCUGACAUAGCAUCUCCAAUGGUUGAAGUGCAUCAAGAAGAUAGGGAGUUGGCUGAUCAAGAAUCGGCUCUGCAAAAAAGGAUUUCCACUCUGAAAGAAGAAUUGGCAGCAGCCGAAUCCACUCUAGCACUGUAAUACACUGAACUUUUGCAAAUUGCGGAGUUCGAGUAUAUGGAAUGGUGCGUGGAUCACUCCUACAUGUUCUAAAAGAUUAGAACAAGUUUUUGGAUAAGUUUGAGGAUGAUUUGAAUGCUAAAAGUGAGAAAUUGCAUUGAACUGGCAAAAAUCAGCCUUUUUCUGCUUGCUGUACCGGUACAGCCAUCACCUUGUACCGGUACAAGCUGGCAGAUUCGUGGCAGCAAGGUUAGUUUCGUAAUUUCACAUUUGAUACCUACCUAUUUGAUCCCAGCACGACUCUGGGACUUCAGUGGAGUGUGCUAGAGCUCAGCAAAGGGUUCUUUCACCUUCUUCUCUCUCUCUCUUUAGGGUUUUUCUCUCUCUACUUCGAAUUCGCCGAUUUCGCUCGUUUCCGUCGUAUCGCGUGUUCUUCGCUGGUCGCGAGCGUUGUGGAGCCUCCGUGGGCGUGUGAGAGAGUGUUUUGGAAGACUCUUUGCUGUCCUGAACCAGUAGGGUGCUGGUUGGAAGCUCGAGAAGGUAAUCGACUCGAUUUUCUCCAUUAGCGACGUUCGAGUAGACUUUUAUGUGUUGCUUUUGAGUUAUUGCUUCUAGUUGCUUUAAUUUGAGAUUUCAGCAAUUAAAAUUGGAUUAUUUAGCUAUGAAUUAAGGUCCUUAGACCAGGGAUAAGCUACUUUGGGGCUUAAUUGAGACAACUAGUUCAAUAUGAAACAAAUUUGGAAUUAAACGCGAACUAUUGCCACAACUUGAUGUAGUUGGACUUGUUCUUUCGCAGCAGGUUCGCGAGCUCCUUGGGGUUGAUUUGGGGACCAGGGAGGCUAGUUUGGAAGGUACUCCAACUAAGGGUAAGCUGGAAUUGCAGCUAGAAACUGAAAUCGCAUAAUUCCGACUAUAUUUGCUAUAUAUGAUGAUUUUGAUGUCGUGUUUGUGUUGAUCGCAGUGGGAGUUCGACCGACCUUUGGGUCAUCCUUGGUUGGCUUUGGGAAGCCUUUAGAGACUUAAUUGGAGGUACUAAAGUGAACCAAAACAACGAUUUAUGUUAUUACUUGAUACGAGAUGUGAAUUGAGCCGAAAUCGGACAUUUCGGCCGUAGAUUUAAUCCGAUCUUGACGUUUGUUUUUCAGCAGCAUUGGGGCUUCGUUGAGCCGUUGUGGGACUUCUUGUGGAUAAUUGGAGCCUAGUACUAGGUGGGUCGGACCUAACCAGAGCAAGUGAAACUCCUCUAUGUUCUAUAUGUAUUAUAGAAAUGGUCUUAUUGUGUGCUUAUGUGAUUGAUAAGGGCUCGACGUUCGUUAUCAUAAUGUUGAACAUAUUCGAAAUGAAGUCUCUAUAAAGUAGAGAACACUUUUACAUGAAAGUAUUUAUAUUCGUAUUCAAUUCAGUUGAAUGACUUAUGAACAAGUGUAGAAUGCACUUAUAAGGUAGAGAACAAUGACAUCCUUUUGACUCUAAAGUAGAGAACUAUGACAUGCUUAUGACUAUGUUGAUAGUGCCAUGAUAGUAGAAAGACUCUAAUGCCAUAUAUGAACUAGCAUUACUCUUACAUGUUUGUUAUCUAGUGGAUACUAGUCGUUAUUAAUAUUGGCUAUAUUGAAAUUCCGAUCAAAGGAUCGAGAGCAAGAAUAUUGUGAGCUAAUUGUGAUAGCUGAGACAUGUUGGACUGUGGAUAUGCUUGCUUGCCAUCGUGCUCAUUCGCACACGCUUGUGAGGGUCGCUCCCUACAAGCUGGCACUCCGGAGUUGGCCUACGCGACAGUUGCUCGCCCGUGCGGGAUUGGGUGCCGAAGUGGAUUGCCGUGGGGAGUGUAUACUACCACGGGGCCAUUAGGCGCGGCGCAAGCUGGACUACCUUGGGUAGGUCCCUGUGAAUGAAAGGAUAGUACUCAAUGAAAAAGGACAGUAAUGAAUGCUUAUGAAUUAAAGUGUACAGUAGUCACUUUCAUGUUCGUGCUUAUAUUCAUGUCUAUGUUCAUGAUUACAGAAAUUGCCAUAUCCCUAUUAUGCAAAUGAUUCAUUACUGUAGAAUGCCAUUACAUGUUGAUUACAUGCUUAUUACUUGUUAGCAUCAUGCUUAUAAACCAUGCAAUUAUUGUUUUUGCUUUCAAUUAGUACAUCAUGAGCCUAGUGGUGUAAUUCGCCGAGGCUGGCGGCUUACCCACUGGGAACUAUUGUUUAUAGUUCUCACGCCCUUUUUGGUGGUUGUUUUUACAGAGCUAUCUACAGGAGAGGCUAGGGAUCGUGGCAAGGGAGUCGCGCCUAGCUAGGCACUACUAGGAGCGUGCUAGUCGAUCACCUUGUUACUCGGGCUACGGCCGAGGGUGAUGUCCAUUGUAUAGAGUGACCACCAUUGUACCUAUUUUUGUAUACCCGUGAUGUAUAUUUACUGUUGAUCCAGAUGUUUCUGUUGUGAUACUUGCCCUUUAGCCGAGAUUUUGGGAUUGUAGUUUCCUUUGUUAUUUUACUGUUAGUAUACAGACUUGUACAUUGCUCUGAUAUCAGGACAGGACUUUCGUUGUUUCACUUCCUAUCGACUUGCUUUCUUCGUAGACGCCUUAUAUACUGCAGGUGUAUGGCGGGUCUGUACACGUACCGGAUAUGCUUCCGCUGGUACCCGGGCGUGACAGAUUAUAGUGGUAUCAGAGCCUAGGGUUGAGUCUUCGUAGACCUAGCAAACCUUAGGCUGGUUGGACUAUAAGGAUAGGCUCGUGAGAGACGAUGUCUAGUCGAGGUUGUUGUUAGCGAAAGUACUUUGAUUGGGUACUUAUAAACUCCGAAUAGUAGGAGUUUGAUCGGGAUGUGCAAGUACUAACUUUGCAGAGGGUCACGUUGGCGGCCGACAACGUGACAUCGGAAGUUAGUACGCGUUACAUUUCAUUACUUUCGCUUGAUUAGUUGGUUUCUAUCCUCAAUGAGGAUUCGAUAGUAUAGGGUUUAUUGACCUAUGUUUGUUUUUGUGCUGCAGCUUAAGAUGCCGUUGACUCGUUCGCAAGCCGCCGGGGCAGCUGAGGCGGCGGAUGCAGAGGAAGUGGGGACUUCUGUUACUUCGGGAGCUAGUGCGAUCCAUGAGUUACAGGAUCAGCUUGCGAUGUUGACGGAUUUGGUUACUCAGCGGGCUGCAGCAGCACGACAGCAGAUGGAUGCCGUGCGUCGGCAGGAGGACAGGAUGAAGAGGUUAGAGGAUCUGUUACUGCGACAGACGACUGACAGAGGAUUCCAGCUUCUGUACUCCCAGAUUCUGUACCUAUAGCACCAGAGAGGGGCACCACAGUGAGAGCAUAGUCACCUGUACUGGACACACCCCCAGUAGCUCCGAGGGCAGAGACCCGACAGGAGACAGUAGUACCACCACCAGUACCUGUAGCAGCAGCUGGGACAGUGUUACCCGAGAUGGUGGGGGUUGAGGAGCGAGAGCGGAUGAUGGAACGACUGAAUGAAUUCCGUCGCUGCAACCCUCGUAUCUUUGAUGGGGAGAAGGCGGAUCAUUGGGUGGUCGAGAAAUAGUUAAUGCACAUGGAGAAGCUAUUUUAUGACACUUUUGUUGAGGAGCGGUACCGAGUUUGGUUUGCGACACACCACCUUGAUGGCGAGGCUUACAGGUGGUGGGUAGAUAUCCGUGAGGAUCCUCGUACUGAUUUGUCCGCUAUCACCUGGGCGAGGUUCAAGAACUUACUGUUGACUACUUACUUUCCUCAGAGUGUCAAGAGACAGAUGGAAAGGGAUCUGAGAAACCUGAGGCAGGGGGACAGGACAGUGGCAGAGUACGAGCGAGAGUUCUCCCGAUUACUGCACUGCGUUCCUUUUGUAGUUUGAGAUGAUGAGGACAAGGCUCGCAUAUUUGAGGUGGGUUUGCGACCUGCGAUUUUCCGAUUGGUCCANGCGAUAAAUGCAGGAAAGAAAGAUGCAAGAAAAUAAAGGUGGUCUUUUGUGCGCAGGGGCGAAGACCUGUUUUCAGGGUACUGCAGGCCUAUUUAUAGAUUUGCCUUUGCAUUCAUUUGUUGUUAUUGCACGAUCGGCCAUCUUCUCCGGAUUUGGAGGACCACGUUCGGCCGAUUGGAACCGCCGUUUGGAACCGCUCAUAACCGCUUGCGGUUGCCACGUUUUUGAACAAACGCGGCUCAUAUCUCUUAGCGCAUUUUUUCCGUGCUCUCGGUCCAACAUUUCGAAUCCUGAAUAUGGAUAUGAACUCGGCGUGCCAACUGUCCGCGCCGGAUUGGUCCAACAGGAUACGAGUUCGAAAUGUAGGUACAACUGUAGUACGUGGAUUCAACAACAACAAAUUAAAUAGAAUUUUUGGAGUUUAUUUUGGGAGUUUAUUAUGAUUGCACUUCCUAAUUAAUAGUUGAAUUUAAUGCAACCAACCAUAUAUAUUACUCGAUCCACGUCAGUAAGUGACUGAGAUAAGCCAUACUUUUCUUUCGGCCCUAAUAGUACAAAGAACGUGACUAGAUCUUACUAAAAUGUCAAAGAUAUAGUUAGCUUAUUCCUAAAAUUAUAUGUAAAGAGUAGUUAUCUUUGUCAAAUGGAUUGUGACACUUUGUGCAUGAAAAUGGCAAACUUCAAUUAUCACCCCGUGAUUUAGCAUAUUUUCACUUCUCCAUGCCAUUCUCUUGUUGAAAAUUUUCAUUUUUAUUCGAUAAUUUUAUGCUUGUCUCGAUCCCACCAUAAUAAUCUGUUGCCAAAUAGCAUAAUAACAUGAUAUAUUUUACAAAUUAUAGAGUGGCUAAGUCAAUACAUUGCAGGCUACUAAAAUGCAGCAUUUUACAUACCAUCGUGUGUAUCAUUUAUAAUCCUAUGGUUUGUAAAUUAUAGGAUUUUAGUAUAACCCACUUAAUUAACGGCUAAUCCUUACAGGAAUAUAAAGAAGAAAACCGCAAGACACUAACCUAAAAUAUUUUAAACCACAGGAUAGCUAAAUAAAUACAUGAUGAUAAAUAAGAAGGGGACAAAUUGAACUUUCCUCAUCAAAACUAAUAAAAUGCAUGGUUUGUUUAUUGUUUACCUCUUCCAACAAAUAAGAAACUAAGAAGUUGUUAGGAGCCGAAUUCCGUCCUCUUUGACCCAAUCAAAGAUCUUCCUCGGGAAGCACGUUGGGAAGCGAAAUGGCUACGAUUAGUAACCCUCGAAGUUUGCGCCCUUCAACUGGAUCAAGCGAUUCGGCUGAUGAGUGAUCGAAUCAGCCGAGUUCGAAAACCUUUACUGUAGAAUUGGUUCGGCUAGAUGAGCCGAAUAAAAUGCACAGAGUUUUUGGUCGGCUGAUAAGCCGAAUAUAUGGAAUACACAGUGAUUGGUCGGCUGAAAGAGCCGAAUGCUUUUAUAUAUAUUAAUAAAACAGAGUUUGCCCGAAGGGCAUACAGACUCUGAAAAUCUAGUUUGCAACAGAGUGUGCCCGUGGGGCAUACAGACUCUAGAGAUUUAAUUUAAAAACUACUCCUAGAAAAGCAGUAAAUGCGGGUAAAAAAGAUUACAUGUUGACCGCUUCUAAAAAAGCGAUAAAAUUGCAAAGAAAAUAAAGGUGGUCUUCUCGUUCAGGGGGGUGAAAGACCCCUAUUGCAGGCUUCGAAAUUACUAUUUAUAGUAAUAUCAACCCACAUUAUUGGUUGGUUGAAAGUAGUGGGGUGAGUGGUUGUAAUCAUGAUCGUGGAAGUUAUGCCCACUUCUCACGGAAGUUACAGCCCAUCGUGGAAGUUACGCCCCACUUCUCAACCGUUUCCGCUUAAAACCUUCAGGUGCCUUAUUGUCGACUCCUGGUGUCACGCCACGAAUGCGAUCCUAUUUGGCCGGUUAGAGGGCGUCAAACAGACGCAGAACGGACAGAGUCUCCCCUGUACGCCCAAGGCUCAACACCCUGUACAAAUAGAGUAUGAAUUUUGCACAAAACGGAAGCACACAUAAUGGCUUGCACGAGGGCAAGCAACAGCCAGUAGUGAAAGAAUCUAGUAAACAUCAUACAAGUAUUUGAUUAAAUUUAAAUCACAUACAUACAUUCAACUUUAAUACAACUUUACAUCAUUUCUUUUAGACAUCACAAGUUCUCCAAAAUAUGAUCCUUGUCCAUUUAACAUAAAUAAAGUCUUCUACAUCAUUCCUUUAACAUGAUCACAAUACUAACAUCAUCAAAAUAGAAAAGAUGAUAAUAAGGGGUAUGCAACUAUGAAAAUAAGACAUCUUGGGCGGUCUCUACCUAGGGCGCGAUGCCCUUACCGCGAUAGUCUGCCGGCUCGCUCGGUCCCGGCUCUGUGGAAAUAGUGGGGUGAGAAUUACAACAAAGUUCCCAGUGGGUUCGGCAACCAACCAUGCCGACUAUCCCACUAGGUCUAAUAAGGCAUAAUAGAAGAAAGAAUAGAUAAUAACUAACUAACAGAUGCAGCUAAUAUGCCUGAACGAUAAGUAAAGCUAUGCUCGAUAGAAUGCUCAUGAUGAAUGCAAGUUAUUAAUUCCAUAACCCAAUCUCGUGGCUAGCCCGUAGGUUUCGCCCUCACAAACUCACCGACCCAAAUCUCUACUAUCGGGGAGAAUUCCGCUACGACCCGACAGGACCGUCCUCUUGGGAGAAUUCCGCUACAACCCAGUGAUGACAACUCCGGAGCACAUCGCCCGAGGGAGAGCUACCGCCCUCGAGCAAGGACUAUUAGGUGAGUACGAUCAAUCCUUAACUUUAAGGAUUCCAAGUUCAAUCCAUUCCUUGACUUCAAGGAAAACCAUAUUCAUAUGACCCUUAACUCUAAGGUGUAUAUGUCAUAAUGUCACUAACCCAAUUUACUUGCAUUCUCUAGCCUCUACUUGUGUCAUGUACACUACUUGUUCUUGUUCUUUGUCAUUGAUGCCACACUUAUUUUCUAAGUGUUCAAAACUCGUCAAUGCUACUCACUAUGGUCGUGUCCAAUGUCACAAUUAUUUUCUAAGUCCACUAGGUUCUUGUUCUUCAACAUGCAUACAUAGGGUUUAUAAAUUUUCCAUUAUCAUACGAUAUUCCACAUGCAUUUGAACCAACAAAGUGCAAUAAAAACUCAUGAGUAACCCUACUAUGCGAUAUGCUCAAUGUAUAUGUACAUGCUCAAAUAUGACACUUUAGACAUAAAAGGAUUUUCGAGGUCCUUGGAAUGCACCACCCACCUUAGACGGUUGUAGGGAUGCUACGAUGAAUUUUUUGAAAUUUUUGAAGCCCUAGUCCGCGUGCUGCGGCUAUCUGUACGGAAAAUGACGUUUUUGUCAAUAACUUUGUGUACACUCGUCGGAUUGUCGAACCCAGCGUUCCAACGCGUUUAAAAUACCCUCAAUUAGGUUUCUACAUGAUCAAAAUAGAUCAAAAUCCAACUUGGGCAAAACCUCUCUUUGGGAUGCUCUAACCAAACCUAUUGCUAAACCCUAGGUUUUGAUCCCUAGAACAAGCAAAAGAGAGCUUGUUCAAAGUUUAGAAACUCAUUUUACUUAUUUUCUAUACCUCUCAACUCCAUUCUAGGGCACAAAACCCAACCCUAGAGUUUCUACUAUGAGAGCACGUGGUAACAUCUUGUUUCCAUGUGUUCUAUAGCCAUUAGAGAUUUCUAUUCUAGCUAAAAGGUCAAAACCCAAAGGUUUAAAACCAAACCCUAAAGUUCUAUGAGCAAAAGAACUCACCUUUGCCACGAGCUCACCCAAGUCCACCUUGUUGGAGAGCCACAAGAUCCUCUCAAGCCUCCAAAACCACCUCUUCAAGCUUCUUCUCCACCUUCUCCACCAAACCCUAGAGUUCUAGAGAGAGAAAAGAGAGAAAAUACGAGAGAGGUGUGUGUGUGGGUCUGUUGUGAAGGGGAGAAGGGAUGGGUAUAACACAUGUUGCAACAAUAGCAACUAGACUCUCCACCUUUCUAACCUGCUGCAGUUCGCUCCCUGCUGACAGAGGCUUCGCGUACCGGUACACGGUUUGGUAUCACCGGUACACGACCUGCGCAGAGGCAAACCCGAGAGCAUACUCGGCUCGGGUUGCUUGCUGUACCGGUACAGCCAUCAUGGCAUACCGGUACACAAUGCUCCAGAAUGCUGUUUUGCAUCGUUUCGACUCUACUUUGCGCCGUUCGAUGCCAAACUCAUUCUAAUACCUCUUUAACUCAUUUUUGCCCUUCCAAACUUGUUGGAAUGCAAAAUAAAACUUGCCCAUCCAUUUCUCUCGACACCUUAACCCAAUUCGGGUUAAGUUCGAUUCCUCGUUUUCGGGUUUUUGAUAUGUUACACCUGGUAUACCACGUGUCCUUAUUGGCUCAUACGUGGGUUAGGUCGGCAUGUUAAUUUCAAUUUUGGCAUCAACAAAAGUAAAGUACCCUAGACCUAAGUUCGAAUCCUAGUUGAUUCACAUUUUCAGCUAAGUUUAUUUCUAAAUGAAAAUAAAUGAAGCGGGUAGCGUGCUACCUAUCUCAAAAAAAAAGAAGUAAAGUACGUACAGUGUGGAUUAUUUUGAGUUGACUAUCAAUCUCUCAAAAUUUUUUAAUUUUUCUAUCCAAUCUUUAAAUUUAUUAAAAUAAUUAGUUUAAAUUUUGAAGUUAAAGUACCAUUGACUGACUCAAAUCAGACAAAUUAAAAAACUGGACAGUAAAACCAAAAUUUUUGAAGUUUGAAUAAUCGAUUUAAAAUAAUCCAUAACUUAGAUAAAUUCUUUACCUACUAAGAAACUAGAUAGAUUAAACUAGCACACUAAACAUGACUUUAAUAUCAAAUCAAGCAGCCUUGACACGGGAAGUUCAGCACUUGAGAACAGAUAAAUAGUUAAUUUGGACAAGAUUUUACAAAGUAUAACACUACAAUAAAAACGGUAAAUAGCGACACUUUUAAAUGUCGGUACAGAUAAAAAAAAAAUGCUGCUGGUUAAAUUACCGACACUAUAUGUAGGUCGCUAGGUAUAUAGUGACAGUUUAAAAGUGUCGGUAUAAGCUAAAAAGAAUUUGCUAAUUUACAAACACUUAUUUGAGCAUUUAGUAACCGCCGGAACCCUACCUCGUAGGCUGCGGCUGCGGCAACGAAGGAGGAAGAGAGCAAGGGGCUCUUCGUCUAGCAUUUUAGUAGAUUAAGUGAGGGGAAAAGGGGAGAUGGUGAUCGAUUUUUCUUUUUUUUUUUCUUUUUCUGUUUGUAAUCGGGCCGAAUGGCCUGGGUGGGGUGGGGUGGGGUGGGGUGAGUAGAGUAACCUUUUAUUUUUAUUUGCAUUAGGUUUUAUAUUUAGGCCAUAGUAGAUUUUUUUUAAACUUUUGGCAUAAAUAGGACACUUACACAGUGUCCUAAAAAUGUGUUUCUAUAAUCUAAUUCUAUAAAUGAAUUAGGCCAAAGAGAAUUUGAAAAAAUCAAAAUGCAUUUACAAAUUUGGGUUUAGGGUUUAGGGCCAAUAAAUUUGGAAAUUUGGAAAAAAAAAAUUGUUAUAGAAAUCCAAAAUAAGCAAAAUCAGUGCUUGUUAAUUAAUGCAACAUAUCUGGUAGACUAGAAAUAAUAUGUUCCAAAAGCAUCCUUAGAAACCAUUGUAAGGACUGAGAUUUUCGACAGUGCAACUAAACUUUCUGUUGAUGAUGUUUAUGUGUGUAAUUUAAUUACAUAAGCACUCGUCAAGUUUCGGGCGAAAACGAGUUAAAACGGAGAAGUUACGCGACCCGGAAGUUUGACUUAAGUGAAUAGUAACUCCGGUUUUUCGGAGAGGCUGCGGAGUAGAGUGGACUUUCGACGCGUAUCGGACUCCGAAUAUAGCCUUCCAAUAGCUCGUUUUCAACCGCUCGACUAUCCUGGACCCAAUGGCACUGACGGAAUUGGAUUUGGAUGCACGGAUUUCGAGAAAAAGGGGUUUAAUGGUUUUUGCAUAUAGUUGGCUAUAUGUGGUUUUUGGUGGAACCUAGGAGGGAUGGUUUUGUCGCAAAUCGGGAACCUUUUCGGGCGAAACGAAAUGCUAGAUUCGAUGCCUCUGUCGUGCUGAUCGCGCUGGUGCGAUCCGAUCGGAAAUCCGACGGACGGAUCUUCGGGAAUCGCGAAAAGUCCGCGAAGGGGCUGAUUUGAGUAAUCGGAUUAUUCGCGAAAAGGCCCUAUAUUUUAUGCAUCGAAUUGCGAGUCUUCGAACUCAGAGGGACUAUCGCGCAUUGUGCGACUGCUGGUUGAGAGCUGGGAUUAAAUAGAUUCCUUUCGAGGGGGUUUUCCGCGAGUUUUCCACACCUUUAUAUAGGUGGAUCUAGGGUUUUCUUGGACCAAACCCUAACCCUAGAACCCCCCAGCUGACCCCAGCCGCCCCUGCCAUCCCAGCACCUCCCUGCCCUGCCCGUGCUCGCGUUCCGGCCGCCGCCGAGCAGCCCCGGCCGCCGGAAACAGCCUGCAGCUAAUAUUCCUCCUCUCUUGGACCACCUCACCACCGGUUUAAGCUUGGUGCUUGGAGAGGCCUGUUAGCCCGAGCACCACCUUCCCCUGGUCGAGACCUUCCUCAGGCGCCCUCCCCCGCCGGCCCCGGCCACCCCCGAGCGUCGCCGGAGCCGCCGGAAGAGGCUGCAGCCAGCCGGGUCUGCCCAGACCCGAGCCAGGCCGAGCUCAGGUUGCGGGCCUUGGGACCGCACUUCCCCUGCGGCCAAGCCCCCCUGUCGACCCCGGCGACCUCCAGCAACCCGGCGCGCGCGUCCCCGGCCGUCCCCGCGCCCCGCCGGCCGCCGCCAAGGUCUCCCGCCGCCGCUCGGGUCCUGUGCGGGCCGACCUUGGAGCCGCGCCACUCCCGAGCGCUGCCGUUGCCCUCUGAGGUGAGCACCACCUCCCCCUUGGUCUCCGGCACCGGAUCAUCGCCGCCCCGACCUCCCCCGGUCGCCGCCUCGCCGCCGGCAAGCUCCAACCCGAGAGGAAGUGUGCGGGCCCGAUCUCCGCCGCCGCGCCACCGGCUGCUGCCCGCCGCCGGCCAGCACCUCCCCCGGACCUCCCCGACCUGCUGCUCCCAUCACCGGCCGGAGCGCCCGCCGCCCGAUCGCCGGCGGCCAUCCCUAGCUCCCACAGCUCCGGUGAGUAGUUUACUUUGGUUCCAGCACUGCUGUUUUGCGUUCCGGUCACUUUUCCGGUGAUCCGAUGACUCCCUGGCACCUCGGGAGGUGAGCACGGUGAUCGUGGGCUCGUGCUGAACACGAUGCUCACCUCCAUUUAGGUUAACGGUGCCCUGGUUAGUGAGAAAAGGCUGUUUUCCACAGUGUGCGCACUGAUUCGCUGAGGUUCGCGUCGCUCGUGCGCGCGUGGUUGCUGCCGGCAGUGCUCCGAAAGGUGAGCACGGCCUCAGGCAUGCUGAAACCUUGCAGCAAGUGCGAUGGCAACCUCCGUAGAUCCCUGGUUUGCUGGUACGACCCGUUAGAGCCAUGAAAUCACAUAAAAUAAUGUGAUUUCAUGGGCCAUUAGGGAUCCUUUUGCGUUUCGCUUCGUUGUGGCUGCUGUUGGCAGCAGGUUAAGGCUUAAGGUAACCUCUGGACUGAUCGUCCAAGGCCCCAAGCCCUUGCGGAAAUCUAUCUGUCAUUUCCGGAGCGUUUUCGGUGAAAUCCGCCGAUAGAACGCGCGUUCGACUCGGAAUUCAUCCGACGGUGCCUCGUGGUUGAUUGUAGCGUCGCUGAGCCUUGUUGGCUGGUCACCCGCGUCUUCUCGAGGGUUCGGAAACGACGGGUGAGCGACGGUGGAGUUUCGGUACGGUUUCCGGGAUUUCCGGCUGGUUCGGUAGUUGCGUUUGAGAAACCGAUUUCCGAGGGGUUAUGAUUUUGGGAUUUGUGUGAGAAUGGUCGUGUUAUUGUGUUUGUGGGUUAGACUCUAACCCGGUGGACCCUUCGUAGGUCCGGUCGCUUCGUCUCCGCCUUCGCGAGACCGUUUCAGCUUUAUACAGGUGGGUACUUCGAUCCGACGUCGGUACAGUGGUGCACGCUCGGUGAUAUUUCUUCUAUCCCUGUUCUUCUGUUGCUAUUUUCGUAUUAUAUAUUGAGCUUGCAUCCCCGUUGUUUCUAUUAUACUCUACUCAUAUGUUUCUAUGCUUAGUAUCAUGUGUAGGAGUAGAGUAGUUUAUCCAUAUGUGAUACCGGUGACCUGAUUGGUCGGUUCUCGUACUUUGUUUCGGUGACCUGAUUGGUCGGUUCUCGUACUUUGUUUCGGUGACCUGAUUGGUCGGUUCUCGUACUUUGUUUCGGUGACCUGAUUGGUCGGUUCUCGUACUUUGUUUCGGUGACCUGAUUGGUCGGUUCUCGUACUUUGUUUCGGUGACCUGAUUGGUCGGUUCUCGUACUUUGUUUCGGUGACCUGAUUGGUCGGUUCUCGUACUUUGUUUCGGUGACCUGAUUGGUCGGUUCUCGUACUUUGUUUCGGUGACCUGAUUGGUCGGUUCUCGUACUUUGUUUCGGUGACCUGAUUGGUCGGUUCUCGUACUUUGUUUCGGUGACCUGAUUGGUCGGUUCUCGUACUUUGUUUCGGUGACCUGAUUGGUCGGUUCUCGUACUUUGUUUCGGUGACCUGAUUGGUCGGUUCUCGUACUUUGUUUCGGUGACCUGAUUGGUCGGUUCUCGUACUUUGUUUCGGUGACCUGAUUGGUCGGUUCUCGUACUUUGUUUCGGUGACCUGAUUGGUCGGUUCUCGUACUUUGUUUCGGUGACCUGAUUGGUCGGUUCUCGUACUUUGUUUCGGUGACCUGAUUGGUCGGUUCUCGUACUUUGUUUCGGUGACCUGAUUGGUCGGUUCUCGUACUUCGUUUCGGUGACCUAGUUGAUCGGUGCUUUUAUCUUAUAUCUGUUGACCUGGUUGGUCGGUUGUUGCAUUAUGUAUUGGGUUGGUCUGUUUCUUGACUUCUGUUGUUCGAUGACCUUUGAGGUCGGUGUACCCUGAGGGGUAGGAUUGUCGGCUGGUGCUGACGGUAGUUCUGGACUAUAUCGAAUACACUCCUGUGACCUAUCGGUCGGUUCUUGCGUUCGUACUUUUAGUUGACAUCGAGCAGUAUCUACAUACUAUCUUUAUUUACUCUGCCUGGUUGUUCUAUGUGUAGUAUCCUGUAUAGGGGUAGAGUAGAUGGCAUUCGUAUAUACUAUACUUGUGACCUGGUUGGUCGGUUCUCCUAUUUGCAUCGGUGACCUGUUUGGUCGUUCGUUACUUUCCGUACAUUGACCUAUCUCGGUCGGUUCACGUUGUUACUUGAUGACCUACACGGUCGGUAUGCCCAGAGGGGCAGUGAUUGUCGGCUGAUUGCCGACGGUUGGCUAUUGAUCAUAUCCGCAUUGAUCGCCACAGCUCGAGUGCAUUUCACGUACACCAGCGGGUUGAUCCCCCGCAGGAGGGUGUUCUUUUCCGGAAAAGUGGUCGUACAUCCGACCCGUGAGCCCAGCGGUGUUCUCUUUGUGCUAGGGUUACAUGCCAGGUGUGAGCAGAUAGUGGCUUUUGCCUGAGGUCCUUAGACCGACACGGCGGUUUAGAUUGGGUACUUUUGGACUUCUCGUCCGGUUGACGCAUAUAGCUAUAGUAGCGGUUGUUGCAUAUAUACUUCUAGUUCUUUCUUUACAGUUGUCUUGCUACUAUAGUUUUGAUAUCCUUGUAUGCUUGCAGUUGUACAUUACAGUAGCGGUAGUUGUGCUUUCAUAUAUAUAUCUCAUUCGUUCAUUAUCGUUGCUACUGUAUUUUACUUACCCAUACUGUUGUUUAUCUCUUCCUGAUCCGGUGAGUACUCCUCGCCUUCUUCGGCUUGCGGUACCCACUGGGAGGGGAGACAUGUUUACAUGUUCUCACCUCCCCCACUAUUUUUCAGGUACUGCAGACGUUGAGUUUUGGGACGAGACGUGAGGUACGUUCGUAGCGGUCGAUAGAGCUUCCGACCCAGGUUAUCGGUUUAGUUUUAUCCCUACUAUUCUGUUGUUAUAGCUUAGUCAGUUUAUAUGGUUCAGUAUUUUUAUUACAUUGGAAUAUAUGGACUUUCAUGAACGUAUUAAAAGGAUUUCUGGAUUUGGUAAAAUAAAAGGUUUUCUACCCCUCGUGGUAGCUUCUAUAAAAGAUAAAAGUUUUCGCAUAUGGAACAGUUUUCAAAAGAUUUUUUGUGACUUCUGUUUAAACAUCGAGUGUAAAACUACGGUGUGAAUGGUGAAUGUAUGAAUGUAUAGCUAUCUGUAUAUUCAUUUGAUUGUGGUUGUAUACUGUUUGUACUUUUGUACUUGUGUGACGCCGUGCAAGUACAGGGGAGACUCUGUCCGUGUGAACAGUGGAUUCCCUGUAUUUGUGGCGGAUCUGGCAUACUCUGGGGUCAGGUUUUCAAAAAAAAAUUUCAAACGCUUUUCCGCUGUGUUUCAAAUAAAAAGGGGACCCCGGGGCGUGACAACCAUAGUCGGGCUCUGUUUGGAAUUUGCAAACUGUAAACAUUUUGUGGCUGCACUUUGGUGAUAUAAAGUUGUAACUGCACUAUAAUUAUAAUCACAUAUAUCUAUACUAUGAGUCUUACUACUAUGUCUUGCUACUAUGUUACCAAUAGCACCAAUCAUUUGGUGCUGCCAAUUUUUCCACCAUUCGAUCUCUACCCUUUUGAUCAUUUCUACUCGUUAAAUCACACUAUUUAUGUGAUAUACUAAACCUUAGCAAAUUGGCAAGGUUACAGUAUAAGUUUCUGCUUGAUUGAGUUGGAGACGUUUUGCACAAAAUAGACGUAAAAACAGACUUUGAAACUCAAGGUUUAUAUUAUAGAGAACUAAAGUUGAAUACUUAGUUAUAGAGGGGCUUGUUGGCAAUUUGGCUAUAUUUAAGCGGUGGAGUCCACGUGCUUUUCCCCUAUCCUUAUCCUUUCUUUUUGUUGCUUUUUUUUUUUUUGCUAAGUUUUGAGCACAAAUUAAUUAACAGGGAAAAACACUUGGUUUCGUUCUUAUGAGCGAGCGAGGCGAGCGAGCGCACGUGUAUUUUUAGCAUGUGGACGUCACGGUUGUGCCGUUGGGGGAGGCCGGGCGAGCGCGUGUUUUCCUCUUCUUUUGACUUCUCGCCGUCGUCGGAUUAGCUUUUCGAGGUGGGUUAAAGUUUACCGAAUUCUUCGGAUUUCCUUCUAAGCUUAGAUGUUGUCAGCAUGUAAACAUCAUCUGUAGUAUCAUGUUAGUAGCUCAAUUUGCCGAUUUGCAUUGCUUUUAAUGAAAUCUGAAUUGGAGCUUUGAAUGCUAGUUUUAUUAUACAUGUUGGAUUUGGAUUUGACUUAGGAGAAAACUAUAGGUUCUACACUGUCAUUUUCUGAAAACUAACAGAUUUAGCUUUAGGAGCUAUAGUUUGUUUGUAUCGCCGUAGUUUGUAGGCGAUGGAUACCCAGAAUAGUGUAGAAUGAAUUUACGCUCGUGCUGAGAUACCGUGUUUAUUUUUACAGUAAUGUAUAGACUGUGCCAGACUGUCGGGUGCCGUCGUGGUUGACAGUGGGCCCAGAUUUCUAUAUUUUGCACCAGAUUGUGCCGAGGGCAUAUUUAUUAUGGUUGUUAGACCAAUUAGACCUUUCUGUUUUGACUAUAGCCUGUGAGAGCCUGAUUGAGUUCGGCAGAGAUACGCUUGCAUACUCGGUUGGGUAGCGCCCACGAGUGCCACUCCGGAGUCGGGCUUUGUGCUUUUGCGUUGUUGUCGUUGUAUCCUGGUUGGACUCGCUCUUCACUGACGACCUAGUGUGGUGGUAGUUAGUGUAGCUCCGAUAGGCGGGACGGGUGUGUUCACAGUCCCUGGUGAGAUUGGGUCAGAAAUUGUAUUUUUCUACAAAUAGUUAGUGUUGGAUCAUGAUAGUAUAGUGGCAUAUAACUGUAGAAUUGUUUUAGCUUUCUUUACUAUCCUUGAGCAUACUUCUGUAGACUUAGUGGGUGAGCCGUUGAGGUCGGUAGCGGUAUCCACUGAGAACUAUUUCUUUUUGCAGUAGUUCUCACACCUAGUUGUGGGCCCCUUUUUGCAGAGCCUCCUUCUUCGGCUGCUGUUGUUGCUGAUCCUGAUCAUGGAAAAGGAGUCGCGAGCUAGAUCCGUUCCAAUUUUGUUGCUGCUUUAGAGGAGUACCAGCUACAGAUAGUUUUGGAUUUUUGGGUCAUGUACAUACUGAUGUUUGAUUCUCGCUGGAGCGAGUGAUGUUGUAUCUAAAGACUAUGUAUGUAUAGUGAACCCGAUGUUUAUUUAUAUAUGUUUGCCGUUCUGUUAGCAGCUCUAUACUACUAGUUGUAGUUUUGUAUGAUUACAGGUACAGGUACAGCUAUCGCUUCGUAUAUAGGAAAUAUUUCUUUGUAUACGGCGGAUUUGUCGGCGUGCCCGGAAAAACGAGUAAUCCGGGGCGUGACAAUUUAACCAACCACCCACUUAACCCUAAGAGACCACUAUCAUUCUAACCGCACAUUUCUUCUUCCAAGAGUCCAAAACCUAAUAGCACCAAUAACUUGAUGUUAUUAACAGUAUAUUAGCCUAGUUCCCUAUACUAUAUAUAAAAGAGGAUAGGAAUUGACAGAUGAAAUUCUAGAUUAAUAAAAAAAAAUUCCAUAGAUAUUAUAAAAAAUAACUAAUUAUAAAAAUAGACUCACACCACUAAUAACUAUUUAAAUUUAAAAUAUAGAUUUAAAUUUUAUUUCAUAUAAAUUAUUUAUUUAAAUUUAAAUUAAUAUAUANAACUAAUUAUAAUUAACAAACUAAAAACAAAUUCAAACAAAUCAAAUUUAGGAAAUAACUUAAUUGAAAAAUAGACUCACACCACUAAUAACUAUUUAAAUUUAAAAUAUAGAUUUAAAUUUUAUUUCAUAUAAAUUAUUUAUUUAAAUUUAAAUUAAUAUAUACUAUAUAUAAAAGAGGAUAGGAAUUAAUCGAUAGAAUCCUAGAUAGAAUAAAAGAAUAUUCUAUACCAAUUAUAAAAAUUAGUUAUAAUUAACAACCUUAAAAAAUCGAAACUAAUCAAAUUUAGAAAAUAAAUUAAUUGAAAAGUAGAAUCAUACCACCAAUAUCUAUUUAAAUUUAAAAUACAUAUUUAAAUAUUAUUUUAUAAAAAAUUUAUAUUUAAAUUUAAAUUAAUCUAUACUAUCUAUAUCUAUACUAUAUAUAAAAGCAUAUAGAAAUUCCGAAUCCAAAAAGGAAUAAACGAGUAUUCCCUACAAACGAUCAUAAUCAGUUUGUUAAAAAAUAUCUCAAAUAAAAAUAAAUGGUUAUGAUCAAUCUGUUAAAAAAUAGCAUUCUUAUCUAUCAAUAUGUAAAAUCCAACGAAUGGCUAUGAUUCAUUUGUUAAAAUAUAUAUAAAUAAAAAUUAUUGAUUGUGAUCAAUCUGUAAAAGAAAGUAUUCCUAUCGAUAGAUUUUAUAUUAAAAUUAAAAAAUAUGAGUUUAAAUCAUGAAUUGAAUUUAAUUUUGGAUAUCAAAUUGGUAUUAACAAUUAAAAAAUUUUAAUUACAGUGAAUCAAAAUUAAAUUUUAAAAAAUUUAAAUUUAUAAAUUUUGACACUUUUACUUUAAAUAAUAAACAUAAAUUUUAAAUUUAUCAGAAUUCAAAAAAUAUAUAAAAAUAUUAAAUGUAUAUAUUGAAAAAAUUAUCGAAUAAAAUAUAACAUAUUCAUUUAGAAAACAUAAUUUUUAUUGUAAAUUUUUGAAUAAAUAUGAUGUAAAAAUUUAUAUUUAAAAUAAAUUAAAAUAAUUUUUACAUACAUUUGUACGUACACUUAGCUAGUAUAUAUAUAUAUAUGUAAGAGGAUAGGAAUUAACCGGCGGAAUCCUAGAUCGAAUAAAAGAAUAUUCCAUACAUAUCAUAAAAAAAUAGUUAUAAUUGACGAAACUAAUCAAAUUUAGAAAAUAAAUUAAUUGAAGAGUAGAAUUAUACCACCAAUAUCUAUUUAAAUUUAAAUAUAGAUUUGAAUUUUAUUUUAUAUAAACUUUAUAUUUAAAUUUAAAUUGAGAAAAUAAAUUAAUUGAAAAGUAGACUCAUACCACCGAUAACUAUUUAAAUUUAAAAUAUAGAUUAAAAUUUUACUUUAUAUAAAAUUUGUAUUUAAAUUUAAAUUAAUUAAUAAAUAUUAUUACAUAUAGAAGAGGAUAGGAAUUGAUAGACAAAAUCCUAGAUGGAAUAGGAAUUAACAGGCAGAAUCCUAGAUAGAAUAAAAGAAUAUUCCAUACAUAUCAUAAAAAAAAAAGUUAUAAUUGACAACCUAAAAGAAAUGGAAACUAAUCAAAUUUAGAAAAUAAAUUAAUUGAGGAGUAGAACUUUACCACCAAUAUUUAAAAUACAGAUUUGAAUUUUAUUUUAUAUAAACUUUAUAUUUAAAUUUAAAUUGAGAAAAUAAAUUAAUUGAAAAGUAGACUCAUACCACCGAUAACUAUUUAAAUUUAAAAUAUAGAUUAAAAUUUUACUUUAUAUAAAAUUUGUAUUUAAAUUUAAAUUAAUUAAUAAAUAUUAUUACAUAUAGAAGAGGAUAGGAAUUGAUAGACAAAAUCCUAGAUGGAAUAGGAAUUAACAGGCAGAAUCCUAGAUAGAAUAAAAGAAUAUUCCAUACAUAUCAUAAAAAAAAAAGUUAUAAUUGACAACCUAAAAGAAAUGGAAACUAAUCAAAUUUAGAAAAUAAAUUAAUUGAGGAGUAGAACUUUACCACCAAUAUUUAAAAUACAGAUUUGAAUUUUAUUUUAUAUAAACUUUAUAUUUAAAUUUAAAUUGAGAAAAUAAAUUAAUUGAAAAGUAGACUCAUACCACCGAUAACUAUUUAAAUUUAAAAUAUAGAUUAAAAUUUUACUUUAUAUNGAAAAAUAGACUCACACCCCCAAUAACCAUUUAAAUUUAAAAUACAUAUUUAAACUUUAUUUUAUAUAAAAUUUCUAUUUAAAUUUAAAUAAAUCUAUCCCAUAUAAAAAAGAUAGGAAUUGACCGACUGAAUUCUAGAUGGAAUAAAAUAAUAAUAUUCCAUACAUAUUAUAAAAAAAUAAAUAAUUAUAAUUAAUAAACUAAAAACAUAUUGAAACAAAUCAAGUUUAGAAAAUAAAUUAAUUGAAAAAUUGUCUCAGACUACUGGUAACUAUUUAAAUUUAAAAUACAGUUUUAAAAUUUAUUUUAUAUAAAAUUUAUAUUUAAAUUUAAAUUAAUUAGUAAAUAUGAUGUGGAUUGCACGUGCUCUGCAAUUAGUGUAUAUAUAUAUAUAUAGAGAGAGAGAGAGAGAGAGAGAGAGAGAGAGAGAGUUGAGCUAGAAUACUCUUAAAAGCACCAAGGGAAUGGUGCUUUUGAGUUUUUAACCAUUGGAUGGAGAGAUGUAGGAUUGGGAUGAUGAUGGUAGAUGGUGGUAGGUGGAAUAGUGUUUAAUCCAAGGGGUAUUAGUAAUUUAGAAGUAGAUCUAAGGCUAAAAACCUAGAAGCACUAAGGAGUUGGUGCUUCUAAAAGUAUUCUAGCUAUAUAUAUAUAUAUAUAUAUAUAUAUAUAUAUAUAUAUAUAUAUAUAUAUAUAUAUAUGAUUGUUUUGUAUCCAACUACUGUAGUUAAAACCGUAGAAGAACAGCUGUAACAUUAGGAAUUACGCUCAAAUUGGCUACAGACGAAAUAUGGCAAUUGAAAAGAGUAACUUUAAUCGAAAGGUGUGCUUACCAUCUUAAUCAUUCGUUAAAUAGAAUGUGAAUUUUUUUUGCAUAGAGAUAAUUCUCACCACCUUACAUACAAGAUGAUAAAAUUUAUAAAAAUAGGUCUCAACUGUAUGCUACUAAACAAAUUAUUUAUUAGUUAUAAUUUUUCUCAUUAUAUUCAACCAAACAAAAUACAUGUAAUUACAAUUGCUAAAGUUUAAAUUACAUGCUUAUCCAACUUCAUGACAUUUACAGUUAUGUUCAAUCAAACAACCCCUUUGCACAGAAAGUGCGAUAACAAUAUAUUCACUUUGAUUCCGUAAUAGUAAAUGAUAAUGUCAUGCAGAUCGCACUAGUUCAAUAUUUCACCGGAAAACAGAAAAGCAUAUCGUUGGUCGAUUUCACCCAACUCGGCAGUUUUCAAUGCCAAAGGGGGGCCCUCCAGCAUUCACAUCACACUUCACUUCCAACUGCAGAAUGCAUUCAGUGGAAAAAUUAUUGAUUGCAUCUUGGUGCUUCUGUGACAUCAUGUCAUCUUCAUUAAUUUCUCUUUUUAUUUCGUCCAAUACUUCCAACCUAAUCAUUCAUUAUUUUCAAAUUAAAGAAAAAGAUUGCAGUGUUGAAAUACGUGAUAAAAGCAGGGGUGCACAAAAUGCACCAUGAUCAGCAAUAAUCCCCACAUGCUAUGUGCAAACAUAGUACACAAGUUAUCAAACCUGUCCGAUAAGUGAUUAUUCCUUAGAUGUGACAGGCAAAAUAUUUUAUAAAAAAAUUAAGGGAUAAUUGCCUAUAUACCUUUCAUGCGUUCGGAAAUAUCCGAUCUACCCCUACUUUUUUUUUCUUUCCAAAAUGUCCCUCAUACGUUCCACCGUUAUUCCAAAAUACCCCCGCAGUUAUCCCCUGUUAGCUUAACUCGGGUUAAACAUGGGUUAAAUCUAUACUAGAGUUAAAACCUGAACAAAAUACCUAUUUUGCCCCUACUUUAUUAUAGUAAUCCCUAAGAUUAUCCUCUCUUUCUUCCCCAAUUUUGUCGCCACCACCGGCCGACUCCUCCGCCACCACCGGCCGGCUCCUCCGCCUCUACCUCACCUCCUCGCCUCAUCUCCUCCCAGACCACCACCACCUCCCACACCUCCACCUCCAACACCACCCAUCUCGUCGCUCUCGUUGUCCUACUCCGUCGCCACUCUCGUCGUCGUCGUCGUCCUCUUCCUCCGCCGCCUUGGCCGGCGCCGGGAGCAAGAGGGCCGCAGCGACGAUCCCAUCUCUCGCCGCUCUCGUCGUCCUUCUCCUCAUCCGCUGCCUUGGCCGGCGCCAGGAGCAAGAGGGCCGCAGCUCCAUCGGACCCCUGCACGCCUUCUGCUCCGAAUCCGGCUGAAGGGUAAAUAAGAAAAGUAUUUGCUAUAUGAAGGGUAUAUAAGACAAGUUUGUUACGGUACAAGGGUAUAUUGGAAUGGGCAAAAUGGUAAUUUUUCAGAGCUAACGGCAGCUCACUAACGGAACUUAACUCUAGGGGUAUUUUAGAAAAACUUGGAACAUAAGAAGGGUAUUUUCAAUAUUAGCCUUCUAAGAGGGGUAAAUAAGAAAACGAGGAACUUUUCAGGGGUAUAUAGGCAAUUGCCCCAAAAAUUAAAUAAGUAAUUUUUUUGGAUGAUUUUAAUAAAGAAAGAACAUCCAACUAAAAAAAGUAAGCACAAGAAAUUGUACCAUUCAACAUACAAUGAGUGCGCGAUUAAGCUAUAUAUUGUGAUUAAUCCGGAUCAGUUAAUAAUCGAUCUACAACAAUCUCCUAACUAUGCUUAUAAAUGUCUGUGUAAUUGAGCGUUGCCCAACGAUUGCAAUCAAGUACCUUACAAGAAAAAGGACGGACUAUAUAAUUUUCGGAAAGUUUAGAAAAAGAAAAUAUGGUUAAGAAUUUGUUUGAGAAAAUAAAAUAGAAAUUAAACUGUUUUCCAAACCAUGCUUUUUAUUACUAAUAGAUGAUAUGCGUAGGUUUAGAUAUAGAUAAGAAAAAAAAAAAAAAAGAAAGCUCGGAUGGGCGCCACUCGCCACAUGAUGCCCAUCCGAGUAAUCCCCAAAUAAAGUUGUUUGGGCAUAAUGCCCCUAAAAUUUUUGUCCACUUAUUUGAAUACAAUGCCCGCACAUGUUCUCAACUCGAAACCCUCUAAUUUUUCAAAUCUCAACUAAACCUCAUAAGUAGGUAGUCAAAAUUUGUACAAAAUUAAGAGGAACUCAGAUCUAACGAAAUAUUAAAACUCUGGAUCUAGUCAGAACCAGAACACAUUGGGAAGAAAAACUUUUAUCCUAAACCUUGGCAACAAAACUCAAAAUUUUAUCCAGUAAUUAUAAGUAUCCCUAAUAAAAGCCUUGUGGGCUAUUUAUAUACUAAAGGGUUACAUCCGAGAAUGAUUAAAGAUUCUAACUAAAGCCUUAUCUAAAAGAAAACAUGAUAAAAUAUUUCUAAACAAGAUAAUUUCAAAAAUUAACAUAAUAAAACUAAAAAUCUUCAGAUUCACAUAGAGGGUUUAGGUGCUGACUUGCGCUGCCUUUAUUGAUAGACUUGGGACCCGAACGACGAUCUCCAUCAUUUAUCAACUUACAUAAAGGCAAUAUAAUCUUCAGAAAAAUACAAAUACGCACUCCAAAAUGAAUUGUAUAUCUUACAUUUUGCCAAAAAAUAGAUAAGGGUUAUCUACUUACGUACUGACAUAAUUAGAAUGGAAAUGCUUUUGGAGAAUUCCAUUGGAGCAAUUUACCGUACGUACACCUAUAGAGUAGGUACAUAUCUUACACAUUAAAAGGCUACAAUUUUCUCAUUAAUAUUAUCAACUUUUAUAUUAAUAGUAAAGUCCGAAAGAGUUUUGUGAACUUAUAAUAAAAAAAAAAAUUAAAAUUUACACCAUUGUAUAAAUAUUUAGGUAGCUUUUCUCCCUUUGGCCUCAUCUUUUGUCAGGAGCAUAAACUAUGAGUAUUUUAAUGCUCGCACUUUUAUAGAUGUCACAUCACCUGUCACAUAACACAAUUUACACGGAACCAUCCACAUGUAUAUAAAACAACCCUCGUGAUGCAGUGGACACUCACAAAAAAGCAUGAUGUAAUAGUUAAUGACGUAAUUUACUUUCUAGAUACUUCACAAUAUAGAACCACCCACAUAUAUAUACUGGCGAUCAAAUAGCUAGCACGCGCGAUACAACGAGCACUUCAAUAAAAGCGUGAGGACGAAAUUUGCUUAAUUUCAAAAUAUUUCAAAUAUUGUAAAUCAUAUUUAGCGAUAUGAAUCAUUGUUAAACUUAACUAUAUUUUAAAAAUAAGAAUUCAAGUAAAAUAAAUAACAAUUAAAAUUAAAUGACAGAUGAAAUUUUCUGGUGCAAUUAAUCUAUAUUUAAAUUCCAUUUAUACUUUUUUUUUAAAUUUAGAACUUAACGUGAUCAAAUAUUAAAGAAAAAUGUUUUUUUUUUUUGAAGUAUGCAAUGUGCAACGUACAUGCGCAUAGCUAAUGUGUCUGUAUAUACUUCAGUAAGAAUACUAUCAAUAGUAUAUGAAUAAUAUUUGUUGCCAAUUUUUCAAGGGACUUUUUUUGCAAAUAGUUCCCUGAUAAAAUUUUUUUUAAAAUUGGCAAUGUCAAAAAUUUAUUUGUAAAAAUGACCCUACCCCUGCCACGCAAGCGCCACGUCAGCGCUACGCGGAUGGGGCAAGAGUUUAAGUUAAACACAGUGAACCAUUCACCGUGUUCAAACACGGUGAAUGGUUCACCGUGUCCAGUAUAAAUAUUCCCACUUAGCCAAAAAAUGGUUAAGUCGAAUUAGUUGUAUUGGAUACGGUGAAUCAUUCACCGUGUCCAAUACUAAUACAACCUUAGUCAAAAAAUGGCUAAGUCCUAGGUAGUUGUAUUGGACACGGUGAAGAAUGAUUCACCGUGUCCAAUACAACUAACUCAACUUAGUCAUUUUUUGGCUAAGUGGGAAUAUUUGUAUUGGAUACGGUGAACCAUUCACCGUGUUCAACUUAAACACCUGGCCCCAGCACCGCCCGCGUGGCGCUGAUGUAGCGCUUGCGUUGCAGGGGCAGGACCAUUUUUGUAAAUAAAUUUUUAACAAGGCCAAUUUUAAAAUAAAAUUUUGUCGGGUGGCUAUUUACAAAAAAAAAAGCCUUUUUUUAACCCUUGGAUGCCUAGAAUACUAUGGGCUAAUUAUAUACUCAUUAAUUAAAAGAAAGACGAAAAAAUCAAAACAGAAAAAGAAAAAGACAUUGAAGGAGUGACUGCCACAUGACUGAAAUUAUUAAUAUAUAGUAUUAAAAGAUAAUAGAUGAUAGAUGAACUCUAUGUAAAUAUAUGUGAUUGAUGACUUUUGCUUAUUCAUUCAUUUUGUGAGCUUACACUGUUAUACUAGUUCGAAUCUUAUUAGGGUUUAAUUAGCGGAGGCUUUCUACUAGUGAUCAAUAAGCAUUUGGUAAAUAAAAGAAUUUCUAACUGUAUGCUUCCCAUUUUUAAACCUCUGCUUAAUUACAAUUGAUAAAACUUAAUAAAAUAAAUGAUAUAUCAAUUUUAAUUAAUUUAUAUUAUAUAAUAAAAUUAAAGUAUAAAUAUAUUAUCAUAAAAAUAAUAUUUAUAUUAAUAUAUUUAUUUAUAUAUCUAUUAAUCUAAUAAAAUAAAAAAAAGAAUAGAAUUGUUCUCAGUUUUUCUAUAAAUAAUUUUUAACGAGUUAUUUCAGAACAACACAGAACAGCCCGUUUAAAUCGGAACAAUCCAUUCCAUCUUGUUCGGCUACAAUUUGAGUAUAUUUUCUCUUAUUAUGAGAUACUAGUUACGGAACCCCGCGCGUUGCGGCGGAAAGUCGAUACAAUAGUCAAUUAUUAAAAUUAUUAAAACUAUUUUUAAUAUUAUUCAUUAAUAUUUUUAAAUAAUAUUUAUUUUCGUAGUGAGUAUAUUUAGAAACAGAGGUAAACGGAAUCUCACGUGUUGCAACAGGAAGUCGAUACAAUAGCCAAUUAUUAGAACUAUUAAUAUUAAUUUUAAUAUUACUUAUUCAUUAAUAAAUUUCCCCUUCUAUAGAUAAUUGAUUGAAAGGAGAUGGUAUGAGACAAUCAAUGANAGAAGGCGGAGAGGACGAAAGGACGGCGAGGGGGGCAACGCCGCGUCGUACGGGAGGAUGCGACGGCGUUCCCGAGGGAGGACAGCGUUGGCGUCGCGGCUACGAAACGGAGGAGAGGACGGAGGGUGAGCGGGGGACGGUAAGGCCACGCCGUUCGGACAAGGAAAAAUCAGAGCGAGGGGGGUGGUGGGGAGGGGGGUGCGCCGCCGUACGGGAGGGCGGAGAGCGCAAAACGCGGAGAGGGCUCGAAACGUAUCGCCCUUUCAUAAGCUUAUAUUGAUUCCUCGUGCCCAACACUGUCUAAAAGAAUUUCUCGUUACAAUAUUGAAACUCUAAAUAUUGGCACUGCAAUGUGACGUGCGCGCGUCGUGGCCCAUGACGAGACAUUAAUUAGUCCCUUCACGGGUCUACGUUGAGAAAGCGUUGGUUUGAUUGAAAAUGUGAACAUACAUUGCAUUACAAGUUACAUAUCCCACUUUUGGGACAUUGUGAUUGCAUGCGCUACUCAACCAUCACAUCUUCCUCGAAAAUUGCACCAAAAUGAAUGAAGCUUUUAAGUUAGGGUGUGUCUGCAUCGGUGUGGCUAACUUAUGCGAGAUUUUUUUUUUUUUCUUUUUCCUAUGUUUGGUUGUUCCCUUAAUUGAAAAAAGGCCAAUUUACAUAAAAAAUUCACUUAUUUUAGGCUUUUGCAAAAUCGGGCCAUCUUUUUCGUUUUUACAGAUUCGAUCCACUUUUUCAACAAACUGACCAAAAUGCUCUUAUACUUUUUUCUCUUUCUUCUUUUUUUUUUUGUCGUUCUUUUUUCCUUUCUCUUCCCAGAGAGCGACAGAGGCGGAAACGCCACCCUUGCCCCGGCGACGUCGCCUUCGUCCGCUCCGGCGACGUCGCCGGCAACGAGCCCCUCUCCCCUGCCUCGACCCAAAUCCUCCGACUCUGCUGAGGCCGCGCCGCCAUCCUCUUUUUUUUUCUCUCUUUCUUCUCUUCUUCUUCUUCUUUUUCUUCUUUCUCCUGCAGGAACAGUUUUCUUUUUUUUUUUUUGUUUUACUCUUUCUUUUUUUUCUUCUUCCUGCGGGAGAAGCUUCCUUCUCUUUUUUUUUUCCCUCUUUUUCUUCUUCUUCUUCUUCUUCCUCAUGUACACCAAGUUUUGCCACCCCGCAACCAACCUCUUUGCCUCCACCGCACCAGCCUCGCGCGGCUCCGCGGCACCCCGCGCCUACCCCCAACACUGCUCCGCCGCCGCACCGUGCACCGUUAAUGAUGUAAUUACGCUAUUACACCAUUAAUGGUGUAAUGGUGUAAUUUCACCAUUAAUGGUGUAACCAUUGCACCAUUAAUGGUGUAAUUACGCCAUUACACCAUUAAUGGUGUAGGUGUAAUGGUUAAUAGUGUAAUGGUGCACCAUUACACCAUUACGACGAAAAAGAAGCAGCCGCAGCGCGCCCGCGUGCCUGCUCGCCGCCGCUGCGUGCACCGGCCCGCCGCACCGGCCCUGCCGCCGCCUCCGCCCUCCUCAUCGCGUACGCGCCCCUCGCCGACCCUACGUUCACCCCGCAGGCCCAAGAGGCCGUGGACGACCGUGGACGAGCGCGGUCCACGCGAGCAGGUCCCUCACGGGCAUUUUGUCGAACACCUUGCGGGCUAGAACAAACAGAGGACUAAACAAACAGAGGACUAAACAGAGGACUCUCUCUCUCUCUCUCUCGCCUCCUCUGGUGGAGCUCGUCGAGGUGGAGAUAGAGGGCUCGCCGUCGGUCGUGGCGGCGAAGAGGAGGGCGGUGGGCGGAGAGCGCGCGGCGGCGGGGAGCUGCGCGCGGGGGCACGCGGGCGCACGCUGCGGCGCGCGGGCACGCUUCGGCGCGCAGGGGCGCCGACGCACGCUGCGGAGAGCGGGGCCGCGGGCGCGCGGGGCCGCGGGAGAGCCAGCGGAGGCGGCGCGCGGGCGCACGCGGUGCGGGGGCACGCUUCUCGCGGGCGCGCUCGGCGCACGCGGCGCGGGGGCACGCUUUGCGCAGGCGCUCAUGGCGCAUGCGGCGCGCGGGCGAGGACAGGGGCCACGACUCGCUGUCGUAGGCGUCGACGUAGUUGAGGCGCUUCCACGCCCAGCGCGAGCACCCCACUCACACCACGCACUCUAACCCACCCACCACAGACAUCGUCGACGACGACGACGACGACGAUGGUGGAGACGAAGAUGGAGAAGACGAAGAUGGUGGAGACGACGAUGGUGGAGACGACGACGACGCGGACGCGCUGUGGCUGCUUCUUCUUCGUCGUAAUGGUGUAAUGGUGCACCAUUACACCAUUAAUGGUGUAAUUACACCAUUAAUGGUGCAAUGGUUACACCAUUAAUGGUGUAAUUUCACCAUUAAUGGUGUAAUGGUGCACCAUUACACCAUUAAUGGUGUAAUGGGCGCGACAGCGAAGAGCCGGGCCAGAGGGAGAAGGCGCCCUCGUCGCACAUGGUGCGGGCGACGCAGUCGGCGAAGCUGCGGAAGCGGCGGCGGUAGCCGAGGAGCGCGACGUUCACCUCCUGCGUCUGGAGCAGCACGCUUUAUUCUCCCCAUUUUGUUUUUCCAUCUUUUUUUUUUUGUUUUUCUCCCCAUUUUUUCUUUCUCUCAUCAUCAUCAUCAUCUUCUUGGGUGUUUUUUUUUUUAAUUUUAAUUUUUUUAUUUUAAAAGUUUCUCUGAGGGGGGCGAGCGUCAAGAAGAUCACGCGCGACGUCCUCCUCCAGAAGGUCUCCCACGAGCGUGGAGGACGGUGGCGGCGGAGGAGGAGCCGGCGGCGUGGCCGCGGCGCCGGUGCGGGCCAGCUCGGCGGCGGCAUCGCGGAGGCGGUCGACGCUGUCGGCCAUGUUCUCGAGGCAAUCGCGGACGGGGCCAGAGCCGGAGCCGGAGCGGGGGGGACGGCGGCGAGGCGGGCGACGGCGGCGAGACCGGAAGUCGCCGUGGCGCGCCUCAUGCUCUUACAGGAAGAAGAAGAAGAAGAAGAAGAGGGGAAAAAAAAAGGUGCUCGAGCAGGAGGAAGAAGAAGCAGGAAAAGAAAAAGAGAAGAAAAAAUUGCUCCGCCUGGCCUUCGCUUUUUUUUUUCCGGCGAAAAAAAAAUUAAAAGAACGAGAGAACGAAGAUGAGAGAGAAAGAGGAAAGAGAAAAAGUAAUAAGGGUAUUUUGGUCAGUUUGCUGAAAAAGCGGACCGAAUCUGCAAAAACGAAAAAGAUGGCCCGAUUUUGCAAAAGCCCAAAAUAAGUGAAUUUUUUAUGCAAAUUGGCCUUGAAAAAAUAUUUGGGAUUGAAAAAAUAUUUUAUAAAUUUCUGAAAAAAUAUAGAAUCGCCUAAUUGAAAAAAUAUUUUAUAAAUUUCUAGAAAAAUUUGGGAUUUUCUUUUCUGCUUAAAAAUUGAAAACGAAAACCCAAAGCCGAAAGCAUGCAGCUCUUGGUGCAUGCACGGUCCAUGAGGUCCACUUUACCUCAUGGGCCGCGUGGGAUGGAGUUCAUGGUGAUCCAACGUCGACUCCUCUCUCACUUAUAUAUAUAGUUCAGAUGGGAUACUAUCGAUAGCACCAAGAAUUUGGUGCUAUCGAGUUUUUCACCGUUAGAUUUAACCUUUUGAUUAUUUAUAUCCGUUAGAUUAUACUAUUCAACCAACCACCCACUUAACCCUAGGGGGCCCACAUCAUCCUAACCGUAUAUCUCUUAAUCCAAUGGCUAAAAAUCUACAAGCACCAAAAACUUGGUACUUUUAAAAGUAUAGGAGCUCGAAUAUAUAUAUAUAUAUAAUAUAUAUAUAUAUAUAUAAUAUAUAUAUAUAAAUAUAAAUAAUAUUUGUAGUAUUAUAAUUAUUAUAUAUCAAUAAUAUAUAAUAUAUAAAAUUAGAUAAAAUAUAUUUAUUAAAUAUUUCCCUUUUUUUUUCCUACGAACCAAACAGUACAGAGCGUAAAAUUUAUUUUUCUCUAACAAUUUUUUUUACCAAAUUUUUUUUAGUUUUAUGGUGGAAUUAAACACACCUUUACUGAAAGCUUUGAUAUUUACAUAUAAUAAUAUUUUUACUAAAUUAUACAUUAAAUUAUUUUUAAAAUAAUUGAAAUUUUGAAUUAAAAUUUAAAAUUUGUACAAAAUUUACAAUUUGAAUUUCUAAAGCUAAAUAUAAAUUUUCAAUUUCAAAUUUAAAAUCUAAAUUUAAAAUUUGACAUUUGAAAUUUACAAUUUAAGAAUUUUAAAUUAAAAAUUUAUAAUUUAAAUUUGAAAUAUAAAAUUUAAAAUUUAUAAAUUAAAAUUAAAAAUUAAAAAUUUGAUAAUUUAAAAUUAAAAAAAUAAAAUUUAAAAUUUAAAACUAAAAUUAAAAUUAAAAAUUUAAAAAUUUAAAAAUCUAAAAUUUAAAUUUUGAAUUUAAAAAAUUGAAAUUGGUAAUUUCAAAAAUUAAAUGUUUUAAUUUUAAAUUUUUUAUUCUUAAAUUUCAAAAUUCAAAUUUUAUCUUGAAUUUGAAAUUUGAUAUUUAAAGUUUUGAAUUUGAAAUUUUAAAAUUUGCUAUUUCAAAUUUAAAUUUAAAUUUUGUGUAUUAAUUUUAAAUUUUUUAUUCUUAAAUUUCAAAAUUUAAAUUUUAUCUUGAAUUUGAAAUUUGAUAUUUAAAGUUUUGAAUUUGAAAAUUUAAAAUUUACUAUUUCAAAUUUAAAUUUAAAAUUUAAAUUUAAUAUCUAAAUUUUAAAUUUUAAAUUCUAAAUGCUAGAAUUUAAAAAUUCAAAAAUAAAUUGAAAAAUUAAAUUAAACAAUAAAUUUAAAUUUCAAUUUUGAGUCGAAAAUUAAAAUACGAACAUAAAGUUUGAGUUGAAAAUUAGAAUUAGGAUUCAUGAAAUAGGCUUUUGCUGCUUUUGUUUUUCGGUCUCGAAAAUUCCAAAAAUAGUUCUAAAAAUUAGAAUUAGAUUUUCAAAAUAAAAUUGUCAAAUGUUCUAUUAAGUCAAAAAUCACUUUUGAGUACAAAAUCACUUUUCAAAAAUUAUACCAAACACCCCCUAUAUAUUAGAGCUGUCUGCAUUAAUUUGAUAUUAGUGCUUCAAAAUUUUAUUUUUGUCCUUCAUCUUCUUGAAUAGAGCAUCCUAUGGGUCUCACGUGGGAGCCCACUUUUAAGUUUUUUAUAUGUAAGGUUACUCAAAACUAAAAAUUAGUUGUUGCAUCUUUUAUACUCCAUAAUUCUCAAGCUAGUUGCUUGAAAGAUAAUGCGAGUGAUGCUUUCCACAAAGCACACACGCAUACGGCACGAGCACGAGCACGAGUCGACCCGGGCAGCGGCACGUAGGUCUCGGCUACUCAGUUCGAGUUUGCACCACCCUGAAAAUGCACAUGACGGGACGAACAAUGGUUGUUAUAUCGCUAGUAGUGAUUACCGGAACCUCACACGUGGAGGAACAAUCUCGUUUUUAGAACAGUGCUUAGCGCGCUUCGAUUCAUAAGUCUCAUCUGAUUUUUCAUCCUUACAAUAUUUAGUUAUUAAUUCUUGCAUGUAUUUUAAAAACGCUUGUUUAACUUUAAACUUUAUGUUUUAAAAUAUUUAAAAAGAAUAUAAAUUUUACUAAUUAAAUUAGAGAGAAUUUUUCUAACAAGAGCCACAUAAGUCGAAAAUUAUGGCACAUUAAUUUGUUGAAAUUUAUGCUAUCCAAAUGCUUAAAUCUCUAUGUUUGGAUAUUUUAGAUAUGACAAUUCUUUAUUCUAGUUAAUUAAUUAUUUAAUUAUUAUUUAAUGUGGGAUAGAAACAUGUGAGCUCCUAAUAACGUCUCUCUUUCGUUCUAUGUUCAACCCAAUUGUCUACCUCCAAGUGUUGACCGAUCUAAUCUCAGCUUUCCUCCAACACACGCCAACAAAUUAUUCUCUACUGGUGUUGGGCCCAUACUUCGCGACGAGUAGAUAAUAUUUUAAAUAAUCAACAUAUAUAAUACUAUAAGACUAUAAAUUAAAAAUCUUAUAACAAAAAAAAAAACAAAAAAAAUCCAUAUAUAUAUAUAUAUAUAUCCUUUUAUAUAAUAUUAUAAAAACUAUUUUUUUUAUUUGUAUUUUUUAACUUUCAAUAUUUAUAGAGUUAAAAUAUUCUAAUAACUUCACUUACAAAUUCAAUCAAAUUUGUUAGUUUUAGUAGCUAUUUUAUAAAUAAAUUUUUUAAUUAAAAAGUUAAAAUUGGAGAAUUUAAUCUAAAUUGCCAAAUACAUCAGGUUGUUUUUACCUUAUUAAAUCGAUUGAAAAAGAAUAAGUUAUUAUAUGCACCUAGUUUAUAUUAACACACCAUACACCGCAACUUAUAUUAGAGAACGAAUUUCUAAUAUCAAAAUUUAAUUACAUAUGUCUGAUCUAAAAAGUCUAAUAGUUUAAAUAUGUUUACUGAAUUAAAUUUUAAAAUCUCUAUUAAAGAUUUAAGUAUGUGGUGGAUAUAAAUAUAUACACCCGGUGUAAAGAAUGCUUAAUAGAGUGCACUCAUAAUUUUAAGAAAGAGAGCAAAAAUCAUUGCUUGCAUCUGAUGUAUACUAAUAUUUCAUACACCGUAAAAGUAUAUUAGAUGAUUGAUAGAAUAUCCGAUAAUUUGUAUUGUGAAAUAAAAUAUGAUAUUGGAGUACAUCUCUUGUGCUUUUGAAAGUACGGAGGCCACCGUUCUUGUAAGUUAUUUCCAGUAAUAGGACAUCCGAUUUAACGAUCGGCUCUUUUAGGCAUAACUUACGCUAUUGAAACUAUUUAGAUACCAAAUUUUAUAAUUUUACAACAUCAUUUACCACGUGAUCAAAAUGUCUCAAAAAUAACUAUUUUAAUGAACGAUGUGGCACGUUUUAAAGUUAGAUAGUGUAGAACAAUCCAAAUUAGAUAAAAGUUUAAUAAAAAAUUUUACUUAAUAUCAAUAGCAAUAUCAAUGUUUUUAAUUUAAAAUUUGAGUCUUUUAUCACUAUUUUUUAUGAAAUUUUUAUUUUCAAUAUUUUUUUAGGCUACUUGUUUACUAGGUAAAUAAAGUCAAAAAAUUAUAAAAUUUAAUUUCUAGAUAGUUCAAAUAGCGUAGAUCAUGUCUAACAGAACUGAUCAGCGAAUCGGUUGUCCCAUCAUCGAAAAUAACUUACGAGCAUAAAGGCCUCCGAGCUUUUGAAAAUAUAGGAUCUUAGCUCUAUAAUAUAGUAUAUAUAAUAUAAAAUAUUUAAAAAAUUUAUUGUACUGUAAAAAUUGAUCUUUGAUGCAUAUUUUAUAUUCGAUUUACGAUGCAAUGAAUGCAUCCAAAAUUCCUAUUACAUAUGUGGCAAGCUAAUAUUUGUUGCUGCCUUAAGGGUUCUUUGAAAAGCUCUUUUUCAUAAUUCCAAAGAGCAGUGGAGAAAUUUUUAUGCACCUAGUAUAUAUUAAUAAGUAUAUAUAUUAAAUUAUUAAUAAAAUAUUUAAUAAUUAAUAUUUUAAAAUAAAAUAUAAUAUAUUAUACGUAAUAUAAAAUAUUUAAAUAAUUUAUUAUACCAUAGGAAUUUAUUUUGAUGCACAUUUUAUAGUCAACUUAGGGCACAAUAUAUAGGUGGAUCCAAAACUUCAAUAAGGUAUGUGGUAAGUUCUCAUUGGCUAUUCCCUAAAUUAAAGACACGGCUCUCUGAGAGGACAUCUUUGUGAUGUGAUAAAAUUGUCAAUUAUAUUUUCUUUUAUGCAUAUUUUAUAGUCAAUUUACAGCGCAAAAGGUGCCUCCAAAACUUCUAUUAGCUAUGUGGCAAGUUCUCAUGUGCCUCUUUCAGAGAAAAAAUUUUAGAAUAUACCGGGUAUAUUAAUGAUAUGACGUCACAAACCAAUCAAAUAAAUUCUUUUAAAGAUAUAUGUCUCAUCAUAAUUGUAAAAAAAUAUUUUUAUUAUAUUUUUGUUUGAAAAAAAAAUAUAAUUGACUUGUUAUUGAUGACGUGGUACAAGCGUGACAGUAUAAAACUUCUCCUUUAAGAGGCCAUCUUUGUGAUGUGAUAGAGCUGUGAAUAUAUAUUUUGUAACCCACACAUUCGAGCUAGCCCACGUGCCUAACCAGCGUUUCCCAGCCCAAAUAUAUAGUCCUAAUUUAUAAAGACCUACUAGCUAGGUCUUAUCAAGUGCGCACCAGAUGACUCCACCUCUACAAACUGGUCAUAUUAUCUAUUAUAGUGCUACACAGUUUGGCAAAUUAUCAAGGAUCUUAAGACCAUUGACCUUAUUUUUGCACCUUAUUUUUGCUAAUCCUUAAUAAGAAAUUCCACCCCAACUGAAGGCUUUUAUAAGCUAAAGAAUGUGACAUAUUUGUUUAACUUAUCUAACCCGAAAAUUUAAGCUUGAGGGUUUAGACCUAUUGAUAUAUUUUAAUCAUUGGCUAAUUUCAUACAGAUUCCUGCAAAUAUAGUGAAUUGUAAAUAUAUUUUUUAUGAAGUUCAACUUUUAUAUGUUGUCCCUGUAAAAAUCUUAAUAUUUUCAAAUAUAUUCCUACUGUUAGACUCCGUUAGAAAACUUUAGUUAACCAUACAUAGGUUAAAUGCUUAAUUUUGGUUAAUUUUUUAGAUAGCUUGAUAUUUUUAUCUCUCUUAUAUUAUACUGUUGUGGCUUUUGGAGGAAGAUAUUUAUGAUGGCAAAAUUAACAUUUCUCUUAAAAUAUAAACAGUUCUAUAACGGUAACAAACAAGAGAGACACAUUUGAAAAUAUUAGAACUUUUGUAGAAACAACAUAUGAAAGUUGAACUUUGUAAAGACAUAUUUGCAAUUCACUAAAUUUGCAAGGACUAAAUGCAUUUAACCCUUUAAUCAUUAAGGUGUUAUUUUAUGUGGUGCAAUAUAUUCUCAUGUGUCAAAUUCUAAUAGUUUUUGAGAAAGAAGAAUUUUGAAUUUGUAGCUUAUAUAGUUGAUUUGAGUUGAGAAGCUAAUUUGACUUUCCUCAAUAGAACCUACUUUAACUUUCUCUUGUAAAAAUAUUUGAAAUUUUCUUUACUAGCAUUAAGUGCUAGCUCCUCUAAUUCAUGGCCUCUUGUUAGAUUAACACCAAAUUGUUAGAAACUAUAUAUGAUAACUUUCAUAUAAAAUUUAUUUUAAGGAUAAUUUUGUUUUGAGGUUAAAGAGAUGAAAUAUGUGACACCCUAAACACCUCACAUUAGAUGAGAAUGAAAUUAUGAUUGAAUAUAUAAGAGACUAUAGAUACUAGUAAUAAUAACUGGACUUAAACAUUUUGGGCCGGUGGUUUCGGCCCAAUAAGUUAUUAUUACUAGCAGGUCGGGUCGUUACAUUUAGUAUCAGAGCCAAUCACUUAGCUAAACCAGAGUCGAAAUGACAAAACUAGCGAGACAAAUCUAGCGUUGCCUAGUGAUUAACAUCGCCUGAUGAUACCGACCGUCCCUAGAGCAAGUGGCAAAGGGUUUGGUGGUUGGUACUCGAGACCCAAGUUCGAAUGCUAAUUGAUUCACAUUUCUAGCUAAGUUUAUUUUUAAAUAAAAUAAACGAAGCGGGUAGCGUGCUACUUAUCUCUCAAUAAAAAAAAAAAAAAAAAAAAAAAAAAACAANCCUAAAUGGGUGGAUGAAAUUGUGAAGAUAAAUUUUAAUUUCCAGCAAUAUAAAUUUGCUAAUUUCAAAUAUUAGUUAUAAAAAAAAUAAAAAAUAACAAGACUAGUGAUGAUGAAAUUGUAAGAUUACAAGCCCAUUUGGGUUGUAGGGCUAGCACUUCUCAUUUGGUCAUAAAACACUGUUUCAUUUUCUUUAUCCUCUUUUCUUAAACUCCAAAAAUAUCAAAAUAAUAUUAAAAAAUUCCAAAUAUUUAUAGAAAAAAUUUUAGAAAUUGUGGAAAACCUACGGAUUUCCUUGCAAAGGAAACGUUGAAAAAUUUGUGGACUUACCUUGACGAUGAUACGUCGUAUCUUUCGAUAUUACCGCCGCAAAUGGAGCCGUGGAUUGGUGGACAAUCACCAAAUCAAACUACUCUCAUUUCUAAUUUUUUGAAUCAUCGCAUCUUAAUUACAGCACUGAUAUCAAAUUAUUAGGAUUUUCUAUCUUAAUGUGAUGCCUCAGUUUAAUUUAUAGGGGGGUCAUCUAUUAUAUUACUUCUCUAGUCCUAGUACGAUUAACUUUUUUAAACAUGUGGGUUAAUCAUCAUCCAAAAUACUAUAACUUAUGUAUAGGAUUAUUAAUUUUAUAUUCUACAUUUCUUCCUUCUUUAAAUGCUGAUGUUCUCGUGAGGCUUAAAAACACUCACAAAUAUUAGGCAAUGUGAGGCUCGUCUCGCCAGUUUUAACCGAUCUUGUGGGGAGCUGCGCGCGCUUCACCCACAACGACCGUCAGCUGUGAAGUCACACUCUGACUGCUAUGUAACCUCAACUCGAUCGAAACUUAUUUCACACUUUCGGCUAGUGAUUGGUUCUGAUAUCAACUGUGACACCUCACUUUCGAGAGGCAUCACCCAUCCGAAAACUACUCUAACCCUAGGACACUUACCAUUUAACCUCUUAGACCUAGCAACUGCCUAAAAUAUUACACCCAAGUUAAGAGAUUUAUAUAUCACUAUUAUAUCUUAUAUAUUUGACCAUUUCAAAUCAUACAUUUAAUGAUAACAAAGAUACAAAAUCAUUACGAGAAAAUUAAUGCUCACUUAUUUAAGAUUUAACAAUUAUUCUUUGACAUUUAUUAAUUUUAUCUCUAAUUUGAUUGAGCUUGUUUCCUAAAUUGAAGUGGCAGGUAUAUAAAUUCUAUUGUACUUGGUUGCAAUUUAAAAAUACAGGUUAGAGUUAGUCUUCUUAUUUCUACAAUAAUUAGUCAGGCUCGCUUCAAAAUUUAUUCUUCUCUUUAAUAUUCUUUUUUUAUGUUUUAUUUAUGCAGUAAAAUAAAUAGUGUGAGACGUUAUUUACUGUGAAGGUUUGUCACCGUAACAAGUCCUGUUUCAUUGAUGCCUCUGAUGGUUAAAUCACUGUUACUAUUUUUUAUUAACCAAACAGUCGGAUCGUUGGCGCUAAUCAUUAAUCCCAAAAAUUCAAAUUGGUAGAAAUAUAUAACCAAUUCAAAAAAACUCAAGCUGGUAGAAAUAUAUAACCAAUUCAUUUAAAAAGUAUAGACAUAUUACCCACGAGUCUCGAUUGUGAUUAGAUUCAACCAGUCUCAUGCGACUUCGAACAUGACUUGAUCGAAUCUAGCCUCACGACAUUUCGAACGUGAGUUUAAAAAUUCUUUGAGUUUUUAGUAUUAAAAAAAAUUUGAUAAGAUAAGGGCAUAAUAUGGCCUUUGGAUAUGUGAGGGUGGAAAACUUGCAUCCUUUUUGAGGUCUACUAGUAGCAGGGCUCAAAAAUGAUAUAUCGGGGCAAUUUCAAACUUAAGAAGUUAUAUAAUAUUAUGGAUUAUGGAUGUUCUUCCAAAAUUGUUAAUAUUUUUGUCACUAUAAAUUAAUGAAUUAUAUUAAAAAUGUCCUUCAGCAUGUUUUAGGCUAAUUUGUCCCUAGUUAUACGUACAUUUUUUUUAUUAAACAGGGGUAUACCUAUUUAAGAGAAUAUACAAGUCGGAAGCAAAAAGGAAAGCAAAAAGGAAAGGAAAAGGAACUUGCUCGGCCUCGAAAUCUUGAAGCAAACACAACCAAACAAACUAGAAUUAGGCUCUAAAAAACAAAAUGCGCUCUCAAGCCCUCAGGACAGAUAGCCAUAACUUAACUGCGAAAAAAACAACUCUCCUUCCCAAUUCUUUGCAUCGAGCUUGUCGAUUGCCGAAUAUUCUCGAAUUCCGCACAUUUCAUAGUUUCCAGCAAGCUGCGGAGAAAUAGAAAUCAAAAGUAGUUUUCGAUAGCGCCGACAGUGACAUCCUGACUCGACUUCACCUAAUCGCCAUAUCCCUAGUUACGUUUGACAUCAACUCCCUAGUAGUCAGAAUGCUUUGAAGUAGCUAAUUCCACAUGGACCUGGAAUAGCUACAGCAAAAGAGUAGAUGUCCUACGUUUUCUUCGUUCGUGGAGCGUAACAGAUUGAUAGAAGAGUCAUGCCAGGCCACCACGCUUUGCUAGUGUGUCUGCUGUCAAAAUCCUAUUUCUCACCGAUAGCCACAUGAAUAAUUUAAUCCUGAGGGGAGCCUCGAGUUUUCCCUAAAUAUAUCUUAUUACAAAAAUUUUGUGGUAUUAAAUGUUGGCUCAAUUUUUAUUAAUUUUUAUAAAUUGAGUUUAUGAAUGCCUUUUUUGUUUACAUAAGUUCAUUUUUUUAAUUCAAUAUCAUAUAGGUCUCAAGUUGAUCUUAAUUAACAAUUAAUUAAAACUAAAGAUAUAUUAAUUGUACAUUUUUAUCAAUUUAUUUUCUAGUUUAUUUAAAUUAGUACGAUUUUUUUUUGUAUAUUAUUUGCGUAGUUUAGUUUGUUCCAGUUAAUGAGUUUCAAUUUAGUAUACAUCUAACUAUAUUAAGUUAAUUAAAAAAGGCAUUGCUAAUAGAUGAAGGGCAAAAUAAAUAUUUACCUUUUAGAUGAAUUUUUAUCAAUAUAUUGGUGUUUAUGAUAGUUUUUCCAAAUUAGAGAGGUAUGUUUUAUAUCAAUAUUUUUAAAGAAGUUUCUUUUAAACCACGAUUUGGAUGAAUAAUACACACUAUAUAUAUAAAGAGGAAAGAAAAAACUCUAGUCCGAUUAGCGAUUAGUAUUCCUUGAAUCCAUGGCGUAAUCUAAUUCCGACUUCGUCAAACUCGAUUGUGCAAUGGAUAUAGUAGCUGCUCGAUCGCGCCAUUGCGCACAGCUUUUCUGGCGCGCAACCCCGCACGCCUGUUUGGAUGGUGCAGUUGUGCGUGUGGUGCCACGUGCAACCGCACAUCCGUGCGUCUCUGGGAAAGCUCUGAAUUGGAGCUUAGACGAGCACUGCGGUUCACCGCUUGGCCUAACAAGUCCUUGUAUGAAAUUGGUAUGGUUCAGAUGAUAAUAGAACAAAUAUAUAUCACUCUCAUGUGUCACGUCUCAUUGAUCGGUUUCGUGAUAUGAAUGGCAACAAUUCGAUCCUCGUCUUAAUCGUCACCCCACAAUCAAUUUAGUGAAGUAGGAACCGGACCUCGCAUGAGCUAAGAGAUUGCACGAACCAACUCACUAACAAGAUUGCAGAUCACAGCGAAUGUCGAGCUCGACUUAAGCUAGAUAUAUCACAUUCUUGGACUUACGUGAGCUAAGCCAGAUCAAAACCUUUCGAACAUUUUAGUGACUCUUAUGAAUACGACGUACUCAUAGAAGAUGUCAUGGUAACGUGAUAUAUUGGUUUGGUAACGCUCAAAAUUGUAUUAAGUCCAAGAACGUGCAGGUAAUUAGUUGCUUCACACUAAACACAUGGUCUCGAGGGAAAGAGUUAGGUGCAUAUAUAGACUGAUCGGAUGAGUGGAUUCAUGGUGACUUAAAAAAUAGAUGAAACAACUAAUUGAACAUUCACUUAAUUAUACGCUGAUAAUUAAUUAAGCAAUUGAUGUUCAAUCAAUCCUUUCUACAAUGAGAAACGUGAAGUCUACAACAUUCCAAAAAAGGUUGGAAUCCUGCAACCAUCCUAGUCCUAGGGUUGAGUCAGCACUUUUUUAAUUUUAAUAUUAAAAAAAAAACAUAUAUAGCUAUUAAAAAAGAAAAGGUUAGUAAGAUUAACGUACGGAACUUAGUUUUUAGAUGGCGAUAUAUGUUGUAGAGUUAUAAUUUAUAUUGGAUUUGCGUGGAUAGCAAUCUCCAAGAAGAUGCAUGCCUUGCAUUCGAUCUACAUCAUAUUUAUUUCUAAAUAUAUAGGACACGCAAAGUAGAAGACUCAAUCUGUAACGAGAAAUGGCAGGAAAAAUUAACUACUUGGAUCUACUUAGUCACGCCGUGAGAUUAGACAGGCAUGCAUAUUACAAUAAGAGAGAAAUAUUUUUUUUUUUGAGAAAUAGGUAACACGCUAUCCAAUUCAUUCAUUGUAAGGAUGAAUUAGGCUAUAUGGGUGAGGCAACGAUGGCCUCGGGAGUGGGUGAAAACAAAAAAAAAAAAAAAAAACACUUGGACCCAAAAGUUGGUCCCAAAAUACUACGAUCUGCCAGACAAAACUCGGUCCCAACACUUCGUCAUAUGAUUAACAAGGGAGAAAUGUUAAAUCUACAACUCAGAAGGAUUUGUAAUUUCAGGAUUAUAAUAAUAGAGUUAUGUGAAUACGCCGAGAAAUACUACAUGUGCAAACAGCUAACUUUGUGGAUGUAAAUCUUACACCCGCUAUCUAAAAAUAUAUGGAACCUCUUUUGGAGUUCCAACAUUAAAAUAAAAUAAAAAGUAAUGAGAGUACUAGUGUGGAAAAGGUGGCUCUCAAAUGACAAGGAUGCGAAAUUUGCAUUCAUUUUUGAAAGUAACUAGUCAAGCCCCUUUUUUUUGUAUUCUUUCUCUCAUAUAAAACUAGGCUCCAAAUCUAGGAGAUGGUGUGGCAAUUAAUGUCAAUGCCUCAUAACUUCAAACAACAAGUACAACAAGCAUUGGUUGUUAUCGUUUUGAACAUCGUUGUCCAUCCACUACUUAUCUAGCUUUUAAUUCCAAUGUUGUAGUGUUAGAGUCACAUACGGCAUUUCUUUCUCUCUCUCUCUCCUUUUCAAUUUGUGGUGUUUUCCAAGCACACAAAAUCGGGUAUGGAAUCCAAGUCUCCCUGACUUGGUGCCAUUUUUUCUUUGCAAAAGUCAUCCGAACUGAAGGCCGGGCUUGCAAAUUCGUUCUUUAGACGUAACCAUUUUGAUGCUUUUUUGAAAAAAAAAAAAAGAUUGACUGAAAAAUAGUACUAAGCGAUUCGUUUCAUUCAUAUUUCUUUUUUGACGAACUGAUCAGCUAAAACUGUGAGACAAUUAGGCAUUCAAACUAAAUUCAAAUAGAAAAGUAAAGCGAGUCGAUGGCUUCUGGUGAAGGCCGAAGCUGCAUGGAGGGGAAGAAGAGGAAGAACGAUAAAGAUGAAAUUAUUAUUCAAAUCUCAAAAUCUGAAUUAUAUUAACUAAACAUUAUGUCUUUAUAUAUAGAGGCGAUACCCGAAUCCUACUAAACAAAAAUAAUAAAUUCUAAUAUAUAUCUAAACCUAAUUAGAUUAUAAAUAAUCAAAUAAUCGGACUAAAAAUAGAAAAAAUGCAGGACUUUUCGGAAAUAAUCUAAACAUAUAAAAACAGAUCGAGGCCAAAAUAAUUAAAUAUCGGUCCCAAACUCGGCCGGAAUGGCUGCUCAAUUUGAUGCAUCGAUCUCAAAAACUAUUUUCUAAAUUAGAGUUGCACGCUAAAUUCAGACACUCGAGCGAAAAGUUAUGAUCGUUUAAAGAUAUCUCAUGCCAAGUGUAAAAUUUAUCAGAACUCAACGAAAUUUUUGGCUCAACUUGGUCGAAUCGUGUUUUUUCAAAACUUCGAACGCCAAACUGGUCACAUUUGCUUCGAACUUAAGAUUUCCGUACCAACCAUCAAGUACUUAACUAACUGCAUGCAUACGUUAGAUGCAGUCAAUAUUUUGUUACUCUAUAGAUCACGAUUUAGAAAUCUAAUAUUAGAGGUGCAAAUUAAUUGACGUGGGAAACUUCAUCGAACUAUCUGAGACGAUAUGUUAUUUUUAUGGAGACGCUAUUGCAACUUUAAAGCAUCAAACUAAUUACAUAUGCAUUCACAAAGUAGCUAGCCAAAAAAUGAUCAGUGUAAUGCUAUUAGCUAGAUGGGGGAGAGCUCGAUCGGCUCAGGAAAGUGCAUAAGCAAAAAUAUAUUGUCUAAGCUCUUUAAGUCAAAACCUGCUGCUCUGAUACCAUACGAAAUAACCGUUGUAUUAAUUCGUAAAAACUAUUAGAGAACAGUAUUUAAAUAUAUUUAUAUUUAACAGUUUGCUACUAAUUUCAUUUGCAUUAUAAUUCGGAAUUUAUUCUACGUACUGUUUGGCCCACCAUUCAGUAAUCUUUUUAUUCAAAAUUUGAACUAGACUUAUUUACAGGGAAAAGACAUUAGAGGAGCACAUUUUCCUGUUUGACUCACCAUUCACUAAUCAUUCUAUUCAAAAUUUGAGCUAGACUUAUUGACGGAGAAAAGACAAUAGAGGAGCGCUUUUUCCUCCAAAAAUCGCGUAAAAUCUAGAGAAAAAAUGAAAAGGUUUAAUGGAAGAAGCAAGAAAGGAGAAAACUACAACAUAAAAUGAUGGGAUCCGUUUCUUUAUAGUGCAAGCUUUUAUGAAUACAUCGAUACUCCAAAUUUAUUGGAAAAUAGAGAUUAACUCAAUCUCAAAGAGAUAUGAUUAAACCAGCAAAUACGGAAAUCACAUCAACUUGAUUUGACUUUAAAAGACGAGGAAUCUGAACCCAAAAUGACCCGAAUCCGAAGUGAACCAAGACUCGAGACAUUUUAAAUCAAAACGAUAUGAAAAACCUAAUGUGAAUCAACUAGAAAAUAAAAUGAAACGCAAGAGCAUGUUUAUUUUAUCGAAACUGAAUUUUGGGUUGCAGUGAAAUUCGCUAGAAAUUACUUUUUUCUGCAGUUUAUUUCGUAGUUAUAAAAGUAAGUUUUAUUAGUUCUGAUGUUUGUUUAGUAGAAAAUAUAUGAUGUAAAAUUAUAAUUUAUGUAUAAAUAAUAAAUAAUUUAAUAAAUAAAAAAUAAUUUAAUUAUAUUUUUUAAUUUUUGUCAUAUUUUAAUUGUACAAAUUAAAUAAAAAAAUAUUAAAACUUAAUUAAUUAAUUUUUAUAAUAUUUUAAAUAUGUUAACUGAAUAAAAGAAUAAUUACUACCAUAAUUAAAUAUAUUUAAAAAUAAUUAUCUUUAUUUAGUAUAUUAUUUUAUUAUUUUUCUUCACCUCUCCUUACUAUAAUUGANAAUUGUACAAAUUAAAUAAAAAAAUAUUAAAACUUAAUUAAUUAAUUUUUAUAAUAUUUUAAAUAUGUUAACUGAAUAAAAGAAUAAUUACUACCAUAAUUAAAUAUAUUUAAAAAUAAUUAUCUUUAUUUAGUAUAUUAUUUUAUUAUUUUUCUUCACCUCUCCUUACUAUAAUUGACUUCCGCCCACCACGUGCCGAAAUUAAUUACAUCGUUUCAGGUUAACUCAAAUUUCAACUAUAACUUAUUUACGGUGAACCAAACAACAGAGAUAAUUGUUUAUAGCGAAAACGACUUUCCUCCUCUCCACUUUCAUCCCACUUCCACCCAAACAAAUAUGCCCCAAAUAUAAUAAUACAUUCAGCACUGCGACCUCAGUGAGCUGAAUUUGAAUGAUCAAAAUGCCUGUAAUUGAGCUAGUUUUGAACACUUGAAACAUUAUUGUGCUUUUUUCCUAUCUCGGAUUAUGUCACAUUGUAUUAUUUUCUCACUACACAUUAUUUUCUGAAUGAGUUAACCGGAACGGUUAGAUAAACACGUUCGCUCUAUCAAGACCACUCAUGUAAAAAUUCCAAGGACACUACAACAAAAAUGGUAUAUAGCGAUACUUUUAAAUGUCGGUAUAGGACAAAAAAAGUACUGCUAGCUAAAUUACCAACAUUUUUAAAAAGUGUUGUUAUAUAUGGGGUCGCUAGGUAUAUAGUGAUAGUUUAAGAGUGUUGGUAUAACUUAAAAAGAAUGCUGCUAAUUUACCAACACUUAUUUAAGCAUUUAGUAACCGCCGGAACUCUACCUCGUCGACUGCAGCGCGGAGGAGGAGGAGAGCGAGGGGCUCUCCGUCUAGGGUUUCAGUAGAUUGAGUGAGGGGAGAAGAGGAGAUGGUGAUCGAUUUUUCUUUUUUCUUUUUUUUUCCUUUUCUGUUUGUAAUCGGGACGAAUGGACUGGAUGAGAUGGGUUGAGUAGAGUAACUUUUUAUUUUUGGUUAGAUUGAGCUUUAUAUUUAGGCCUUAGUAGAAUUUUUUAAAUAUUUUGGCAUAAAUGUGACACUUACGAAAAAUGUCCCAAAUAUGUGUCCCUAUAACCUAAUUCUGUUGUAAUGGAUUAGUCGUACCAUCGAAUUGGCUAUGCUUUGGUCGAAUCCUUGGCUAAACUUUGGCAACUAGUGCUCGAAUCUUCAUUUCUUUUCUUUCUUUAAUGUAAUUUUUGUUAGUGUUAUGAGCCGAAUUCUCCAACCAUCGACCCGGUCAAAGAUCUCCUUUGGGAUGCGUGCGAGGAGUAGAUGCGUGCGAGUAGAUACGGCUGUACGCUGUGACCCUCGAAAUAUGCGCCCUUCGACUGAUCAAGCGAUUCGGCUAAUGAGGGAUCAGAUCAGCCAAGUUCGAAACUCUCUAACACAGAAUCAGUUCGGUUGAAUGAGCCGAAUAGGAUAUUGCGUAGUAAUUUUAAGUCAGCUGAUGAGCUAAAUGACCUUUAUAUAUUCAAACUUAAAGUCGAAAAAACUUGUACAAAAGAGAUUGUGCCUGUAAGGCAUACAGACUUUAGGAAAUCUAACUUACAGACUACUCCUAAAAAAGGCAGUAAAUGCAGGAGAGGAAAGAUUACAGAUAAACUACUCCUAGAAAAGUAAGAAAAAUGCGCGGAAAUAGAAAGGUGGUCUUCUGUUCGCUGGAAAAAGACCCCUCUUCCAGGCGUUACUCGCCUAUUUAUAGUCCGCGCAUGGUUAUUCGGUUAUGUACACGAUCGACUACUUUCCUGAUUUCGUAGGCCACUACAAGCCGAUUCUAACCACUCAAGCCGCUUGCGGUUAUAUUGUGAUUUACUUUAUGCUCCUGGCGCACCACAUGUCAAGUUUUAGAAUCCCUUACGAGUUGAGCGCCAAUUUUCCACGUGGCAUUUUAUUGGUGUCAACAAUUGCCCCCUCGGCAGCCCCCGAACAAGUGGUUCCGUAGCUGACGUAAUCUCUUCCAAAGGCGUGGAUUUCGAAAUUAUUAUUUCGAGUUGUUUUGUACCAUCUUUCUCUCAGCCAUUCUUUCACCUUUGACGGCCACGAUCUCCCACACAUUCCUUUUUGUCUCUUAUGCGGCAUUUAUUAGGUCAUUUAUUGCGGCUGUCUUGUCAUCAUUAAAGCCGUUUUCAGAAUUCUAUUCGACGGCCCUUUUUCUUUUUUUUCUCUUUUGUUUUCUUUUUCUCUACGCUUUCUUUUUCCUCUCUUCGUCCUUCGUUUUUCUUUCUUCUUCCUCUUCGCCCGAGAAUCCCUUUCUUCUUUUGUCUUCUCUACUUUUUCUUUCGUCUCCUUUAAUGGCUUCGUUUCCUCAUCUUCUUUUUUCUCCACCUCUCAUUUACACUUUACUUAAACAAUAUGUUGGGUCGGAACCUUCUUAAUUUAUUUUAUAUCCCUCGUUUACAGAUGACCCUAUCCCUGAGAAUUUUCCUUUCUCAAGUAAGGGUCUUCCUUUAAUGGCUGAUGUCAUUCAUCUCCACUCUUGGUAUGCUUCAACUUCGAUGGGAAAAAAUCUUCGGACUUGGCCGAAUGUUUCGGAAGCAUAUCUCGCUUGGUUGGAUUGGGUGGAAGCGUCGUAUGCCGAUCUCUGGCGCGAGAUUGGAAUUUAUGAAGCCAUUCAAUUAUCUCGAACACCUCCCAUAGCUGAUAACCUUUUUUUGGCUGCGGCUCUUUGUUUCUUGUCCCCUGUUUCCAACACCUUCUUUUUUAGAGCGGGACCCUUUACCCCUACUCUCCUUGAUGUAGCAGCGAUCGUUGGUUUGCGCCCUCACGACAUUACUCUUUCGAUGGCCUACAAUCCUAACGACGUGACCGAUUUUAAGGCCCGUCUUGAUCUACCUGAUCUAACUUAUACCAAGUUUAUUCUCCGGUUCGCAGGCCAAUCCGCUGCUUCGGUUACAAAGAAGGAGCACACAAUAUUCCUUCUCUACUGGUUAUGUCAUAACCUCUUCUGUACUCGUUCACAGAAGAUAAAUCGACAUUUUGUUUCAAUCGCCGUAGGUUUAGCUAAUGGCAAAAAAUUAGCCUUGGGUGUAUAUUUUCUUGCUUUGUUUAUAGAGAAAUUUUUGAUUCAAUCAAACCAUUACCAUUCGGAGAAGGUUUUGCAAUUAUGAUAGCAGGGACUAUUUUGGGCAGCAUGAGGCCACUUGGUGUGACCUCUGGACUAGUUGCCGAAGCAUUCGAUACCCUUGCGGAAUCAAAAUUUCUUCCUGAUGCAUUUUUUGACAAAAUUGUCGGCGGAACGCAGUGACAGUUGUCGAGUCCACUUGUUGGUAGUGCUAUCACCCCUGGUGCAUUGCAGAGCCUUGUUGGCUAAUUACACUGAUUGUCUUAAGUUUCUGAAGACAACAAGUGAGCGACGGAGGGUUUCAGUGCUAAAAACAGCACUUUUGGGAACCUGGAAUGGUAAUAUAUGCAUUUUGGUGUAUCUCGAUGUUGUGGGCUGACGGUGGCUAUCCGAACACCCAUGUUGGUGCAUUUCGGGACAGCGGCGAUUAGUCUUGUACUGUGGUAUCUUCCGAAACACUCUGUGGCAAUCGAAAGUGUUUCGAUGGAGUUUUGGAACUCUCGGAAGUUUUGGGGUUGUGGGUUUAGUGUUUUAGAGUCAAAUUGGUGGAUCUUGACUCGGUGGGUCUUUCCUAAAUCCAGUCGAUGUCCCAGCAUGCCUUGAGCAUUAGACAUUGCGACGAUUUUAGGUGGGUGCUUCAAUCCGGAGUCGGUAUAGUGGUGCUAGCUCGUUGAUAUUAUUCUCUUACCCUUUUUCAUUUUCUUUGCAUAUUAUUGAUGAGCAUAUCGCCACUAGACUUUCGAUUUAUUUACUCUACUUCUGCUCGUUCAUAUAUUUGUAGUAGAAAGGUGUGAGAUGAUUGCAUGAUUUCUAUCUGUGGACCUAAUUGGUUAGUGUUGGCCGGUUCACCGAUCUGGUGAUCUAUUGUGGACAUGUACAUUGUUUAUCGACUUAUUCUCGGCUGUUUGUCGUUUCGUUGACCAUUGAGCAUUUCGUGUCAAUCGUCACAACUCAUGUAGCAUGUCACGUACACUAGCGGUUUGGCCACCGUAUUGGUGUUUUUUUUUCGAAAAAGUGGUCGUCUUCUCAACCCGUGAGCCUCUGCAAGGUGCUAGCAAGGGGUUUUGUGCCAGGUGGGUGAGCAAACUGUGACACUGCCUGCGGUCUUUAGACCUAUACGGCGAGGUGCUUGGAUAUCGGUUUCAUACAGCUGAUACAUUGAUUAUUAUUUACAGUAGCGGUAGGUGAUUAUUGUUAUUCAUAUCCAUAUUUAUUUAUCCGCUAUCGUGCAUAAUUAUCUAUCUAUCUCAGUUGUUUUCUCUCGCAAGUGAGUACACUCGCAUUCGUCGGCUUGCGAUGCCCACUCGAAGAUCCUUGUUGGUUUCUCACCCCCCCUCCCCUUCAGGUGAUAUUGGCGGUGGGAGUCGGGAUGGGGUGUGUGAGGUGCAACAACUUGCGAGUUUUAGAGGUCCCGGCAGUUCUACAUCAUCUACGGUUAUUUUGAAUCAACCCUCUUACAUUUAUGGUUAAUAAAUUAGACACUGUGGUUCAGUUAUUUGUUUGAUUGGUUGUGAAUUCUUGAAUAAUCUUGGUGGUAGAUGAUCAUUUAAUUGCAAUUACUUGAAAUAAUUAUUCUUUUGGGAUUUUCUAUGUGAUGGUAUUUUAGUUGUAUAAUAUGUGAUUUUGUACCCCUCGAGCUAGUCGCCAUUUUCAAAAAAAUAGGUUUCCGUGUGGGAGACUACUUUCAAAAGGCUUUUCGGUUUCUCGAUCCUUAGUUUUUCAAAAAUAAAGUUUUAAGGUUGGAAACACUUUCAAAUGGUAGACUUGGUUACUGUAAUGAGCAUUUGCAUCAUCCUUCGCCUACGGAGUGCUUAGAGCAUGCAAAGGAUUGUUAGCUGAAUGUUUAUUGUGAGCAUAUGCAUUGUGAAUGCUGCUUGUGUGAUUGAAUGUAGUGUCGCAACAGCUCUUAUAGUGGUACGCCGUGCAAAAACAGGGGAGACUCUGUCCUAGUGGUGGCCGGAGGAAAACAUGUAUUUUGUGGCAGGUCUGUUUCGUCCCCUGACAUAUUUGUAUUUCAAAAAACAAAAGAGGCAAUUCCGUUGGCUUCAUUUUCAAACCAGUUUUUUCUUCGAAAAAGCUUUACAAAAAGGGGCCUCGGGGCGUGACAGGGGUCUCACAGAUAUAAUCAGGCUAAAACUCUUAAUCCGGCUAUAGCAUUUUAGCGAUGGCUAGGCCCAAAAGGUUAAGAGAGUUAAGUGUGUUAGGGCUGGAGUAGUCCUAAAAUGGGUGACCCUCUAGAAAAUUGGAGCGUCACACAAGUCACUUAAAGCGUACAAACAAAGUGUCCAUGGAUCUCGAUUGUCACUCGACCCAACGAGCCUCUACUUCGACCAUGACUCGGCUCAACCCAACCUCACGCCAUUUUAAAUGUGACUCGACCCAACCUAGCCUCCCACCACAGAGCAAGAUGCUGAUCCAUUUAAUGCAACAAUCCUCCUUCCAGUACCCAUAUAAAUUCACAGCAUGCGGGAAUCGAACCUACGACCUCUUGUUCUAAUAUCACUUGUCGGAUUGUUGAUACUAAUCAUUAAUCCCAAAAGCUCGAGCUUAAUUUUUUGUCAGUGGCUCAUCCAACCGUGAUAAUAUCCCACAUAUAAUAUUUUCUCUACCAAUCAUCUCAUCAUAUCAUUUAUUCUCUAAUAUUAGUUUUAUCCUUUCUCACGCGUAGUACUCACCACCUAUUAUGUAAUAUACCGAAUCUCCGAAUCGUAAUGCUAAUUUUGAUCAAAUUGAUCAAAGUAAGCUAUGAGGGUGAUGAGCGAGGUUUUCGAGUUGCCUUGAAGGCGUUGGGAUGGUUGGAAGUGAGUUUCAGGAGUGUUUGGAUGUUUUCGGCUCAAACCAGGCGCGAAAACAAACUCUGAAAUAUUGCAACUGCUGGACUACAGAAGUGACAUUGAGUACCGGUACAAAGGCAAUGCAGUACCGGUACCCAAUGGAAGUGCAGUUUUGUCAGGUCUCGGGUUUGGGACCUUGGCAAGCUGUGUACCGGUACCUGAGACGAGUACCGGUACUGGACUGGUCAGGUACCGGUACAAGUACCGAUACUGGUGUUAUGUACCGGUACUACGCAUUGGACUAGAGUUGCACAGCCUCGGGUUGAGUGGCUCGUACUGGUACUAUGUGGUAGGUGCCGGUACUGGGAGCCCUGCGUACCGGAACUCCAGCCCGAGUAUCGGUACUCAGUCUGUAAAGGACUAAAUUGUAAGGCUAAAAAUGAGACUUUGUGGGGGGCUUAUUUGUAAAUGUUGGGGUCUAAAAAUAACCCCAACCCUACACUUGUACUUCUUAUGCAAGAGAAGACCUCGUUCCUUCCCCUUCUUAUCUCCUUCUCAUUCUCUCUCUAGAAUUACCCCCUCAAGGUGGAAUUGGAGGAGAAUUGAAGGUGAGAAUUGGUGGUUUUGGUGUUGAGGAAGCUCAAGAAUAAGAAGGGCUUUGUAGAGCAAGGAGCCAAGGUAAGUUCUUUGCAUUUGUAUGUUAGGGUUUAGUUUAAAUUCCCUAAUUUGCUUAGUUUUGUGGUUCUUGGGAUUCUAGAGCUUGGAUUAUGCUAAGAAAUCCCAAGAAAUUUGGACUAUGGGUUGCAUGUAUAAACCCUAAGGUUAGAAAUGGGAUUUUGAAGAAAUGGAGAUCUACCAUGGAAUUGUUCUCUUGUAUUCCUAAUUAAAGGUUAAUCCGACGUGUUGGGAGGCUUGGAUCGAAGUUCCGACGACUCUACGGCAAGAUAUUAAGGAAAAAUCUCAUUUUGUCUUCGUUAGACGUGGGUCGAGAGUUUAGGCAUCUAAAAAUUAUGGGACUUGGAUUCUCGCAUCUCAACAUCUUUAAGAGGUGGGUGGUACUAUCCGAAAUCUUCGAAUUACCUAUUAUAUCUAUGUCACCUUUUUGAGCAUAUAUGUAUAUGUAUAGUGUUGUAUUCAUGCAUUGUAGGGUUAAUGUUAAUAUAUAGCUAAAAUGUGGGAUAUCUUAUAUGCUUUUAAUGUAAAGAUACAUGUGGACAAUAGACUUUGGACAUAGAAACCCUAUGGAUGUAUGAACUAAAUGUUGGAUUAUGACAAUAGCAAAUAAGGUGACAUUGUUACUAGAUGAUUGUUUAGUACAUAAAAAUGUGGAAUGCUAGACAAAGAAAACUUUGUGAAAAAUAUGGCAAUAGUGACAUGGUAUCCUCGAAGUCGAGGAUGGGAUUAUACUCACAGGUAGUCUGAUAGGCUUGAGUGUGAUCGCUCCACCUUAAGCGAUGAGCUCCGAAGUUGUCAUCACUGGGCAGUAGCGGAAUUCUCCCCAGCAGACCGUCCCGUCGGAUUGUAGUGGAAUUCUCCCCGACAAAAAUGGAUUUGGUUUGGUGAGUUGGGUUUAACCAAAUGGUUGACCAAGAGGAUUGGGUAACGGUAAAGGUAAAAGAGAAAUGCAUGCAUCAUGAGCAUCAAAUUUGUUGUUUCAAUUAUACAGGCAUAGUAGUAGCAUUAGUUUGGUUUGCUAUCUAUUCCUUUUCCUAUUUAUGCCUGAUUAGACCUAAUGGGUGAAUCGGCGGGGUCGGCGGCCGAACCCGCUCAGAACUUUUUCUAGUUCUCACCCCACUAACCAUGCAUGUCCUAGCACGAGCGUGGCGGUCGAGGAUCGCGGCAUAGGCAUCACGCCCUAGAUAGUGGACUUCCUCGAGUAUAGAUAUACCUUGUAUAUUUCAUCUUUUGUAGUUGAUGAAACGAAUAUGUAAUAAUUGUAUUUGAGAGAUAAUUUGUAUUGGAAAAUGAAUACAAGCUUUGUAUUUUGUUUAAAGUAAUUAAGAUACAAUGUAUGGAUUUAAUAGCUAGUUUACUUUCACUUACUCAUGUUGCUAGCCCUCGUGCAAGCAAUGUAUAUCAAAAUUUUUCUGAGCAAAUUCUAUAUACAUGUUACAGGUUGUGGAGCCAUGGGCGGACAGAAGAGGCUCUGUUCGUUCGACGUCUCUUUCCCUUUACUCCAAUCUUUGUUUCGGCUCCAUCUAAGCCGAUCUUCAUUAUUUCCUUUUCUAAAUUGCUCAUAUUGAGCAACUCGAACUCCCAAAUAAAAAAGAUUUGAAAAAUACUUAUCUUUAAAAUGAUCUUUAAUUUUGAAGUGUAAACUAUUAAAUGCCAUUUUGGCAAAUUUCGAUUCUGGCAUUCUUACAAAGCAACGGCUUCUUGCUGUCUUGAAUCGAUUUAGAUACUCUUCAACCGAUUUUCCUGUUCUUUGCCUGAAUUGGGCUAGAUCAGUAACUGAAAGUUCUAGCUCUGAUCUAUAAAAUUGUUCGUAAAAUUUUCUUUCCAAUUCGUCCCAAUCUCGGACGGAAUUAGCAGGUAGACUCAUAUACCAAGUAAAUGAUAUUUUGGUUAACGAGGUAUUAAACAGCCUAAGCUUCAGGAAAGGAUUUUCAGCGGCUUCUCGGCACUGAGCCGUAAUCCGCACGACGAGUUCAAUCGUAUUUUCGGUCUCGUCGCCAGAGAAUUUAUCGAAUUUCGGUAUUUUUUAAUUUGCCGGAUAAGGAUAUUCUGUAUCUAUGUUUGCAGGAUAGGGUGAUGUAAACACAGGCCGCAUUGCCGGCCUAGCUCCAACUCCGAAAGUAUUUCGGAUGGCUUCCUCAAUCUGAGCAUAACUUUCAUUAUUGUUCCCUUGUAAAGAUACAGGCACCUGUGCCUGAACUGGAUUUGGUCCUGGUGGUAGCCCGAAAUUCUGCACUGCAGGGAUGAUCCCUUGCAUAUUUGGGGCCUGCCCCCCAGCUCUAGCCUCGACAUUUUGGGGCUAAUAUACUGCCACUGGUGGGGAAGGUGGUAACCCCCAGGCUAUUUCUAGUUGUUGACCGACGUUCGCAGCAACCGGUCUGUAAGCCGCCUGAAAUGGUGCCCCAUAGUGUUGGGGUUGACUACUUGCCGGUGUUACAGGAUUUUGUAACACCGGUGUAACUAAGGCCCUUGCAGACCUGUUACAGGUUGUUCAUUACGAGUCAAUAAUUGUCCUAUUCGGGCAAUAUUCUCGUUAGAGGCCGUGAUUGGGGCGAGUACUGCAUCUAAACGGGAAGUACUCCUAUAACUAUUUUGGUCCAGUACUUGUAGGAUGCGUAUUAUUUGUCCAAGCGCUUGAGCCAAACUUGGCUCUUGUUGGUCGGACUGACCACUAGUCUCACCUUCAACUGGCAAACUGUUCGGCGUUCGCUAGCAUUAUCGGAAUGGGUUGAUCGCUCCCGGAAUUUCUAGGAACGACCCUAUGGCGCAAAUUUAUGGCAUUAUCAUCAGCCAUAACUUCAAUAAGAAAGUAAAUUUACCUAGACUGGUGUCCCACCGGGCGUGCCAAAAUUUGUUAGGAUCCGAAUUCCCUGAUCCUUGACCCGAUCAAAGGUCUCUCUCGGGAAGAGUGUAGGAAUGUGGAAUGGCUGUGAAUGGUGACCCUCAAAAUUUGCGCUUUUCGACUGGAUCAAGCGAUUCGGCUGAUGAGGAAUCGAAUCAGCCGAGUUCAGAACCUUCUACUAUAGAUUCGGUUCGGCUGGAUGAGCCAAAUGUAUGGAAUAUACUGUGCUUUGGGUCGGUUGAAAAGCCGAAUGCUUUAUAUAUUGGAAUUAACUUGUAUAACUAGUACAAGGGACGAGUGUGCCUGAGGGCAUACAGACUCGGUUGAUCUAACUUAAACUUACUCUUAGGAAAACAGUAAGUGCGGGAAAGUAAAAGAUUACAAGUAGACUACUCCUAGAAAAUAUGAGAAAAAUACAGAGGAAAUAAAAGUGGUCUUCGAUUCUCGGGAAAAAGACCUUUCUUUUGGGCGUUAUUUGCCUAUUUAUAGCUCGCCUCUAUUGAUCCGUUAUUACCACAUCCAUGAUCGCCACUACUCCUAUUUUUUCGGGCCACUUCAAGCCAAUCAGAACUACUCGUAACCACUUGCAGUUACUGUAACUUCUUUCAAUUACACCUGGCAGUUACUUAAUUAUAUUGUCGAUGCUCUCGGUGCAUACCAAAAUCUUCUUUAAUUCUUGCUCUUAAAGAUUGGGGUUGUGUGGUGCACCAGCAUACCACAUGGCCGGAUGUUAUUGGCCUAACACCAUUAAAUCUAAAAAAAAUUUCAAAAAAGUACAUUUUUCAAGAACCAAAGGAACAAAAUAUAUUUUUUCAACUAAAAAAUUAUUUUCUAAAAAUAUCUUCCAAAAAACCGAGCAACCUUUUAUUUCCUAUCAAAUAAAUAAUAAUGAAAAAUAAAAUUUAUGUAAACCUUAAUUUAACUAGAAAUUAUUUAACUCUAUAAAUUACUCACACGCAAACAAAUAGAUUCAAAGCUCAAGAGAGUCUAUAGUUUUAUCUUUUUACUUUUUUUUAGUUGCCUUUUUCUCUCCUUUUUAAAAUAGCACGUUUGUGAUGUUUAUAUUUAAUGUGGUGGAUCCACAAUGGUUCACAUCACGAAGGUCAUUUAACUGUCAUGCACGUAGCAAUCACGUGGAAGCAUCGCACGUACGACAAGUGGCUGAACCUGUUUGGGAUGUUUUAAAAGCCUAGUUUAAUAGCGAUUCAAAAAUAUUAUAACAUAAAAAGUUAUAUAUAUUUAUAUAUAUAUAUAUAUUUAUAUAAUAAAUUAAUUAAGUUAAUUUUAUUAAUAUAUAUACAUAUAUUUAUAUAAUGAAUCAGUUAGAUUGAUUUUAAGUCGUUAAAUUUUAAUAUAAUUUGAUAAAAAAAUUGGACUAAUUUGGAUAAAAUCAGGUAGGUUGGUUGCUUGGAUAACAGUUCACAAAUGGAUUUUUUGAAAAUUAUCAUCCUAUUCAAGAGGUGAUUGAAUAGGGUUCGAUUCGACUCAGUUUUUUAAAUUAUUGCUAACUCGCUGGGGCCCACGCGCGUGCGAGUUGACGUCGCGACAGCUGUCGCCAAUCCCGAGGGUUAUGAGAUUGCUGCCGGUGCAGAUGCGUUACUUGGAUGCCCAAGCAAUCGCAAUCGCAAUCUAUCACUCUGACAAGAUGUUUCCUUUUCCUCAUAAAUAGUGAAGCUAGUAACUAGUGUGUGUAUAUAUAUAUAUAGAGUUGGACUGGACUACUAUUAGUAGCAAAAUUCUAUUAUUACUAUCAGUUUUUUAACCUUUGGAUAAACUCUUUUUAUUAUUUCUAACCAUUAGAUUAAAUACUAUAACCCAGUGGGGACCACUCAACCCUAGGGGACCACUCAACUCUAACCGACUAAUAUCAUCCUGACCCUACAAUUUUUUAUCCAAGGGUUAAAAACUUGAUAGCAAAAAGAGCGUUUUACUAUUAAUAGUAUUCCAGUCUAAUUCUAUAUAUAUACAUAUAUAGAGUCCGACUGGGGUACUAUCGAUAGCAUAAAGGAUUUGGUGCUAUCGAGUUUUCCACCGUUAGAUUUAACCUUUUGAUUAUUUUUACUCGUUAGAUUAUACUAUUCAACCAACCACUCAAUCAACCUAGGGGGCCCACAUCAUCUUAACCAUCCAUUUUUCAAUCCAAGGGCUAAAAAAUCAAUAACACCAGUAGGUUUGUGCUAUUGACGGUAUUCCAGCCUAGUUCUAUAUAUAUAUAUAGGCUAGGGCUACUAUACUCUUAUGAGUAUAGACCCUCUUGUAAUCAUAAAUUUUUAACCGUUGAUUGAUGGGAUGUGUGGUUAGGAUGAUGGUGGUCCUCACUUAGAAUGAUAGCGGUCCCCUAGGGUUGAGUAGGUAGUUGGUUGAAUAGUAUGAUCUAACGGAUGAAAAUGAUGAAUAGAAUAAAUUUAAGGGCCGAAAACUUAUAAGUAUAUAGGAGCCAAUACUCAUAAAAGUAUAGUAGCCGGACUCUCUCUCUCUCUUCUCUCUCUCUCUCUCUCUCUCUCUCUCUCUCUCUCUCUCUCUCUCUCUCUCUCNAAAAUUUAGAAAAAAACUACAAAUACAAUCCAUAUAGUUUUGAAUUUUUUCAUUUUAGUAUUCUGUGGUUUAAAGUGUAUCAAUUUAGUAUUCUGUGGUUUCGCACUUUCUCACUUUAGUACCUUGUGGUUUAAAGUGCAUUAAUUUAGUACUCUGUAGUUUUUUUUUUUUUUUUCGUUGGCUCCUCUUGUUAAUAUUUCGUUAAAUUAUAUACAAAACUUCGGAUACCCUACCUAAAUUUAUCGAAUAUUUAUUUUAGUACCCUUUAGUUUUAACUUUGUCACUGAUUUUUUUCUGUUAAUAUUUCGUUAAAUUAUAUACAAAAAACUUCAAAUACCCUAUCUAGAUUUAUCGAAUAUUUACUUUAGUACCCUUUAGUUUUAACUUUGUUACUGAUUUAACGAAAAAAAUUAAUGAAAUGGAUAAUAAAAAGAGAAAAAUAAAUCUACAGGGUACUAACUUGAUACAUUUUAAACCACAGAAUAUUAAAGUGAGAAAAUGUGAAACCACAUGGAGGUAUUUGAAGUUUACCAUAGAAUUUACUAUUUAUUUCUAAAAGGUUAAGCUUUUAAAUUGUAUACCCCUUGAUUUUCUUUUGAUUUGUUAAAAAGUGCAUAAAAGUUACUAUACUUUGUUGAAUUUAUUGGUGAAUUAAUUUAAUAAAAUUUCUCAUUUGAUUGGCCAGAAUUACUCAAUUUAUAAAAUUUAAAGGUUGAGGAUCUGACUAUUGAAAAACAUUGAGGAGCUUCCAAGACAAUUUUCUCCUUUUUUUUUUUUUUUUGCCGAAAUGGUUACUAGUACUAGUCUAGAAGUCAGGAACUAGAAACUUUUUUAUCUAAAAAUACAUGCAAGUCAGUCUUGAAAUCUUUUGCCAUCUAGGGUAUAUUUUGGUAUUGAGAGCCACCUAACAUUAUAAUUAGGCGAAAUAAAGUUGAGAUAAAAAUAUAUAAAAACAUAUAUGCUUCUUUGUUUUUGACUGCAAUCGAUCACAAAAAUGAUACCCCUAUCAACACAUUGCAGCAUACUCAAUGUAAUACGAAAACGAAUAGAAUAUUUUCUUACCAUCUUUUUUUAUGGCACUAAAUUUAUUCUCUUUCUGCAAUCCCAAGCGUAGUCUUGGAUAGCACCCGAGAUGACGACGGCCCGCUACAAAAAAAAAAAUAAAAAUAAAAAAUAAAAAAUAAAAAACUUUCACUCUCUCAUAACUUUAUCCCUCUUCUGGGGCUUUACUUAUGUCAUGCUAGUGAUGCAAUUCAAUUAAUGUGGGUCACCUCUUUAGUGGGGAGUCUAGGUAGAGGGUGCAGGCCUGGAAUUUGAGAAUGAAAAGAACCUUUUGUUUUGUAGUUGUGAGAAAUAUAAUCCCAACAUGCAUGAACCUACUAGAACAGCAUCCAAAUUAUUAUAUAUUAGAGAUGAAUCUUGGUGAAAAUUACACCAUUGGCCCUUCAACACCAAUGUACUUCAAUUUAUUCUGUGAGAAAUGAUUCGGUACUUUUAUUUUAUAAAAAAAUAAAAAUGAUUUUAACUGUUAAUCAAUAGAGGGUAAAAAUAUAAUUUUAACAUUUAGCAGGUAAAAGGAUUACUUCAUUCGAGAUUGUUUUUGUAAUUAAACUAUACAAUAUUUAAAGAAAGUUUUAAUUGAUAUCCAGAAUUUAGGCAUUAAUUUGUACUAAUUUGAAAAAUUGAUUGAAUACCUAAAUUUAGACAUUAAUAUAGGCAUUAAUUUAGGCAUUUAUUUUAGAAGUUUUAGUGUUUCUCAAAUUUAGGCAUUAAUUUAAAUUAUAGAAAUUUUAGAAAUAGUUCUAUUUCUAAAUACGCUGAAUUUAAAUAUUUAAUAUUUAAUAUUUAAAAUUAAAAAUUUAAAUUUAAGUUAGAGUAAUUUAAUUUGUAUUACUAUUUAAAAAUUAUGUAAUGUUGGUAAAUAUUUUAAUCCAACAUAUUUAAUAUGCUUAAGAAACUUUUAAAUUUCUAUAGUUUAGACAUUAAUUUUGUAUCACUUAUUUUAAAAAAUUUGAAUGUAGGUAAAAAAAAUUAUCAAUUAAAUGUAUUUAAUAUGUUAAAAAAAAUAGAAUUGUUUUAUUUUAGACAUUAAUUUUGCAUCACUAUUUAAAAAGGAUUGUAAUGUUGGAAAAUAUUUAAAUUUAACAUAUUUAAUAUGUUUAACAAAAUUGUGAAUUCAUCUUGUUUAGACAUUAAUUUUGUACUACUAAUUUUAAAAAAUUGAACGUGGGCAAAUAUUUAAAUUCCAAAAAUUUAUUAUAUUUAAAAAAAUUUAACAAUUUUUCUAAUUUAGAUAUUAAUUCUUUAUCACUAUUUAAAAAUUUUAAUGUGGAUAAUUGAUUAGAAAUAUAGGGUAUAGCUCAAAUUUAUUCUUAGGAUAGAAUUGUAUGGGCAAAAUUAAUUCAAAUUUUAAUAGUAAAAAUUGAUCUUUUAAAAUAAUAAGAUCAUGUAUUGUAAUUUAAAAUAUAAGAUGAAAUCAAAGUAAAUUAAUUUGAAGUUUAGAACCUAAAAAAUAUACAGAAACGUACCUCCAAUAAAUCUAAAUAGUAUAGUACAAUUUAAACUUACUAAUAAAUAAAUUUGGGCUAUAUAAUUUAAAUUUUAAGUUUAUAAUAAAUCUCCACCAUAGAGUGUUACUAGAGUAAACAAAAUUAGAAAUAUAGAUAAAUUAAAUAAAUUUAUGUUGAACAAAUCUAAGCUAUUUGUAUAUUUUAUCAAUUUGAUCAGUCGAAUUAAUUUGAUUUAUUAAAUUGAUUUUGAUCUUACCUUUAAAAUUUUUCAGAUUUUAGUCAAUUUUUUAAAUUUUAGUUCCUUACAAAUUGAAUUUGUAAGGAAAUAAAGAGAGAGAAAAAGGAAACAAAGAGAAAAUAACGAUUUUGAUAAUGUAGUAGAGGUAAAAUUAUUAAAUUACCCAUGUAUUAAAAGACAAAAAUAUCCUUCUUUGAGAUACUUGUUAACCGGUACGUCUCCCAAAGUGACCUGUUAUUGUAGGUUAUAAUUUAAAAAAAAUUAAAUUUGAGCUGCUAAAGAGGAGUGAAUGAAUGGUACCGAAAAAUAACAAGUAUAAAAGUACUACUACUCCUAUUUCUGUAACUAAGGUGUUAAACUUUUGUUCAAUCGCCAAAUUUUAGUUAGUUAAAAACCCAGUUUUGAUUUAUUUCAAGUGCAUGAGGUCACGAUAAACAUUAAGCUAAUUGAAAGAAGUACAAUACCUAAUUGACACUAAUUGUAUUUUGAUGGCUUAAUUAAGUCUAACUUUACUAGAAAUUCAGCGAUAACCAACUAAUGGUUAAUUUAAUUUAUCCUUUAAUCAUGUUAUUCGUAUAUAGUAUGUUAGAGCUAAACCAUAAGAUCCCAUUUGAUUCGGGAUAAAGUAGGAAUAACGAAAGUUAUCCCCGCUAUCCCACCAAAUUGUAUGUUUUUAGGCCGGGAUAUUUAUUCCGGUCAAAUAUUGUUAUUCCCGGCUAUUCCGAAAUAGCUUGGGAUUUACUAUUAUACCAUUUUGACGGAAUAGUGCUAUCAUAUGAUUUAAUUUCAAGUUUUAUUAAGAUUGAAAAUUGAAUUAAAACUGAAUUAUAUAGACAUAAUAUGUUAUAUAUUAUAAUAUAUUAUUUUUAUUAUGAACUUAUUAAUUGUACUACUUAAUUUAUUACGCUAAAUAUUUAAUUAGCCAUUUGAGUAAUUAAUUUAUUAUUUUAAUUAAUUUUCUAAUUAAAUAAUUAAUUAUUUAUUACUAUACUAAUUUAUAUUGAUUAAUUAAUUAUUUGACAUGACCAAUUUAUAUUGAUUAAUUAAUUAUUAAUUUACACCCUUAAAUAAUUAAUUAUUUGACAAAACCAAUAUUUGUAUUGAUUAAUUAAUUAAUAUUUUGACUAAUUUAAUUAUCUUACUGUUAUUAACUAAUUUAUUAAUUAAUUUAUUAAAUUACUUCUGGUUAAUUAAAUUAUUAAUUACUAAUUGAUCUAUUAAUUAAAUUUAGCGUUAUUUAGCAAUAUUCAUGAUUAAUUAGUAAAUUAAGCAAGUUGAAUUAUUAUUUAAUUAAUAUUUUUAUUAAUUAAUUAGAUAAAAUAUUAUUAUAUUAAAAUUAUAAUUAUUCUUAUCCUUACUAUUCUAAUCUAACCAUCCAUACGCCAUUUUGCUUAUUUCCAAGAAAAACUUAGUUUUUAUCCAAACGCAAAAUUGAUUUUAUUCUUACUUAUCCCAAGAAUUGUACUGUACCUGUCCAAAAGAUAGCCUAAAAUAACUUAUUCCCGAACCAAAUGAUACCUAAAACACCGAACUUAGUGAAAUUGUAUAAAAUUGGAUCCAUUACAUAUGUAGAUCGUGCUGGCUAAACAAAUCCAUUUUGAUCCAUUAUUUAGAAGAUCUAGAAAAGUUAAAAUUGUUUCGGCCUUUUCACUCUGUUACUUAAAAUUGGAGUUGUUAAUUUUUUGGCCCUCUAAAGCAUCAAAUAACAACAUAUUCCUAAACUAGCUAGGCUAGGCUAAAACAGCCAAAUGUGGCAGCAAAUAUUUUGAUAUACAACACUAUUUCCGCGAUAAGUAAUUAAAUCCACGCCAGAGUUUUCACUUCCCAUGAAACCAACUCAAUGGAUGAUGAUAUAUUAAUUAUGACGGUGAUGAGAGAGUAAAGGAUCACAGGAGGGAGAGAUUCUACUAUAUAUAUAUAUAUCAGUCACACUAUAUUAUUUAUAAACAAUCAAUCAUAUUAUUCCUCGAGUUAAAAGUAAAGUAAAAAUAUUUUUUUAAUAAUUAGAUUGGUUUGUGUUGCUAUAUCAGUAAUGUAACUGAUAUAUAUGUUCUAAAAAAUCUUCCAUAGGAGGACCCUUGGGCCAGCUCCAAUUAAAACACACACACAUACACAGCGACUUGAUUCGAAGUGAAGUGACCUCUCAUGAGACCCCUUAGGUGGUACAAUGAGAAAGUAUACUCGAGUCCAAGAGCCAAUCCAUUCUCUUCCCUAUACAAAAGCACGGUCACUUGUUGGAGAAAAGGACUUUCAUAUACACCUCUUAAAACGCACUCUAAUAAGUACACACACGCAAAAUGAUACAUUCCAAAAGUUUUUACACUAUAACGGGACUCCCCUUUAUGGUGAGAGAACUCCACAAGCAACAACUCUCUUUAGAUUCCACCCCACUCGUUAAGCUUUCUACCAUGCCACAACUCAUCCGCACAGCUCCAGAAGCUGCUAUCGCCAACACUAUCGAGACAACUAUUACUACUCGCCACACUCACACCACAAUUGGUGCUCGCAUAGCCGAGAAGCGAAGACGACGAUAGUGACGCUAGGUCCAACCCAUCUAGCUCUUGGUGGUAGUACCCGUGACUGCUGUGCCCGCCGAGAAGAGCGUCGAAAGCGACGCCGUUGAGCUCGUCGGUCGGGCUCGACGGGAAUUCGGGGAAUUGCGGGACUUGCGGGAGCGCGGUCGACCCCGAGGAAGUGCUCGGGCUAUAAUUCUCCGACCCGGAGAUGUCGUACGAGCGCGAGCACUCGAGAGGGUGCGGUACGAUCGGAUCGAGGAAAGGCGGAUGAUGAACGUGGUGGCGGUCUUGGCUGAGCGAUGAGGCGUUGGCGUUGGCGGCGGCAGUGGCAGCGGCGGCGGCGGUCGGGGUGGUCGAAAAGGGAUCGUGAAGGGAUCGAGAGGUUUGAGAGCCGAUCUUCUCGAGGAGCCUCGGCAUCCAGUAGCACCGGAGCGCAUCGCGGAACAUGGUGCUGUUGGCGUCGAUCUUGAGCUGCCUCGCCUGCUUCUGCACCCUCGUCCUCCAAUAAUUCUUGAUCUCGUUGUCUGUCCUCCCCGGAAGGUGCUGCGCGAUCCUAGACCACCUACAUCAGUAUAAUAAAAACUCCGUAAAUAAUCGAUCGUCACUUGAUUGUAACUAACUAAUUAACACGCAUAUAUCGAUCGAUCGAGCUUACCGAUUUCCCCACUUGGAAUGGAGCUCGAGGAUGAGGAACUGCUCCUCGGGGUUAAAUUUCCGCGCUUGAUAUCGGGCUUCAAUAAUUCAGCCACCGCAUCUGCAGCUCUUCCCGGUCCUCUUCAAUCCUACAGCAGCCGGGUAAAGGAAAGGAAAUCGACAUCACCAAGUACGUACUACAACAUAGCUAGUGACUAAACAACAAGCAUGGCUUAUUAGGAUUGAACUAAAUAUAUAUAUUUAUAUGUAUAUGUAUACCGGAGCACCAGCAAGGAGAUUCCAACGGCCCUCGCCGUGGUACGCAAUGUAGCGCAUGAGGAGCUCGUCCUCUUCGAGCGUCCACGGCCCUCGCCGUAGCUCCGUUAUCUCCUCCUCUCCACGUUGUUUAUUGUUGGCCCCUUCUUUUCCGACAUAUCUUGCCCCUGGCCUCCUUAAAAUAAAUUUUUUUUAAAAAAAAAAGAAAAAUAAAGGAGAAAAGGCUCUUCUUGGUUGAGAACUGAUUAGCUAGGGAGAGUUUGUGAGGAGGCUACAGCUACAAGGUAAGGAAUGAGAGGAGGGUAAGUGAACAUGCUUAUAGACCAUUUCCAACAAAAGUCCAAAGCCUACAUCUACUACUACCAAUAAUGGGUUGUUUUGAAAAAGUGGCAACCUUAUUGCAUGGUAAAAAAAAAAAACUUAAUAAAUGAACUGCUGCGGCUCACAUCAACUUGGGCUUUAGUGGACACAAGCAAACAAAAAAAAGGAGGAGAAAAUAUAUAUCAUUGGACUCAAAUUUCCUUGUGGCGGGGGGGUGGGGGGGGGGGUUGGUAAUUAAUUCAAGUGUAUAUCCUUUUUGAGGAGAGGCUUCAAUUGUGGAAGUGUACAUGUCCUCUUUAGAUUCUUUUUCUACAUGAAACGUGUUUGACCGAACAAUUUGCACUAUUAGGCUCAUGUUUUGAUUGCUAUAGAGAGAGAAAGAGAAAGAAAGAGAGGGAGAGAGAGGGGGGAGGGGGUCUAAUCAGAGUUUGCCUAAUCCGGCGGCAAUUUAGGUAGCUCCUGGAAUUUGUAGUGCAAUUGUAGGAACAUGCUCCUUUUAGAGUUCACAUUUCAAAACUGUGUCCACUAAAAAAAGCAAGCAACAACAACAAAAGCUGCAAAAACAAGGAGAACAUUAAUUAAUUAAUUAAGAUCAUGUUAAGUCCCGUAAACACUUUACCCCUCCACGUACAACCCACUAAGCCUUCCAUUUUAGGGACAGCACCCUAAGUUGUAAGCACAAAGUAGGCAUUUAUAGCUCUUCCUCCCUCCCUCCCUCUCACUCUCUCUCUAGAGUACAAACUUUUAGGUAGCUUGAUACCACUUUAUUUCCAAUGAUUCUCAAACUGCAAUUGUCUCAGAUGAUAUCAAAGCAAAGAAAAAAUUUAGAAUGCACUGGUUAUAUAACUAAUAUAGCGUCUUCAACCAAUCAGAUUGUUUUUCUUGGAUUCACCUAUUUGCACGAUCAUGAUUAUUAAAAAAUUUUUUUAUUGUGCAUACUAGAUUUUUUUUUUUUCCUAACUGAGAGCGUGGUUUGUGUACAUGUGGAUUGCUCUAAAAACUAGCGAAAUCAAUUUUCGAUGUGAAAAUUACGUACUUUUCAAGCUAUUUUGUUAACCAUAAAAGUAAAAGUGAAUCAUAAAAGUAUGUUUCUUUUACUGACCAUCCCUAGAGCAAGUAGCAAAGGGCCUUGUGGUUGGUACCCGAGACUGAAGUUUGAAUCCUAAUUGAUUCAUAUUUCCAGCUAAGUUUAUUUCUAAAUGAAAAAAAAACGAAGCAGAUAGCGUACUACCUAUCUCUCAAAAAAAAGAAAGUGUGUUUCUUUUAAAUUUAAUACUUUUACAGAUUUGAGAAAAAUUAGAUCUUUUCAUUUUCUGUUGAAACUAGCUGAAAAUUAAACCUCAGGCCACCAAAAAUCAUGGCAUAUUCGUGACGGCAAAAAAUUUAGCGCAGUCCACACAUAGUAACAGAGGUUAUUGCAUAGACUAGAUGUAUUCAUAUAUUUAUGUACACCACAUUUUCAUCCACCAUUUUUUUUUCUUUUUUAAUCUUAAUCUGUAUAUACCAUUUUGUAUACAGCAGUUUCUUUUAAUUUAAAAUUUGGAUAGUUAAGUUAAUUAAAAGUAUGAAUGAAUUGGCAGUUUUUUGAAGCACGGUGUGUGGGUUCGUGGGUGCACUGAGUGCACAAAUAAAUUUUUUUCUCAAUGGAUCUCCACUAACAUUGUUUUUAUAAUAAUAUGUAUAGUAUAUAAAAAUAUAAUUUUACAUGAAUUUAAUUUAAAAAUAUAAAUUAUAAUAAUAUUAUAUGUAGUAUUGUAACUAUUAUAUAUAAAUAAAUAAUAUAUAAUAUAUGUAAUAAAAUAAAAUAUAUAGCAUAAAAUAAUUUUUUAUUAUCUUUUUCUUUCAAUACAAGCAUGGUAAGAAAACUAAUUUUUAUUUUUUUUCCCAUAAAUCAAACACUAUGGACGCAUUUGGUUCGCGUUAUGUAACAUUACAGAUUAUUUCGACAUAUUUGUGUAUCUUAGAUUUCUGAAUGAGAUUAUUACUGAUAUUGUAUUAGCACAUUUGAUUUAAAACAGUAAUAUAAUACUAGAUUACAGUAUAUAUAGUAUUACUAUAUUUGAUUCAGUUGAUAAAAUUAAGUAAUUCUGACACCAAAGUGUAAUCUAUUCCAAAAUUACUCUCAUAUCGGCAAAAUUCUUUUACUAUUUACAAAUAAUAAUUUUUUAAAUAAAUUUUAUUUUAAAUAAUUUAAAAUUAGAAUUUACAUUUUAUUUUUUAAUUUUAAAUAUUAAAUUUAAAAUUUNAAUUAAGUAAUUCUGACACCAAAGUGUAAUCUAUUCCAAAAUUACUCUCAUAUUGGCAAAAUUCUUUUACUAUUUACAAAUAAUAAUUUUUUAAAUAAAUUUUAUUUUAAAUAAUUUAAAAUUAGAAUUUACAUUUUAUUUUUUAAUUUUAAAUAUUAAAUUUAAAAUUUAAAAUCUGAAUAAAAAUAUAAAAUUUAAUAUUUUAAUUUAAAAUAUAAAUAUAAAAUUUGAAAUUUGAAAUUUAAAAUAUAAAUAUAAAUUUAAAAUUUUAAAUAUAAAUUUAGAAUUUAGAAUUUAAAAUCUAUAUUUGAAGUUUAAAAUUUAAAAUUUAAAAUUUAAAACUUGAAACUUGAAACAUGAAACAUGAAACUUUAAAUUUAAAAUUUUGAAAUUUAAAAUUUAAAAUUUGAAAUUAAAAUUUGAAAUUUGAAAAUUAAAUUUUAAAAUAUAAACCUUAAUAUUUUAAUUUAAAAUUUAAAAUUUAAAAUAUUUAAUUUAAAAUUUUAAAAAUGAUGUAUUGAGAGGGUUUGAGGUUCGGAGGGAUAAACUUGUAAUUUUACAUACAUGCAAUAUAACACUCAUCAGUAAUACGAGAUACCCAGCCCUCGCUCGGUAAUAAUUUCAGUGUAAUUCCGUACAAUUUGUAAUGUUAUAUUACUGACCAGAUUAUAUUCUGGAUGAACCAAAUGCAGUAAUCUUGGCAGAAUUGUCUGUAAUCCUGUCAGGAUAACCCGAACCAAACGCACUCUAAGAGAUUUUGUGUUUGAAUCCCA